AACCAGCCUCCUCCUCCUCCUACACCACCACUACCACCGCCAUCACCACGCACCGCGGCCGUGGCCGCCACCAUGCAACCCUCUCAACCUCCUCCUCUCGAUGAAAAUUACUUGCGAGAUGACGCAAGUCGCCAGAAUGCGAAGACUUGCUCUCCUCUCUCCCUUCGGAAGAGGACUGGGUCCCCACCUCUCUCCCUUUCGAAGAGGACUGUGUCCCCUCCUCUCUCCGCUUGUACCAGGGUUUCUGGUUCCCCUCUUGGCUCUUGAACAGCGUCGUCGCUUGCCAAAAUCACUUCCAAGCUCACCCCUCCGACAUCCUCCUCGUCACCAGCCCGAAAUGUGGCACCACCUGGCUAAAGGCCAUCCUCUUCGCUCUCUUGAACCGUGCCAAGUACUCUGACUCCUACUCACAACCACGCCACCCUCUCCUAACCCAAAACCCCCACGACCUCGUGUCCUUCUUGGAGUUCGGGCUCUAUCUCCAGAAUAAAAAUCCUGAUCUCACUGCUUUUACGUCCCCAAGGCUCUUGGCCAGCCACUUGCCUUAUUCCUUGCUUCCGCGAUCGGUGAGGCACUCCAAUUGCAAGCUGGUUUACUUGUGUAGGAACCCUAAAGACACUUUCAUCUCGAUGUGGCACUACUUCAACAAGUUCAGGCCUGAAGAGAAGGGCCAACUUCCACUCCUAGAGGGCCUCGACAAGUUCUGCAGAGGCAUGAGUGCGUACGGGCCUUACUGGGACCAUGUGCUGGGUUACCACAAGGCGAGCUCGGAGAUGCCCGAGAAGGUGUUGUUUGUGAAGUAUGAGGAGAUGAAAGCGGACCCGAGCGUUCAAGUGAGGAGGUUGGCCGAUUUCAUCGGGCGUCCAUUCAACGAAGAAGAAUUGAGAAACGGGACCAUGGAGGGAAUACUGAGGAUGUGUAGCUUUGACAAUUUAAGUGCAUUGGAGGUGAAUAGGAGCGGCAAGUUGCCGGGUGGAGUAGAGAAGAAGUGGUUCUUCAGGAAGGGCGAGGUUGGAGAUUGGGUGAAUUACAUGAGCGCUGAAAUGGGAGAGCGAAUUGACGGUGUCAUGGAAGAAAAGUUGCAUGGUUCUGGUUUGAAGUUUUAGGACAUAUGACCCACUCGAAGAUAUUUGGUUUGAUGGUGGAAAAGAAAAAUGUGUAAAAAAGGAAGAAAAAAGAAGCAAAAACGAUUCGAUUGUCCACACUUUAGGGGGUCAAUGUCAGGUUGGCCAAUGCGAGCGUGUUUCUGAUGCUAUAGGAUGAAAGAUUUUCAGUGGCAUUGUCAGUCGUGGCUUCGUCUCCAUAGUGAGAUGCUUUAAGGUUGUGAUUCUACUCUUCAUCUGUGUUGUGUAUUAUUAGCGUUUUGCAGAAGUUAUUUGGCCAGUACGUAGCUGGCUAAACAAAAGCUGCCUUGCUGCUCCCUGGGAGCUUGUGGAUGUAUCUUCUGUUAUUCAUUUCAAUUCCAUUUUUCUUUUUCUCUUGGCUGUGUGAAGAUUCGUGGCAUACGGUAUUAAAUACAAAGCAGUUAUUUGGUAGGUUAAACUACAAAUUAUAUUUGUUAGAUGGAAAAUAAAUUUGUUAUUAAACUUAUCGGUCCAGUUUAAUUUGUCGGUUUUCAAAGCCAUAAACUAAAACCAAACGAAAAACCAAAGGAAAAAAAAAUUCCUAAACCAAAAUUAAAACACCAAGGGCGCAUUUGGUAAUGAUUCUAUUUCGGGGAACAAUUUUUUAGCAAAAUAACACGUUUGGUAACUUCCCAAAAUUUAUAUUUUUGGGAUAGAAAUACGUUUGGUAAAAUUUUUAGAUUUUUUAGAUUUUUUAGAUUUUUUUAUUCUUUUACUAUUUUUCCUUAUUUUUUCCUUAUUUUUUUUCAUUUUCCUUUUUCUCUUUGGUCAGUCGUCGGCCACCGGCUGGGCGAUGUCCAGCAAGCUCGCCAGAGCCUCGCCAAGCUUGGGCGAGGCUCAACGAGCUCACCUGAGGCCAGCCUGGCCACAGCGAGCCUCUGCCUCGCUUGAGCGGCGUGAGGUUGGCCUUGCCCUAGCCUGAGAAGGCCCAGCCUCGCACCGAUUGGGGAGGGCGAGCCUUGUUGUUGCCACUCAAGGCUUGUCCUCGCCCAAUUCUGGCAAGGCUGAGCUUGCCUAGCCACCGACGAGGCUUGGCCUCAUUGGGCCACCGCCAGGCGACGCCGUCCUGGAGGUGGCUCGGCAAGGCCGAGCCUUGCCAGUGGUUGGGUGAGCUUGGCCUUGCCAGAUCUAGGUGAGGUCAACCUCACCCAUCCCAGGUGAGGCAAGCCUUGCCAUGCCACACCCAGCCAUGGUGUGGCUUGGGCCGACGAGCCUCGCCGUGGCUUGGCGUCUCUGAGGGCGGGCAACGCUCUAACGAGGUUGCAAGCCCUCGUCUGGCCGGUUGCUAGUGCCAGCCAUGGCCAAGGUUGGCGAUCGGCUAAAAUGAAGAAGAAAAGAAAUAGAAGAGAGAGAGAAAAAUUGAUUCUAGAAAUUGUUAUCGGGAACAAGAAGUUACUUUUUUCAACUUUUUGUUUAUGUUCCAAAUCUAUUCUCAGGAACAAAAAUUUAGAUUUUGUUUUUGUUUUCGGAAACAAAAGUUUUACCAAACACGUUUCUAUUCUUUUUUCGUUCCCUGAAACAAAAGAAUAGAAAUUUUUGUUCCGGGGAACAUAAAUUUUUUUAACAAACAAGCCCUAAAUUGCUAAACUGAGCUUAUCGAUUUUGUUCGGCUCGGUUGAUCGUUUUUUUCUGUUUUUCAUGAACAAUCCUAAUAGCAUAGAUCCUUGCCGAAGCUGGCUAUGGUUGGGCUGUGGCCAUAUUCAUGCGGUUUAUUCUUUAUUCUUUAUUUUUUUAAAACUUUCUUUCAUUUUAUUUUUUAAGAAUUCAUUAAAUUUCAACUGUUCCUCUUGUUUUUGGCUCUUUUAAGUGUUUUGAUAAACCAGCUUGUAGUUUGGUUGACCUCCUUUUUAUAAUGUAUCAAUGAGAAUAAAAAAUUAAUUUUGUCAUGUUCUUUAAUUUACUUUGCCAAUUGCUUGCCAAGUGAUGUCUUUAGCUUCCGCGUCUUUAAUCUUGUCCAUGAUACCUUCGACUUCAUUCUUCAUAUACCCAUUAUGAUUUUUCUCCUCUUUUUGCUGAUCGCCUGUUAACGGCCUAGCCAAGCCCACGCUCUUUCGAUGCUAGACUUCAGCCUACCAUCAAUUUUUCCUUCCAUAGAUGGUGCGCAUGAAGGAAUCAAACCAAAUGAAAAGAAGGCAAACGGUGAUAGAAAACGAGGAAAAGAGGAAACGGAGAAGAGAGAGACAAAGCUUGAGCGCGCAUCUCACGGGAAACUCGCUAAGCCAGGUUAGCCUCAUUUUGCAAUGCCCAAUAAUUAAUCGAACUCGUUAUUCGUCUAAUCAAAAUAAUUUUGGGAAUUAGGCCGCAAAUUUGAAGUUUAAGUGAAUUUUGAACCGUGGUUAAGGAAUUAUUAAGUUAUAUAUGGAAAUGGUCCUGUUUUGUGUGGGCAAAGUUGUGAGCCCACCACAAUGAAUGAGUUUGAAAGAGGGACCCAAGAUUUGACAUGUGCUCUCAUAUCAUAGAGCAAUACCAAAUCAUAAAAUUUAAAACAUUAAAUGAAAGGAGACUACCAGUAUACAAAACAUAUCAAACUCUAAUAAUUUAUGUGAUUUAGAACGAUACUUAAUAGUUUGAAUGGAUGAGACACCAAAUAAUUAUACUGGUGGAGGUAAAGGAUCUCAUUCCAUUUUGGGGUAUCUAUACAUUAUAAAAUUACCCUCCAACUUUACAGAAUCCUGCCAUUUUUAUUCAAUUACAGAAAUUAAUUAAAGUGGCCCAAUUGCAAUGUGGUGAGAGGAUCCAAUUCAAAGACACAUAGUCAAUAGCUCACUAUGUAGUGAAAAGAGUGACAUCUGGACUCCCGCAUACUUUUUUUUUAAUAAAAAUUGCCAUAAUUUUCCACAUAUGCACUAGCCUUCCUAAUCAGCUAUGCCACAUAAGACGGUUGAUAUUCAUGUUAGUAAUUACUAGCCAAAAUUAGUUGAAAUUGUUGGAAAUUAAUCCCAAGAAUACACACUGUUUGUUGUAGUCAGAACAUCAAUGUAAAGAAGACAAUAACAGUUAUAUAAUAUCCUUCUUUUUAUGUAAAAUUACAAAACUUGAAGAAGAAUAAAAUAAGAUAUUACUGGAAAAAUAACAUAAAAUUGGAGGUGAGGUACGGAUAACCGAAUCUCCUUAAGGCGAUUAGUUCCUGCCAAUGGUGCUCCGCAGAUUCACGAACUAUGCCUCCCAAGAUACAACACCUCGAACCUGUUUGGAUUAGCACUAUGCAAAUAGGACUCAAUCGAACCGUUCAAUUGAACCAUCACAUCCAGAAAAAACAGAAGAGUUGAAACGUAUAUCAAAGCUCUUUUGGAAUCGAGUUAGAAAAACCAAAAACCAAAAACCUUUAUGAAGCUCUAUGCUCAUAUCUAUUUAUAGAGAAUUUUUAGUUCAUGUACUAAAGAGAUACAUGAAUUAAAUAGACGCGUGUAUCCACGAGAUUCAUGAAUAAAGAGAUACGUGAAUCCAAGAGAUUCAUGAACUCAAUAAAUACAUGAACUAAAAGAUACACGGAUCUAAGAAAUUCAUGAAUUCAAUAGAUACGUGAAUAUAAAACUAUAGGAAAUUCAUGAAUCCAAAAUAGAUACGUGAACAAAAAGGACGUAUCUUAAUUUAUUGGCUUUCGUUGAUCCAUUAACCAUAAUUAUAACCAUAAUUACAACAAUCCCCCACAUUAAUGGAUCAACAAAACAUUUUUGACUCGAAGGAAUUUGAGCAUGCCUGUUGAAAUACACUGCAUCAAGAUAGGUAGUUUUCGCUUUGAACCUUCUUUAGUGAAAGCCUAUCUGACUUACUUAACUAGUCGAUGGACUAAGCCUUGAAUCGCCAAUUGUUUGUGUAAGCCUAGACAAUAAACCUCACAUGGAGUAUUUCCAAUUCAAGAUUGGUUCUCGGUUGUGUUCGUUCUUUCAGCCCUGAACCUCUCGGGAUUAAUGUGUGCUUUAGAAAAUCUAGCCUUUAAAGAUUUUCAUAGAGUCGGCCAGCUCCACGCAUAUAGGUGUAUUCCUAUUAAAGAUAUCCUAUCAUAUCUUACUUGGAUGUUAUAUUCCAAGUUAUAGGAAUCAUUAAAUGCAUAGCGUACCCUUAAUAACGCUGUAGGAAAGCACUGUUGCAUCAUAGGAAUGGGAGAUAAUGCUUACACUAGAGUUUCUAGAAUUUGCGUUGUCCUAUUGAACCUAGACCAUGGGAUUUCCAAUCGCAUAGGUUAGGUUUCCACCCUGGAAUCUCUUUAUUGGGUUAAGGCUCUUAAACCCAUUCCCCUCGAUGUGCAGUUUAUCUGCUCUUUUGACAAACUUGUUGUCAGCGAAUCUGCUAUAUUUUCCUUUAACUUUACAAAGUAUAAAAAAUGAUUCUAUUUAGAGCAACUGCCUUACGGUAUUAUGUCUAUGACGAAUGUGUAUAGACUUACCAUUAUAAAUCACAUUAUGCACCCCCACACUUUUAGAAAAUUGUAGGAUAGCAACUUUUCAUUCCAUAACUCGUAUGGAGUUUUACCUGUCUCUUUGUGGGGUAUUUUAUUAAGAAUAUAAUUUGCAGUUAAAACUGCCCCCCCCCCACAAGUUCUGAGGUAAACCUGAACUCAAAAGCAUGGCGUUAGCCUUCUCCUUUAGUGUCAUGUUCAAUCAUUCGGCAACUCCAUUUUGUUGUGGAGUAUAAGGUGCAAUCGUUUGGAGAAUUAUUCCAAAGCUAGCACAAAACUCCUUGAAAUUGAUUGAACUGUAUUCUCCUCCUCUAUUCUGAGGCACAUAAUGAGAUCUUCAAGGCUCAUCUCCUUCCGUUUGCGCUUCAAAUAAUUUUGAAGGCUGACUAGCCCGGAGGCAAUUUCUCAAUCAUAGCCGCCACUUGGAAUGAUUCACUAAGUAUCAUUCCCUCAGCAGAGAUGUCGCUCAGAAUUAAUUGUAAUUCUUAGACCUGACUCAUGACAUAUAUAGAAUCCACUAUCUUGUAGUCCAAGAAUUUGGCAACCACAAAUUUCUUGGUGCCAGCAUCCUCAAUUUUGUAUUUCUUCUCUAAGGACUCCCAUAACUGUUUAGCAGAUUCAAUAUUACAAUAAACGUUAUAUAGAGAAUUCACUAAGUAGUUAAGAAUAUAAUUUAAGUAUAAGAAGUCUCAAUGCUUCCAAGCCUCCAACGCACCAAGUGUCGUGACAUCUUGCUCAUUUGGACUAAUUAUCGGGCACACGUCCGAUAAAUAUUUCGUUAGAUUGAGCAUGGUCAGAUAGAAGAACAUCUUUUGUUGCCACUGUUUAAAGCCCACUCCGGUGAAUUUCUCCGAUUUCUCAUUAGCUGUAACUGGAGGUGUUGCCAUCACAGUAGGCAAGGUUUGUUGAACUACCCUCCAGAACCAGAGCCAAAAGCCAUUUAGCCUAUACUGUUCUAAAAAACAGUCCGGGACAUACCAGUCGUAUGACUUGUACCCACACCACCAAAAUUGGUGUUAGCCCAAGGGCCCGUAGUAUUGGCUACUACAAAUUCAGACCUUGAGGGCUUAAAAUCUUCCAUAGUAAUGGUCGAAUCAACCAUAGGAAUGUCUCCUGAAACAUUAUGGACAUUGAAUGGCACUUGAUUGUUUUCAGCCAUCUCAAUAAUCUGACAAGAACAACAAAUAGUGAGUGAUCUAAUCGCCUUAAGAUUGUUGGAAAUUAAUCCAAAGAAUACACACUGUUUGUUGUAGUUAGAACAUCAAUGUAAAGAAGACGAUAACAAUUAUAUAAUAUUCUUCUUUUUAUGUAAACUUACAAAACUUGAAGAAGAAUACAAUAAGAUAUUACUGGAAAAAUAACAUAAAAUUGGAGGUGAGGUACGGAUAACCGAAUCUCCUUAAGGCGAUUAGUUCCUGCCAAUGGCGCUCCGCAGAUUCACGAACUAUGCCUCUCAAGAUACAAUACCUCGAACCUGUUUGGAUUAGCACUAUGCAAACAAGACUCAGUCGAAUCGUUCAAUUGAACCAGCACACCUAGAAAAAACAGAAAAGUUGAAACGUAUAUCAAAGCUCUUUUGGAAUCGAGUUAGAAAAACCAAAAACCAAAAACCUUUAUGAAGCUCUAUGCUCAUAUCUAUUUAUAGAGAAUUUUUAGUUCAUGUACUAAAGAGAUACGUGAAUUAAAUAAACGCAUGUAUCCAUGAGAUUCAUGAAUAAAGAGAUAUGUGAAUUCAAGAGAUUCAUGUAUCUUUGGAUACAUGAAUUCAAGAGAUUCAUGAACUCAAUAAAUACAUGAACUAAAAGAUACAUGAAUCUAGGAAAUUCAUGAAUUCAAUAGAUACGUGAACAUAAAACUAUAGGAUUUUCAUGAAUCCAAAAGAGAUACGUGAACAAAAAGGACGUAUAUUAAUUUAUUGGCUUUCGUUGAUCCAUUAACCAUAAUUAUAACCAUAAUUACAACAUAAAUGACUAUAUUGACAAAACAUUAAAAGAUUUAAGAUUAAAUUGGUUAAAUUGAAAAGUUUAGGACUGAAUUAACCACCGUAUAAUAGGUUUAUGACUUUUUAAAUAAUUAUCCAUAAUUUUUUCUGUUGAUUGAUAAUGGUUCAUCCUGACAGAGUGAAGUACCACUUACUUUUGAACAGCCAAAAAAUUGAUGAUGCUUACAUAUACAAACGUCAUUACGCUAUGGCUAUAAAUGACUAAAAAAAUGCAAAUAUCUUCACUUACACUAGAUGUACACCAAAUGAACUCAAAAUUGCAUAUCUAACUAAAGAGACAUAUUUUCCUCUAUUCUUGCUAAAGCCAAUCUCAAAGUAGAGGAUUAGACAACCCGCUUGCAUAUUUAACUAUAAAUAAAAUGUGUGCCAUGUCAAACUAUGAUUGGAUGCUCUAACUAGGGUAGCUAAAGAUUUUCUAUGAUGUUCAUUGUUCAUAGGUUAAGAAACAACAGAAUAUGUAACUGGUUUGUAAUACCAAUUCUCACCAAUAAAGAGAAAAACUCAGAAUAAGUAGUUAGAGUAGAGAAUAAAAGUGAAAAUCAUAUUUUUCCCUGACGAGGAGAUUUGGUAGGAUGUUAAUUUCUUGCAUCUUGAUACAUACAAAUGUAAUAUCAUAUAGUAUGAAUUUGGAUGAGUAAAAAUUGAUUUACACGAUGAAAUAAUAGAUCCCAAUGAGUAUCUAAAUUAAGGAGGACGUGUACAUUCAAGCAUCCAAUAAUAGUUUUGACAUAUACACCAAUAAAUAUCGGUCUUUACCAACCUUGGUAUCAUCAAAAUUUUUUUUUUUUAAAGCUGUAGGAAAGCAUCAAAUAAUGCUGGGAGUAUUUAUCUAUUUGGGGUUUUUUUUAUUUAUUUGGAUCGAUAUUAUGAAAUUUCAUCCACGCUACCCCGGAUACGAGCCAACCAACGAAUAUUUCAAUAGGUUUGCUUCGCUUAGUUGAAAAUAGAGUUAAGUGGGCUACCUUUUAAUUGUUAUUAAAGGAUGAACAGGAACCUUCGAAUGUAUUGUUCAAAGUUGACAUGAUACAUAUGCUACUUGUAUAGAAAUUAUAAUUUGCAUUUCGCAAGAUGACAAAACAUAUUUUGCGUAUGAUAAGUUACUUUAUCCCUAUUGAAGAUGACGUUCACUUGGUAUACUAGUCAUCCCGUGAAUUCGAUACAGAAUGCAAAAUGCACCCGGAGAGAAUCCUUGAUACUUUGGGCGUUCAUCACAGUUUUUGGGCUAACAUUAUAAGAGUUAUUUUGCAUACGAUGUUUCGGGCAUUGGGUAAUGGCCAUGGAGGGUUUGACAUGAACAUAAAUUUGGCAUUAGCCACCAGAGAUGAAGUUGAAAUGGAAGACACUGAGGAAGCCUCAAUUGGAGGAUACAAGUCAAAUCCCAACCAAGUCACGCGGGGCGUCUCUAGAGGCACCAUUGAAAAGCUCGAGCGGAAGAGCUACUCUGUUGGGGAAGCUGAUGGAUGCUGUUCUAUUUGUUUAGAGGAACUAGAUGAGAAAUAUAGAGUGAAGGAGAUAUCAUGUUCGCACCUAUUGCACAAUAGGUGCAUUGUCAAGUGGCUCGAGAGGAAUAAUUCGCGUCCAUUAUGUCGUGGCAAAGUACAAGUACAAGAUUCAGAGUAGUCAGUUUUAGUUUGUAAGAUUUUCUAAUAAGAAAUGAAUUCUCUCUCUCUCUGUUUUUUUUCCCCAAUGGAUUAACUAAUUUGCUGCAAUGACUUUGGUACUCAAUGCAACGUCCGCUGCUACAGUUCCAAAAAUCACCCCUGUUAAAGAACCAAGGUCACCUGUGAUGUCCCAGUAGAGACUAUAUAUAGUGUCUGUUUCUUCUAUGGCUAGAACCUGGCGAAGAUAGUAACCUGCAUUCGGAAAGAGAGCAAAACGAAAAGAUAAUUGUCCCCAUCAAUAUUUACAUGAGAACACUCACAAAAGAAUGUUCACAUAAGAGUACCAAACGAGCAGGGAGCGGGGAGCGGGGGGAGAGAGAGAGAGAGAGAGAGAGAGAGAGAGAGAGAGAGAGAGAGAUUCUUACGCAAACCAACAUACAUAACAUGUGACAUCCUGAUUUUCUAUCUUGUCCCAAUUUUAUGAAUGGGCUUUUCAUCGACGCGCCUAUGGUCCUUUUUCUCUGAGUUGGCCACUCAUGAGAUAAUUAAUCUAUCUGGUGAAGCCAUUAAGGAUUGGAGAUAGGUUGAUUCGACAAAGGCACGUAAUUAAUUGUUGGUGAUUCCAUUUGAUUGCAAAAUUUUCGUCGAACGUCACUAAACCAAUUUUUCUGUCGAUUAUGUACCCGAUAUUCAUAAUUGAAACCUUGAGAUUUUCAUGACAAUCAAGAGUCGCCUAUGAGUUGGAGAUGCACUAUGUGGAUCGAAAAUAAUCGACCAUGGGUUAAACGUAUUAAAAAUUCCUAAAAGCUACCUAAUAGGUUAGGUCACACUAAAAUCGCGUUCGGUUGAAAUUAACCACGAAAUUGAACCCGGUUUCAGGAAUCGAAAGUUCUAGCAUGUCGCGAUUUAUUUUUAGAACGUCAACUCAUCCUUUGAAGAAUUUUCGCCGAGCUCGAAAUUUUGGCGGGAAUUCAAAAUUGGACAAUUUAAAGUGUGGAAAUUCGGAGGGGCAUUUUCAAGUGAAAUUUUGGCCUUCAAAAUGGAUUGAAUUGCGGAAGAAAUUGUGGAAUUUGGUUAGGGCUUCCUCCUCAACAAAUUUAGCCAUCAAAUUGGAGAGAAUUGUGAAGAAAUUGAAGUGCAAUGGGUGCAAAUUCGUAGGCUUGUGGGGAUGCUGCAAAUUGGUCUUCAAUUUGGCUCUAGUUGGUGAGGUUGUGUGAGGAAAUUGGCCUUAUGUGACCAAUUGAUCAAGUUGACAAGAUGGGCUGAAGAUAAGAGUGAAAAACACUCAAGUGCCAUAGAUAUUUGUGGUUGACUUGCUUGCUUCUUGUCCCCUCCUUGUUCCCUCCUUGUUCCCCCUCUCUCCCUCUUGGUUCCCCCUCAUUCUCCCUCAUUCUCGACCACCCCCAGUAGAAGCCCCCUUGUGCUGCCUUUUCCUUAUUCUUCAUCCUUUCUCCUCCUCCAUUGUUGAAGCAAAAAUAAAGGACUAACACUAGCCCUUGCACCGAAAUCGCAAGCUUCCGCCAGCUUGCCCUUGCGCCGUCCGAGCUGCUCGCGCCCUUGCGGUCCCCCCACGAGCCCAACUCCGUUUGCCUCGUGCCAUCCUUGCUUGAGCUGCCGUCCACAGCUCUCCAGCUCGUUGUCACUAAUCCCCGUGUCCGCUGUGUCUAGCUCCAGCCGUCCGACACUACCUCCAGCCUUCAGCCAAGCCGUGCGACCACUUAUAGUCCCUCGGUUCAGCCCCCUCCCGAACCGGUUUUCUCUCUUUAGCUGAGAGCUUGUUGGCUGUUUUCAGCCAUAUCCGGGCCUUCCUUAGUGUCGCUGUAGACCCGAGUUGUGGUCGCCGUCGUUGUGAACUGAUUUUUGCGCUAAACUGGUGAAUUUACCUCAUAAUAUCUAAUUAGGAUGCUAAUUACACUUAAAAGUGGAUUAGUGUCUAAUUAAUGGAUUAGUUUAGGCCUAUAUAGGAUUGAUGAUUAAUUUAGUUAGUUUAAUUAGUUAUUUAGUUAAUUAGUUAAAUUAAUUAGGUGGUUAGAUAGCUUAGAUGAUUAGUCUAAUUAGUGUAAUGUAUUUAUCCAAAGCUAGGUUAGUUAAUUAGUCCAAUUAGGUGGUUAGAUUAGCUUAGGUAGAUUAAUUAGUGGUUUAAUUUAAUUAUUUUGCAAUUUAUUUAAUUAUUUUGUAAUUUAUUUAAUUUUGUAUUAAUUAGCGGAAAUUAUACUGGGAUAGCCGGUUGUCAGAUUUUUGUGUUGAUCAUCGUGGUGCAGUUGAUUUGUGCAAUUGAUUGCUAAUUUAUGCAAUUGGAUGCUGAUUGAUGAUUUUUGAAUUAUUGUUUCAAAAAUAGGAAAUUUUGGUAUUUAAUUAGAAAAAUACCAGGUAUCAGUUUUUGAUGCAAAAAAUAUUUUAAGUGCUAUAUCAAAUUGUGGAAUUUUUUUAAAUGGGAGAGUAUCACGCUUUGUGGAUCAAUUUGACAGUGUGUCCACGCACAAUUAUUUUACCAGGUAUUUUUAAUAUGAAGAAAAUAGGCCAAAUACAUUAUUUGAAAUUGAGGCAUUUGAGUGCAAAGCACGAUAUCCUUGGUUGAGAUUGGAUGUGUGUGUGAUCGCUAUGAGAACCCGUCACCCAAUGAAAGUCGGGUGGGCGAUGCUUCUAUAUGGAAUACCCCACAUCAACAGAUGUCGGAUCGUGGUAGAGGCCGAACCGAUGCUCCUUCGGGAAUGCCGUCUAGAGGUAGACGUUGCCGUGCUCGACGGGGUGAGACGACGCCCGAUUAUGCCGGAGGACUACCGACUAUUGAGUUGGAAAUGACCCAGGUCAUAAGAACAUGGACACAUGUGAAUGAUUGAGAUAACCGUGCCUGAUUAUGGAACAAAAUUGUGUGGCAUGAAAUGGGACGUGUCAUAACAAUUUGGCCUUAUAAUUGGGACCCCUGUGAAUAUUUGAUGAUUGAUGUGCAAUGUCCCAGUUGUUAAAUAUGUUUGCUAUAUGCAUAUGUAUAUGAGAUGUGUUAACGUGCAAGGAGGUGCUGAGGCGAGGUAAGUCUUAUUUGAUAGGUGUUUAGGCUGCCUCUAAGUGAAUUAUCUUCCUAAUCUAGGUUUAGGGUGUAGACUCGCUGAGACAUUAUUUCACCCCGUCGUGGUUUAAUAUUUACAGGUCCUUAGAUGGAGGUGCGCCUCGUCCGUUUUGGGUGGUCGCGAGAGGUCGAGACCAAGCAUACUGUCUUCCCCCUCCUAGGGACUACCCGGACCCAUGAACUCGUAGUGACCACUAUCUGGGUUGAUGAGAGCCUACCUCAAUUGGUAUCUCAUCGCUUCAAGGUGUGGUUUCGCCACGAGCCUAACGGGGUUUGGGAGAGCCCCUUGGACGAUUUUGACGGACAUGUCGAAGGUGUCGAGUUGGAGAAGAUACUCGACCUCGUGUUCAACGCUGAUAUUAUAGCUGAUAUCGAGGCGAACCAAUUGCCUGAGGGUGAGGAGCCCGUAGCAAAGAUAGCUGACCCAUUAGACAUCGACAUCCUUGACGGUGUCGUGGUAGACCUAGAUCCCAACUAGAUUGGGUCUGGGGCAGCGUUAGUUUAGUAGCUCUUUUUGAGUCCAGGCCUUCUUGUACAUGACUCUAUAGGGCUGACUUAGUUUGUUUAUAAAAUAUUUUUUGUGUUAUCUGACUGUCCUGCUUUUCUAUCCCUUGUGUUUGUUGUUGUCUAGAGAUUGUUUAACUCGCUUCCGCAUAUGCAUAAAUCGUUUGGGUUGACAACGCGUCCUGGGAACGUCGCAAUUUAGUCGAUCGUCGAGGGAUAUGUGUGUGCCCAAUGUUCGGGGUGUGACGGAAUAUGUGCAACUUUAUUAGCUUGGUUCUGCCAUUUAUCCUAGGCAACAAUGACCCAUUCGUGAGAAAAUGGGGAAAGACGGCCAACAAUGUAUUAUGCGCACAUUUGAAAUAAAUUAAUAAGAUUGUUGCAGAUAUUUCUUAGAAAUUUAUUUAUUUUUUUAUAGUAGAAAGAGAAUAUUACUGAAGCGCACCAAGGGAGUGGAAACCCAUAUGCAAAAAGAGCUCGGUUACUCGACAAAUUAUGUACAGUGUUAAAGCAUUUCCAUCCGCACGACUUUCUAGGACACCAAAAGCAUAAUAUUUUUAACCAACUUUCAAUAAUUACAGAAAAGGGCGUUUCCUCUCCAAUGAAAGCUCUCAUAUUCGGCUCUCGGAAACUUAACUUAAACAAAUGACUUCCAACCAACAGAAUAUAUACAAAGACAUGCACAACAUAUGUUGUUCCAUUAAUGUUGAACACUUACAUAAGUUCUGGUAAUAAUACAAGUACCCGUGCGGGUAGUCGACCACCACACCGCCAGUGAAUCCAGCACGCAUGGCAGAACUUAAAAUCAACUCUGCUGGGCUAUGCUUUCUUGAUAAACUUGAAAAACUGCUCGUUUCAUCCCUUGCCAAGCAUCUAUAUGACGAGCCAAAAGAUGCCCUAAAAACACUCGAGACAAAUGUCGAUUAUAAGCCAGCCAAAUAGGGACUAGAAGUUCUGCAAGAUAGAAAGGCAGAAAAGAAGAAAUUUUUGAUCUGUCAGACAAUCAUCUAGUUAUCAUUCAAUGGUAAGGAAGACGCUUAAAUCUUAAGCGUGGCUCGUGAGAGCACCUAUUUGCGUUGCAUAACCACUGCAUGAAAAACAAAUAUAGAAUAAAAAAACUACAGAAAAGAAACCAAAAAGGAUUCCAAGUUACCCAUGGUAAAAUCUCAGAGAAUUUCCAGAAAGUGUAGCAAAAUUACGAAAUAAGAAUGUAUGGAAACGAUACAACAAUGACACAAGGUGUCUCACCAGGCUACGGUCCAUCAGUCCUUCAAACCCAACUAUGCCCAAGUUCUAAACAUUUCAUGUGCACACUUUACCCCAUAAGUAUCCACUUAAUAACAAGUCAUUCUUACGGAUCAUUCUUUUGGUGUCUAACUAGCAGAUAAAGGGGGAAAGACAGAGAGUUGAAUCUACCAAAGUUGAAGCACAACAGUGGCUACUUUCUGCAGGGAACUUUUCGUAUGGAUCAUUCUUUGAUUUGUCUGGCCCAAGCCAAGAGGGUUGUCACGCCCCGAUCCUUGAGUACAUGCCCAUCGCUCUCUGGUCGAUAAUAUUUUGCGACUUAUCAAGACGAGUCGCCGACCCUUUCAUUUUAUUGCACAUGCGAAGGUGAAUAAUAAAUCCCUUGACAGUAACCAUCUCGGGAUAGAAAAGCAGGACAACAAAUUCACAAACAAACAUGCCUUUAUAAACAUACCGAGUCAUGUACAAAGUCUGUAGCCAAAAGACUACAAAAGACUAGUCCUCCAAAUAGAAGUGGUCCUAACUGACCUACACUUUCGAUCACCUCUUCUCGACUCCAGCUCCUCCACUCGACGACCCUGAAAAUGGUUAUACAAUAACCAGUGAGACAAUGUCUCAACAAGUCCAAGAUCUAAACCCCAAUUAGGAGGGAAAUACGCCUAGAAGUGUUCUAAUCACACAAUCACACAAUCAAUGAGACUUACCUCAUCUCAGAUCCACCAUGCAAGUUAGUACAUUUUAUAUCUCAAACAACUUGAAAGCAUGAGCAACAACUAAGCUCAAUUAACUAGAACGCCAUACAAAAAUUCUCAAAUAAGCACAUGAGUAUUGAUUAUAGGGCCAAAUCGUUAUGACACAUGUGGCAUCCUGGAAUUUCAUAAAAAGUCCCUAAAUAUGCCAUGAGCUAUGGAUAGGCGAUAGAAGUACCUCUAUUGUAUUUUGUAGCCUCCUAGUCCAUGAGUUGCAAUGGGAUGUAAGGCCAAGUCUCUAAUGGAUGAAUUUUGGGAAAGGGAGUUUUAUCUUUGGCCAUGUGUAUGUGAUAAAUUGGAACUUAUGAAAUUAUAAUUUCAAGUGUAUAGUCAUCUUAAUUUGUAAUUUAGUACUUCAAUUUAAUAGGGAUUUAAGUAAUUUUAAAAGGGUUGAUCUUAGGCUAAUUAAGCUUGGGUCUUAGGCCCAAGAUGGAUGGGCCUAAGAUGGGCCAAGCUGGCCGGCCCAAUAGAAGCCCACAGAGGGGCUGUUGCCGGCCCAAGUGAGGCCCAAGAAGAGGAGUGGCCGGCCCAUUGCAUGGGUCUUGCCAAGUGGCAAGAAGAGCUUGCAUGCAUUGGCCAUUGGAGUGGCAAGUAAUCAUUACCAAUGAUGGAGAUUUUGGGGAAUAAAAGGAAGAGGAGGAGAGAGAGUGGCCGGUUGGUGGUAUUCGGCCAAGUGAGAAAGAGAGAGAGAGAGAGAGAGGGUUGCGAGAGAGAGAAGGGUGCCGAGAGGAGAGGAACUGAGGAGGAGGAGGAGCCGUCGCCGCCCGUUUGCAGCCGUCGCCGCCCGUUUGCCGCCCGUUUGCCGCCGUGUGCUCGUCGCUAGCUCGGUUUAGAGGCAAGUUAGGAUCCUCUUACUACUAUUGCAUAUGUGUGUUGCAUGUAUGUUUGGAGUAGUGUCGAAUUUUGGGCGAUUAGGAGGGAGAAACCGAAGCUAGAAUGACUUGUUCUUGUGUGAUGUUGCUGUUUUCGCAUGAACCGCCUGAGCCAGAAUCUCGUGAGAGCUUGCAUGCAUGUUUUGAGUUCGAUUUUGACUUUUAUUCCUUCAUGAAAGUUGUAGCCAACAUCUUAAACUACAACAUACUAAACGUUGGUGCAAAAUUGUGGAGAUUUAAGGGGUCAAACUCUCAUCCUACAGAGACACUAGAUCUGGAACUGUUUUGCUGACCUUGUGGUAGAUUUGUGGUUGCAUGUUGAUUUUUAUCAAGAAUCUCUCUUCGAAUUAUUCAUGAAACUUAUAGAGAACAUCUUAAAGAAUAACAUACUCAAAUUUGAAGUAAAAUGAACAAGUAUAUCCUAGUGAAUCGACUUACUCUUGAAGACGGUAAAUCUGGAGACGCGGUACUGGACACCCGAGACUUCAUGGACGUAUGUGGUGACUUUUCUUUAAAAAUUGGACUUAUAUCCCUUAAUGAAAGUUGUAGAGGACCACUUUAAGUAAAACAUAUCCAAAUUUCAGAGGAAAAGAAGAAGAAUAAGGGGGUAAAAACUCGGUAUUUCGGAGAUGACUACACUGGAUGUUUCGGUAUGAGAACCAGAAGCUUCGGACGACUAUAGGACAUUUUAUAAAACGAAUCUGGCCUAGAAGUAUUCAUGAAAAAUCUACUUUAGCGUCUUAAAUAUAACCUGGUAAAAUUUCAUAAUUUUCGGAGGUCAUUCAGGUAUUUUAAUCGAAUUAUUUCAAAAACUGCACAUUCUGUUUUUAUCCGAAAUUGCAUGCUGUAUUUGUGUAAAUUAUAUCUUUUGUGUGGAACUUUAUUGGCCAUGUGUUUUGCAUGAAAUAAUUAUCGUAUUGUCUUGUUUAUCACAUGCCUUAAUUUCAUGAUUUUUGGGAAUCAUAUGGAUAUUUAAUUUAAAUAUUUUCAAAAAUGGUACAAGCUGGAAUUUAAAUAAAUUUCAAAAAGGCAUGAUAAAUGAACUAUUUUAAAUUGUACGAAUUCCAUAAACUUUAUUUUUAUGAAUGAUUGCGUCUUGCUGCAUGUAUGAUGAUGACUGAUGAUGCAUGUAUAGAUCAAAGGAUGAAAGUGAUUUUGUUUGCCAUUACAUCAUGUGCCAUGCUGAGUUGAGACCUAAAUUGGUAAAUAUGAUCAAUGAUAAAUGAGGAAACUAUUUGUGGCGGAUGGUAAUGCCAUGGGAGUAUUAGGAUGCCCGGGAUGGGGGGUGCCGGAUGUCUGGAAUGUAUAGAGAUACAUGGCUGGAUGGCCUCGGGAGUUUCGAGAUGCCCGGAAUGGUUGGGUGCCGGAAGCCUCGGAGGUCUUUGCCCGAGGGGAUGCCUUGUGAUGCUAGUUGGGAUGUGAGAUGCCCUGAGUGUGGGGGUGUCGGAUGCCCGGUGGCCUUAAAUGGCUGGAUGCCAGAGGUUUUCUCGCGAUGCCAGGAUGGGGUGCGAGUGUAAAGUAUGGGAUGAAAUUGAUGAUCUUGAGAAAGAGUGAUGUGGUGAUCGAAUUGAAAAUUAAAAGUGGAAAUUGAAUCAUGCAUAUAUGACAUGAUAUGAUGAUGAUCACCUAUGGCAUGAUGAUAUGCAUAUAUGACAUGAUAUGAUGAUGAUCACCUAUGGCAUGAUGAUAUGCAUAUAUGAUAUGAUUGUGAUUAAGAUGUAUGAUGGUACAUGUAUGGCUUCAAGGUAAGUAUGCUUGGAUGCAUGAGUGACAUGUAUGAUGUUAUGAUUGUAUUGUAUGAUGCAUUGAGUGGUUAUUGGAUUCCUUUACCUGCUGAGUGGUUGUAUUCACCCAUUCGGGGACCAACAUUUCAGAUUAGUAGGAUGCCGCUCCCUGCUGUCACGCGGGGCGUAUUUUACGGCAUUCCUUCAGAUGUAGAGGUCGAGUGUGUGGAGAUCGACUGUCCCACCAUUCCUGGACUGACUUUUAUUCGAGUGCGCGCCUUCGUGAUGUACGACGUGGGCCUGGCUGGGGGCCUUGUCAUUCAGGAGUUUAUAUCCGUCCACGUUCGUCGAGACGGAGUGAUGCGUGGGAUGUUGCCGCCGCCAUCGCCUGAUGCACCGGGAUGGGUGUGAGGGCCCGUGCGUGAGGAGUAGGAGCUGCAACUUUUUGGGAUGUUAGCCGACACUAGCUGAUGGGAGAUCUUGCACGAUAGACAUAGUGGGUCGAGUGUUUCUUUUUGGGGUUGUGGCCGAGUGUAGUUAAAAAUCUUGGCCUUUCUUUUGUUGUAUCGACCCAAGAAAAAAAUCCAUCAUGAAAAUAUGUAAAUAAAAGUGUCUGGGCUCUAUCUUUUCUGAUGAUGUUUAGUGGUGUGCAAUUGCAUCAUGGUUGUUGGAGGGAGAGAUGGCGAUAUUAUAUUUUGCUUCCGCUAAUGAGUCGCGCUGGGACCGUUUCUUUUUAAAAAAAAAUGUAUGUCUAUGAUUUACGACGCUUCUUCUGAGAGAUGUAGCUAGUGUUCCAUUAGGUGUAACGUCAAGUGCCUGUGGCGACCCUAGGUGGUUCGGGGUGUCACAACACGUCCCAUACUAUGCCACACAAUUUUGUCCCAUAAUCCGGCGCAUUCAACUCAAUUAAACAUGCGUUCCUAGUUUUGAUCUCGGCAUAUAGCACGGCCUACUCUCUGUUCGGUGGUCUUCUGGCAUUGCUAGGCUUCGUCUCAUCCAUUGAGCAUGGCACGUCUCUUUCAGACGGCUUUCCUGAAGGAGCAUAGGGUUCAGAAUCUACUGCAACCGGCUUUACGUUGUCUAGGGGUAUCCCAAAUAGGGAUAACGUCCAGCUUAACAGCCUGGGACGAUUUCUCUUAACCAUCACACAAUUACUCAAAUAUGGCUCAGGGCACCGUGCAUUGCACUCAAAUACUUCAAUUAAAAUGGUGAACCUGGCAUUUUUCUUUAUAUUAGAAAUAAAUUGUAAACUAGUUGUGUGUGAGUACAUGGUCAACUUGAUCUAGAAAAAUCGACAUUCUUCCUUUUUAAAAUCCCACUAUUUUAUAUAAUACUAAAACUAUUUUCGGUGUCUAAACUCGACACUGGGAAUUUUCUGAAUAAAUAUUGGAAAUUCACAAAUUUGUAGAAAUGAACACUCAAUUGGAAAAAGUAACCACACCAUUGCAAUUAGCACGAAAUUCUGGUCAUCGGUUAUCCCGCUUUAAUUUCCAGAAAAUAUUUAAUAAUUAAAUAGUACUGAAAUUAAUUAAAUAAAUCAAUUUAAAUUCUAAAAAUACUAACCUAGGCUAGAAUCACUAAAUUAAAAAAUCGAUAUGGACCCAGAAAAUUCUCGAACCCUUCUAGAUAAAUAGCACAUCCUAUCUAGGCCUUGAUUAAUUUAAUCUAACCACCUAACAUGCACAAUUAACUAAUUAAAUCACUAAUUUAAUCUAACUAACCACAUAAUUCCUAAUUAAAUUAAACUAAACACCCCUUAGACGUCAUUAGCCUACUAAGAAGAGUUUAGUGCAUAAACUCACUAGUUUAUUGCGGAAAUUGGUUCACCGCGAUGACGACGCAACGGCAGCUGAAAUCCGAAUUUUCGGCAAUGUUGACGGACACAUGGACUAGGCCUAAAAGGCCUUGCAAGCCCACAGCAAAAUGUUGGGCUUGGCUUCGGGCUUGGGCUGCUUCGUGGGCCUCAAAUGGGCUGAUCUGGGUUUGAAGGUUUCGCUAGGCUGAGCGAAAUUUGCUUGGGCUCGUGGAUGGGCCCAACUGUUGGGCCGUGAACCUUCGCUGGAUCCGUGGACUGCUGCAGGUUGCUGAUCGUGGCUGAAGACGUUGGGGGAUGGGCCGUGAAGACACGUGGAGCUGCAGCUUGAAUGGGCCGAAGAUGCUGGACUCCACGGCUUGGCUGAUCCACGAGCGAAGACGGUUGGUUGACCAAGGGCGGGUGGAUUUGCUGGCAGCUGAAGAUGGAGACGCGAGCCACGGAGUUGAAGACGACCAUGCAGACGAAGGGGACGCGGGACACAGAGCUGCUAGGAACGUGCGGACUUUUCUUGCAGAAGGCCGCGUGGAGCUUCGGUGGACGAUGCUGUUGACCGAAGGGAGACAAAGUUUGCUGGAGGGUGCUCGUGAGUGGGCUUGCUCGAUUCUUUUUGUGCGGCCAAAUUGAAGACUCGAAGGAGAGAGAGCAGGCGGUAGUGGGCGGUCAACUUCAGUGAGCUUGGGACUAAUUUGUUGACUGGUGGAGGCUGGGAAAUUGGCAAGUGGCAGCAGUAAGAGAGAUGGAUUCGGUGGGCUGAAGCUUGGAACAAAAUGGAAGAGAGGGCUGAGCUUCGACGGUUAGAAUGAAGAAAAGCAGAAGUGUUCGAGCGUGCGGAAGAAGAUGGGCAGAAUGGGACGAUCGGCAGGAGCAAAGGAAGAAAAGUCCACAAGAAAUGUCUAAAAUCAUCAUAACUUAGCCUUUAAAGUCUUCAUGUUUAUCCUAUAGUCCCCUAAUUACUUUCUAGCAAUCUAAUUUCCAUGAAUUAACAAACUUUGAAGCCAAAAAUUUCUUCCCCUCGCAAAACUCCGAAUUUUCAUUUUUUGUCUUCAAUUUCUUUGAAAUUUUCUCCAAUUGGUAUCCAAAUUUGAUGUAGAAAAAGCCCACAUAAUUUCUACAAGUCCCCUUUGUUGGACGCAAAUUGCGCAACCCCAAGAUCUCAAUAACCAGAACAAGAACAUGCCUAAUUAAGUAGAAAGAUUAACGCACCUGUUUUGGGAUCCAUCGAACAUAAAGCGAAAGCAGAAAAGUGAUUACUCACAUAUAUCAAGGGGAUCCACGCAUCAAGUCCUUCUCCUCUAUUGCCCUCUGUAUCACUGGCUCAAUGAGGCGGCCCCCCCUCACGUUCAGCGUUAGGUAAACGCCCCUUAGGUGAGGAUACAUGUGAAAAUUCAGGUUAGAGGAGAGAUUUGAGCACUAUUUAUAGAGUUUCCAGCCAGUCCCUCUCAUUACGGGCCAGGCUCAACUCGGCCCACACUAGCCAGCCCAUAUUAGACUAAUUAAGAAACCUUCUAUCUCACCUUAGACUAAUCCUGUUUUACGGUAACCGUAAAAACAGUAAAUUACAAUAUCAAUUAAUUUAGUCAACAUUAGGAAAACUCUUACAUUCUCCCACUUGGACUAUAUUAAUUGAAAUCAUACUGUAUGUGCGCACAUUUGGUCUAGAAAUAAUUCUUAAUAGUCAAUCCUAUCCCAUAAAGUCUUAAACACCGAAUCAUGGCGGUAACUGCAUGUAUACACACAUAGCCUUCCAUGGACACAAGUGCUCUCAACUUUAUUGAUAUGGAUUUAAUAUGGUAGUGUGUCAAAUGAAUAACAUCUCUCAUAGAGAGAUCUCAUUUGUUAGUCACCAUUCUCUUACCUUAGGUGUCACAAAAACUUGUGCCACUAGAGAAUGCUUUAUGGUUCUAAUGAACCCACAUAUGUCUUAUCCUUAUGGUUAACCUUUCUUUAUGUAUCACAAGACAUAUGCACAAGGUUAAUAACCGGAUGCCCGGAUGCCCCUAGCCUUCACUCAAGGUUUAUACAAUCCCUUGAGACUUUAUUAAUAUGUAUUCAACAUAAUAACAAUACAUUCAAAAAUAUUUUAUUGAAUGCAAAAGUUGAUACAUAUCAAACCGUUACAAAGUGUAACGAACACAUAUGAAACUUUUAUCAAAGUAAAGCCAAAAUAGCUCCCACUAAAUAACAGUAUCCAAAAAAACUCCUAGGCCCAUGCUAAUGACAUGUCACUCAAAUAUACAUGGGCGUAGGCCUUUAGUUAGUGGAUCUGCAACCAUAUCAUCUGUGAAAAUAUGUUAUAUUAUAAGUCACCUUUCUGUACCGUUUCUUUAUGGUAAAAAAUAUUUGACCACCAUAUAUUUAGACCCCUUUAGACCUCUGUAAUAAAUAUAUAUAUUACUUCAAAUUUGUUAUCUCAAUACAAACGUAUGGGUCUAUUCAUCAAGUUAAAACAAUCAACUCCGUCAUGAGGUUCUGGAGCCUAAUAGCCCAAGUAACAAUCUAAAAGAAUGUUAUCAACACUGUAUACAUAGUAGAAGAUAACAUAGAACUUUAUUUACUGCACUUCCUACUAACAUAAAUUUGUAUCUUGUUAUUGAUAUUAUAUCAUCCUAACAGCCAGCAAAGUUAACAUAUGAAUACCUUACUCACUGCAAAAAUUAAACUUGUCUGUAAAUUAACAUAUAUUCUCUUGUCCUUUUAAGUACUUUAAAACCUUUUGGCAGCAACUCAGAUCGCGUCCUGGAUUCAACUUAUAUAUGCCUAAAAGUCCCAUCGCAAAGGCGAUAUUUAAUCUAGUGCAAAAUCAAAGCAUACAUUAUACUGUUAAGUGCACUGACACAAGGUACACUAUUUAAUUAGAUUUUCUCAAUAUCUAAAUAAGGACAAUGUGAUAGAUUUAGUCCAUCACCCUUAACAACAGGAGCAAUUCCCGGCUUGCAAUGAUGUAUAUUGAAUAUUUCCAAUAUAUAAUAAGCAAAUGUCCUCCAAGAAAAUCUAAUAUAAUAUGGCAAAAACAAUCCUUACAUACCUCAGUACAAAGGAUAUAAGAUGUCUCAAGGUCACAAAUUGUAAGCAAAAUAUCAUGUAUAUAGAGUAUGAGAAAAAACAAAUUUCCUCCCAUUGACCUUGUAGUAUAUUGAAUUGCUUUGUUCCUAAUUGAACAAGAUAACAAUACUAUAAAACUUUAAUAAUAUUGUUUGGAAACUUGCUUAAGGCCAUGAAUUAGAACUUUUCAGUCUAUACACAAGUUUACUUGAAUCUGCUGCAAAAUCAUCCAAUUGGACAAUAUAGAUUUUGUAUCUAUUUGGCAUAACUUUAUAUCAAAAUAAAUUAUCAAUGACACGUUCACUCUGAAAGAAUAUUUAAAGAAAUAAUUAUUUCUUCACUAUAAACAAUACACCCCUAUUUCAGAGUGAAAACAUUAUUAUCUUUUUUUUUCUAUGGCAUUUUAUCACAUACUUAAUUGAGAACAAGAAACAACAUUUAUAUAAGUUGCUAAAACAACCAUGUCGUAGAUAUUGUAAUCAUGCUUUCACAAAUAGACUAUAUAGUAUGAUGAUAUAACUGAUCGUCUUUCCCUAACAAAUCUCCUUAAUAAAGCUGCAACCACUUUAUUCUGCACUUGAGAGGUUUAAGAAAAUUUCAUUAUAAACUAUAUCAAAAAUAGUACCUUAAACCUCAACAAGUUUAGUCUAUGGUAUAGGAAAUUCAAUAAUUGUCUAUACCACAAUUAUCUGUAUAGGCAAAGAUAAAGACACAGUGAUUUUCCAUCGUACUAUUAUUCUUAAUAGUCUAAGAGCAGCUAUCAUAUACAAUUACGUUGAACUGCAUAAACUUUACAGUAUGUGAUUCCAUAAUACUUGUACCUUCUUUAGGGUCAUAAAAUUGAUACUCCUUUGAACAAUCUGAAUAAGAUACAAAAUAAUUCCAAGUGGAUCUAAAUUCCAACACACUUAAUAUUGAAUUAGAUAACCUCACUUCUGCAUGAUACUUCUAAAUUUCAUAUGAUUCAAGUAAUUUAUGUCCAAUCUAUAACUUAAAAGAAGUUUAUGAAACAACUUUGAUAAAAUACACAUUUUGUAUGUGAAAAAAUUGCUUUCAUAAUAUCAGUCCACAAAAAACCAGAUAAAUUAGUCUUACUAAUCAUACUCAUCACCAUGUUCAAUAUGGUGCAUUUAUGCCUUUCGGCCAAGUCUUUUUGUCAGAAUUUUCGGGUAUAGUAAUUAAAUUACCACUCUAGAAUCUACCAAGUAUUUGACAAAUGACCCUUUAAGCUAUUUCGCAUCGUCAUACUUGCCAAAAUACUCAUGGCCACUGUUAAACCUGACAACCAUUUAAGACUAAUUGUAAUUGUUUUAUUCUUUAUCUCGGUCAUUUUCCUUAAAUAGAAAACUUUCGGAAACAAUCUUUUAAUCAUAUACGAGAUGUAUAUGUCAUUAGGACUUAAACACAAUCUUUACAGAUGUGUCCUAAUUUCAAUAUCAGACAAGACAUAAUUUUAAGCAACUAAGGCUUCCAUCAUCUUCUAGCAGUGUAGUCCGCAGGCAAACCUCUUUUCAAGUGUUCCAGAAUGGAACGCUUCAUGAACAGUAAGCAAAUUCAAUUGCUCUUUUCUCAAGCAACAAAUCAUAUGUUCACAACUUAAAAUUUGAAGCAGUAAAAACCUCAAUAAUAAUGAAGUUAUUAAUUACAGAAAAUGUAACUGAAAAUCAAACAAUGUAUAUAAUUAGCAUCAUGUGAGUACUGUGUAACUUGACGUACAAGUACACAUCCAGAGAGUUACAUGCAUAAUCAUAUAAUCACCUUUGGUAGAAUACAUGACAUGCAGUUGUACACUCCCCACAUGAUAGCGGUUAUAAGAAUAUAUUCCAAUUCUUCGUGAAUUCAUCACCUUUGGGCAUAUGAAUCACUAGAAUCAGUCACUCCUCCACCACACUAUCAUGUAUCCCUCCAUGAACUAAUACACAAUCACCUCCUUUGGGAGUAUGACUACGAAUUAGAUCAAGAGACAUCCCAAUCAUUAUAUGAGACCGAAAUUUCUCAAACCCAAUCAAGUGUGCCACUUUGGCGGUCACUACUCAAUUGAAUCAUUAAAAUUCUCUCAUACUAGGGAUAUAAACUUUACUUAUCACAUACACCAUAUAUAUGUGAUUUUAACUUUAAUGAUAGGGGCAUCAUAUCACCAAAAUCACAUAUCAUACUAAUUACACUACUUUAUUCAUUAAUAAAAUUAAUCAUAUAUAUAUACAGCGAACCUGAAAGGUAGAUUCCAAUGAGAUCAUUGAUCACAGUAACACAAGAAACUUCUCAUAACAGAGAAUAAAACAUCUCUUAUGUACCCCAAUUACAUAUUACCAGAACAACAUAAAAAGAAUGUUGACCUAAAAUAUCUCUCACAAAUUAACAUCAAUAGUAAUACAUGGUACACCAAAUCGACAAGCUUGACAGCUAUUAUCACUCAUGAGUUCAUAAGGCAAAAAUGACUCCAAGGCCAACAACUAAUUUAUUAAUCAAUUUUAGGUAACAAAUAUCAUUACUUCAACCGGUGGCCUAUAAAUUAAGUCAAACAACAGAACUAAAUAUCUAAACUAUAACAGUAGAUACUAUUGCUCUGCAUAAAUAUUGUCAUACUCCUUAACCAUAAAAAUAUUCAACUUGAUAGACAUUAACAAGUGACCAGAUGAGUUCAUGUACAAUAUGCAGUAACUUAAUCGACAUGCAUUACCCACAUACAGCAGAUAUGUUAAUCAGUACAAUCAGUUUGGUCACGAGUUCUUAAGACGUCCAUCAUUCAAAGAUUACCAGCGUGACUUGAGCAACAAAAGUUUUAUAAUCUUUACUGUUUCUCAUCAGCUCAAUACAUAGCUCAAUUACUAUUCCAUAAUGGUUAUAUCUCAUUAAGCCAGCUUCAGUUCACAAUAAAGUUUGAUUUUUAUUGAUGAAUCACACAUUUAUAAUGAUUAUGUGAUAAUAUACCAGUAACCCAACACUUGUAUUUCCAAAAUCACAGAAAAUACAAGAAAAAUACGCAAAAAUACACUAAAAAUACACGUAUUUAGGGCUUUGUAUGUAUUUUCACAUCCAUAAAAUAAUCAAACAUAUAAAAUAUAUAUACCACGAGAUAGGAAAUCACCAUACGAGUCCAACGCCGCCAACCACGCACCGAUCGGAGCCUCCACGCACCCACACGCGCCGCCUGAGUGCGCCGCCCGUGGAGCUCAUGUGCGGCGCGCAUUCGAUGCCCAGGCGGCGCGUGGCCUCGCGUGGGGGUGCGUGCGACGCACCACCUACCGUCUUGCUCGUCUCGUCGAGCCCAGUCCGAAUUUGUGAUUUUAUUUUAUUUUUAUUUAACAAAAAGUCUUGAAAAUCACAAAUUAGGGCAAAAACUUUAUGCGUUCAAGUUCUAGGGUUACGGUUGCUCUGAUACCACAUGUUGGACGCAAAUUGCGCAACCCCAAGAUCUCCAUAACUAGAACAAGAACAUGCAUAAUUGAGUAGAAAGAUUAACGCACCUGUUUUGGGAUCCAUCGAACAUAAAGCGGAAGCAGAAAAGGGAUUACCCAUAUAUAUCAAGGGGAUCCACUCAUCAAGUCCUUCUCCUCUAUUGCUCUCCAUAUCACUGGCUCAAUGAGGCAGCCCCCUCACGUUCAGCUUUAGGUAAAUGCCCCUUAGGUGAUGAUACAUGUGAGAAUUUGGGUUAGAGGAGAGACUUGAGCACUAUUUAUAGAGUUUCCAGCCAGUCCCUCUCAUUAUGGGCCAGGCUCAACUCGGCCCACACUAGCCAGCCCAUAUUAGACUAAUUAAGAAACCUUCUAUCUCACCUUAGACCAACUUUGUUUUACGGUAACCGUAAAAAUAGUAAAUUACAAUAUCAAUUAAUUUAGUCCACAUUAGGAAAACUCUUACACCCUUUGCCAUAUAGCUUGGUUUGCAAGUCAAAAAUCUUUUCAAUUCGGCCAAUCCGAAUUUCUGUUUGUUUUCCGAAACGUCCGAAUCGAUUUUUCGUAAAAAUCCCAAAAUCAUCGAAAAAUUUUCGGAGGAUGAGUCAUCGUUCCUAAAAUAGAUCGUGACAUCACAUAAUUUUCAAUUUCUAAAAUCGGAUUCAAAUUCGUGGUUAAUUUCAAUCUGGCGCACUUUUAGCGUGAGCUAAUCUCUGGAUAACUUUUAGGAAUUUUUGGUGAAAUUGACCUGUGAUCGAUUUAUUCUCGAGUCACAAAGUACAUUUUCGACUCAUUGGCGACUCUCGGUUAGCUUGAAAAUCUUGAGGUUUGAAUUACAGACACUAGGUACCAAAACGAUAGAAAAAUCGGUCUAGUGCCGAUCAACGAGUAUUUUGCAAUAAGGUGGAAUCACCCACACUCUGAUCACAUAUCUCAAUUGAAUCGACCUAUCUCUGGUCUCUAAUCGAUUUCUGACAGUGCCAUAAUGACUCUUGUAGACCAACACGGUCGAGCAGUCGAUUCCUGGUCGAAUUCUCAAGUCCAUUGUAUUUAGAUUCCUUAAUUAUUCCGCCAGAUAGUCCAGUUAUCUCAUGAGUGAUCAACUCAGAGAAUAACAUUAUCAGUGUGUCGAUGAAAUGCUUGAUUUAUUUAAUUGAAAACGAAAUCUGAAAAUUCAGGCUGUCACAAGGUCAAUCAUGCAUCCAUAGCUCUCACUAGUUGGAGUGAUGCUGUAACCUUUGCUCAUACGUCCGAACAAGCGCCAUGCUCCAUUAAUUAGACACUUCCGAUUGCAGACCAUUGGACCUCCAAUAAACGUCACAGCAUUUGGUUGGGGCCCCUAUUUUCCAUCUCGUAGAAAAACUGCAGCCCAGUUUCAUUCUCACCAUUGACAGAAAACCCCAACAUCAUUGCACUCCAAGUUGUCAAUAUCUUUAAGAGGCAUUUGGUCAAACACUUCUUUGCGCGAAUCCGACGAACCCACAUGUGACAAGAAAAUAAUCAAUGCAAUUCGUGGCCCAAGUUCGUAAACAAUGCCACUCUCAUCUAUGUACUUAUGAACCCAUUUUCCUUCUUUAGAGGCUUCCACAAUAGCACGGCACAAUAGCACGACGCUAAGUACGCUAGCCUAAAGAGAUCCACUUAAUUUAACCGCUCGUUCCUAACGUAGCUAGAGAUCAAGGCACUGUAGGAAACAUCAUUUUCCCUGGCACUGAAUCGAACAGCCCUCGAGCUUCCUACAUGAGGCCGAUGCUACAAUACCCAGUGAUAAGGCUCGUCCAGCAUUGAACUCUGAUCAGACAGGCGAUGAACAACACUCGCAGCCCAAUGCCUUUCGGCACAUGCUUAUCGGAGAACCCACCACGUAUGCAUCACAAUCUCGCCCGAACUUCAUAGCCCGGUGGCGAAGUUGGCCAAGCAAAGGAAGAGCGAGUGCCAUGGCCCGACCAGUGAAGUGGAAGUGUGGGCAUAUGGCGAGCUUAGACAGAGACCAGCCUUCCCACGUUCGAAGUACCCCCAAGAAACCCAUCAUCCCGACUCCCAAAUCGAAGACAAUGGCGGUGGGUGAGUGGGAACACGAGAGAAAAUGCGCGCCGCGUAGUUCAUGUGGCUGCAAACGGAAGCGAGAGAGGUCGGAGAUGAUGGCGUGGGUGGUCGGUCGAUGGUUGAGCAUCUUCGGAGAAGGUUGAGCGUGUGAUAUAUUUAUUCUAUAUAUGUCUUCUUCUUCUUUUUUUAAUAGAGAAAUUAUAUAUUAUAACCGUCCAUUUAACACCCCUAUUCUAUAUUUGUCUUUAAACAUUUUGGCUGUGUUCACAGCCAAUUUUAUUAUGGAAAUAGCGAGUUUCAAGAAAUUGAAACCUAAUAUGAUGGGAGAAUCAUUUUAUGCCAUUUAGAACACAAAGGGAAUAAAAAGUUAUCGUGAUUUAUUUCUUGAUCAGUCCGCCCACAAUCAACUUUGGUCACAAAAUAUAUCAUAUUUGAGCGUAAUAAUUAUUGAUCACACUUUGUAAGAGAAAACUGUAAUCCACGCGCAAUUGCAUGACGGAUCAAUCUACCAUAAUCAACUUUGCCCACUCAAAGUAUACCUUGAUAUAUACGAAUAUAGAUAUAAACAGAAUAAAACAUUUCCUAUAUAACCACAGUGGAGAAAGAAAUGAAACAAAAAAAAAGUUGAAGACGUUAGGACUGGGCUUCAAAAGAAACACUCACCAAGGAUUGAUGCUCCAUUCGUUUCGCAGAAAAUAACUUCCAGGAAAAUAUUUUCCGAAUUUUCCGGUGUUCGGAUGGCGGAAAAUACACGGUCAACGGAAAAUAUUUUCCGUUGACCGGAAAAUCCUUCUUGAAGUCACGGAAAAUGACUUCCUCUUUUCAAAAGAGGAAAUCAUUUUCCGCACCUCUCACGCGCUCCCGCUGCUCUCUCCUUCCUUCAUCAGUUCACGUUCUCUCUCUCUCUCUUUCUUGCUCUCCCUGCUGCAAUGGCUUUGACAACGUCCUUCUCCGGGAUCAGCCUCCGCCCUCCCCAGCCGCUCCUGCCCGCCUGCUCCGGCCGGGGCGCCGCCGCCGCCGCCGCGCUCCGCUUCCCCGGCAGCUCGAAGCCGCUCGUGAGGAUCCGGCUCAAGAGGGAGCACCGCGGCGACGCCGGGAGGCUCGCGGGGAGCCCGCCGUCCAGGCCGCUCGUCGUGCGGCCGCGAGCCGUGAGCUCGUCGGAUCGGCGGCGGAGCUCGCGGCUCGCCGGAUCUAGCGGCAGAGCUCGGGCUCUCGAUCCGGGUGAGCUCGAGCUUUGUCGCUAGAUCCGGCGCGCUCGGGUGAGAUCCGGUGAGCCUCGAGCUCGCCGGAUCUGGCGGCGGAGCUCGCGGCUCGCCGGAUCUAGCGGCAGAGCUCGGGCUCCCGAUCCGGGCGAGCUCGAGCUCUGUCGCCAGAUUCGGCGAGCUCGGGUGAGAUCGGCCGAGCCUCGAGCUCGCCGGAUCUGGCCACCGGGUCUUCGUCGGCUGCUGGGCAGCCGGCCAUCGUCAGGCAGGAAGGAGGCGGCGGCGGCGGAAGGAGGAGGAAGAAGGAGGAGGAAGGAGGUGACGGCGGACGAAGCUGCUCGGGAGGAAUCGGGAGGAAGAAGGCGGAGGAAGGAGGAAGGAAAAAAAAAGAAAUAAUAAAUAAUAAAAAUUUCUAUUUUAAAAAAUAUAAAUAAUUAAAAAAAAUCAUUUUUUAAAAAAUAUAAAUAAAUAAAAUAAAUUUUUUGGUCAAUUAAAAAUAUUAAAAUUCAAUUUUUGAUAAUUUUUUUCAGGAAAAUGUUUGAGCUAACGAACAGUGGAAAAUAUUUUCCACUCAAAUUUUAGAUUUUGGCCGAACACCGGAAAAUAAAGUCAUUUUCCUGGAAAACAACUUCCAGGAAAAUGUUUUCCGGAAACAUGAUAUUUUCCGUGAAACGAACGGAGCCUCAAUUUCUCGAGAGAAAUAGAGAGAGUCUAAUUGCGUAGAAUAAUAAAAUUGUAAACAUAAAAUAAAAUUUUUCAUUGGUCAUCAAACAAAAGAAAUACUAAUUUAAGAUUAAGUCUCAUUAAAAGAUAUGUUUGACCCAUGAAUUCUAUAUGCUCUUUUAAGUUAAAUGACUUUCAAAGGGUGAUUCUUGCACUUGUGAGCCCUUUUUAAAAUGAUAUAAACAUGUAUCGAUCAUCGUCAAUCCAAGAAAACGGCUGCGCUUUAAUAGAUUUUACAUCUUAUACCAUGUUGAAACCAACAUUUUUCCUUCUGGUUGUUGCUUCUCCAAAACGGCAUGUCCCUUUAAAGAGGAAGCAACUAAUUGUACUCAACAAUUUCUAGAUGCAUACCUCUAAAAGAGAAAUUGGUUUACGUCAAUAAAUCUUUCAAAUUCAAAUCUCGAGAGAACCAUCAAGGGAAAAAAAAAAUCGAUCAGGUCUGAAUGAUUUAGACUGCACCUAGAACUGAAUCGAUUAUCAAUGAUUCACUAGGAAUUGGACUAGUGCUCACCCCUAGAUAGUAUGUCUGAAUGUAAAGAAUUUGUGCAACCAACUAAGAUCUUUGGUUUUACGUACCAGUGAAAAUGAUUUUCCUGAAUAAGUCAAUUGAAAACUUUAGUUGUGGUUACAGAAAUUUCUAGGAAGAGUUUAACUAAGCGAUGCAAAUAUUUUUUAACUGAACACCGGUCGCGAAGGUCCAUAGGUGUAGAGAGCAAAGCUCAAGCCAUAUGUGUUCUUGUUUUCUUCAACUAGUUAAUUGAUAACCUUCUACCAUGUCUUUAUUCAUAUAAAAGAAAAUACUUUUAAUACCUUCGCUAAGAUUUCAAGCAAAGUUUAGAGUUCCAAGGCAUUGGAGUUUACUAUAUCUGUUUUUGUUCAAGAAUCUAGCCUUGCGCAAAAAUAGAAUUCCGAGAAUACAACCCUUUCGAUGUCUUGCCGAAAUAAUUCAUGCUUAGCACAUCAACAAACACAAUAAAGUGAUCCAAAUGCUGCAUCUUCUCGAUAGUCUCUUUUAUGUGCAUUCUCGAUAGCGUUGACUUAUGUGCAUUCAUCACUACGUGAAAAGAAUAAAAGAAACUUUUGAGCUCUAGUCGAGCUCUCGUUUUUACUCGAACCAGUCACAUGCCAAUAAUAAAAACAAGGCAAAAAUCAAAUUGCAGAGAGGACGAGCAGUUAGUAGUUUCUCUUCCACAAUGGUCCAGAGGAACUCUGCUGCUUCUCUGUGCGCCGUAUUGCCGGGGUACCCUUGGAUCUAUAACCACCUGAUCAACAGCUUCCGAUGAAUUCUCCACAGGUGGCUUAAGAGGCCAAAAAUUUCCAUUCCUAGGGAUUAAAGAUGCUGGAAAAUUCCCGUCAUGGCGCCAUCCCUGACCUCGGUUCUGUGUGCUUGUCUGUCAAUCUAUGCCUUGACCCACUUGACCUCAACCCCUCAAGUUUAAAGGAGUCUUACCUGGUAGGGGAGCAAGAAUUAGUCCUUAGGUAUCAAGAACUCUUUGGGGACAGAAUCCAUGUCCACGUAACAAUUUUUGGCUUUAGCAUCAGCACUCCGCACAGCCCAGUCAUCAGACUGAAUCAAAGGUUUGUGUUUCCCAUUACCUAAUAAGAGUAAAAGACACUAAAACAAUCACAAUCUAUCCUUGUAAGUGACAAAUAAACAGGACACAGAGUUGGCCAUAAAGACAAAGGUAUACAACAGGGCUGAUGAAACCAUACCUUAGAUGCUCCUAUAUACCGAGUAAACAUGGGUGUCGUGUGGUAAGAGACAGAACCACCUCAGUGGGAUUCCCGACCAUAUGUAAUAUCACAAAUUAAGGUCUAAGCAAUGGCUCUCUGUAACAUAUUUAAUCAUGUUACUUGACCAGUCUCACUAUCGAUUAGGCGUUCUUGGUAAUAGUAAUUGGAAGGGACAUCAUGGAUUUGUUAAUGUAUCCUAUACUGAACAGACAACAACAUUGUUGCGGAAUCCAGCUUGCUGAAACAGCAACAGAAACAUCGAGUAGCACCAAGAGAAACGGAAGGAAGAACUGCCACUUGAUUGGCCUGCAAUGCCUCAUCAAUGACUGCCAUUUCGAAACCAUGAGAAAGGCGAGAGAAUAAAUUUCUACCACUGCUUGACAGGGUAGUGAAGACAAUCUCAGCUUCAUAUGAGAUCCAUUUUUCAAAGAAGCAGAAACAUUUUCUUGAACUAUGUGAUGUGAUUUGCAUAUGGAUUGAUGGAUCUAAAUUGCCAAUCAAGCAUUGAUGCUACGCUUAGUAUCAUAUAGGAAUAAAUUGACUCAUCUGAAUUCUCAUCGUUGAAUCAUGCUACAUUUUUCAUACUACCUAGCAGAAUUCCACUUCGCUUUUAAUAACCCUUGAUGACAGAAAUGCAAUGCAACUCAUGCAUACAUAUGAUUAGCAUUACAUUGAUCAAAUUUUGGUUCUUCGAAAACCCCAACUCUCUGUACCAUCCCCACCACGACACUCAAGAGGGAAUGUGACAUCCUGAAAUUCGAGCUCUUUGUGAGAGAAAUGAAUGUGAAUUUUGCCAAUGCAUUGUUGGUUGAUCUCACUCGGAAUUGAUUACUCCUGAGAUACUAACCUUGAGGGGAAAGGCUAAUGAGGACAGAACUCGUACGACUAAAUAACUUGACUUGGGAAAACGACUUGACCGUGAGACUUGCGUGAGAACGAUCCUGUAGAUAGGCAGGCUAAUUUCAAGGAUGACUAGAAGUCGAUUUGCGAACAUAACAUAAUGGAACGACGGGUGAUUCCGUUUACUGUUAUUGAGCUCGUGAACGACCCUAUCUCGAUCCUUAAUAAUCGUAUACUUUGAAAUAAGAAUCUAUCAUCCGCAAUUUCAUGUAGUCAAGGACGUCCAUGUGUCGAGAUGUCUUGAACGUGGUUUGGCACGAGUCGGUUACGCGUGAAUCCUCAAAGUUGCCCGUUAGUAUGAGUUGUACCCAAAAUGGCAUUGGACGAAAUUGACAUGGCAUGAGAACUAAAGAUUGGACUUCGAAUUAUCGGUAAUGUUUGGAUGGACUUUGGAUGAUGCGACUUCGAUAGUCAACAGUGCCAAGCAAGCCGAGUGUGGAGAAAAAAGACUUGAGAACCGAGAAGGCAAACCUAUGAGGACGUGGGCCGAGUAAAGCCAGUGUGGGCCUUACGCCCAACGUAGGAUAGCCAUGGUGGGCCUAGGGCAAGAAAGUGAGCCCAUUGGGCCAAAAACCACUAUUCCUCCUUCCAAGCCCAUUACCAAACCUUAAGCCCAUUUGAGCCCAACCAAUUCUUGAGCCUGUUACUAUUCAUUUCCAAGCCCAUUUCUUAGGCCCGCCCAUCAAAUUCGGCCCAAGGGAAAAUUGGGAAUUUGUGCAAGGGGAAAUUACCAUUUUGCCCCUAAAAGCAAGUGGAUAAAGGCAAAACAAGAGAGAGAAAGAUGAGGUGAUGUGCAUGGGGAUUUGGGGCUUUGAUGAGGUUUGACAGCAGUUCAAUCCUCUCUCUCUCUCCUCCUCCUUCAGCCCAAAUUGUCGAGCUCCUCUCUCCCUUUGUUCCACCUUUCUUCUUGCUUCUGUUCUAGCAAACCUUCCUCCAAAGAUUUGAGUUGAUUGUUGGCUUUCAGGACGAAUCAACUCCCGUGCCACCCACCACUGUGUCAAGGACACCUAGACCAUCUGCCUGGAGUUGACUGUUUGCCAGUCGGAGCCGUCGUUUAACCCGCCGGUUGGCCAGAAGCCAAUGCUAGUCCGACUGUCUAGUCAUGUUCUGCUCCAGUUGACCUUUCUUCGAAAACCCAAGUUAAAAGUUACAUUCCCGUGCGAAUUAGCUCACACUCCACCCACCACCGUGACCGGCACAUCUAGACCGUAUCGAAACACCCCCGCCGCUCGUCGGAACGAUCUGCCAACCAUCCCGUUUGCCGGACCGCCUGGUUCCGCUUGUUUCACCUUUGCAGCUCGUUUUCUCCCAUUCUGACCCUUCCUCCACUCAUCCCAACCUCUAGCAACUCCCCCUUGACCCCUAGGUUCCGCCGGUUGCCGGCCAACCCCUUGCCGGAGCUCCGAUGAAGCCGUUUCACUCAUUUUCCUCCUCUGCUGUUCGGUUUCUUGGAAUUGCUGAGGGAGUUCGAGCUUGUGGCUGUUGUUUUAGCCUUGGGACCACCUUGGAUCGUUGUUGUUGACGUCUCGGUGCAUCGCCUCCGACGUUGUCGCCGCGUGCGUGUCUUCGGCACGUUUAACGGGUGAGUGUAGCUCCUAAACCUCAGUUUAGUGCCUAAACUUGCUUAGGGUUGGUUUAAUUAGUGGUAAUUCUAGUUUAGAAGAUUUAAUUGAGUUAUAUUAGUCCUAAUAUAGGUGGUUAGAUUAGUGGCUAAGAUUAGUUUAGUUUAAUUUUACUUUAUUGGCUUAAAUGUGGUUUAUGUGCUUAAUUAGGCUUGUUUAACCUUAAUGGAUUAAUUGCUUGUUUAAAUUAGUGUUUUUAAUGAAUUUUGGAUUUAAUUUAUUAAUUAUUAAAUUUUGGAAUAUAUUGUUCACGACACAAUUCACACGCACUGUACAUGAAACACUGUUUAUGCGCACUGUUCAUGCGCACUAUUCACACGAGAAUGAAAAGUGUCUAAUUGCAUGUAUUUUAAUCGCAUGUAUUUUAAUCAUAUGAUGUGAUUUGAGUAUAUACAUGCAUGAGCAUCAGUAUCAAUUGAGUGAAUUUCACAAAAAAGGAAUAAUGGAUUGUCUGAGGGACAUUAGAGAUGGACCGUUUUUAUGAGAGAAGGAUUUGAGGAGGCAUGUUCGCAUGAUCAAAUGUUGGACCCUCACCCAACGGGAGUUUGGGGACCGAUGUUCCUUUUGGGAAAACUGUCUGAACGGGAGUUCGAGAUGUAGCCGUGCCCGACGAGGCAGGAUGAAGCUCGAUCUUUUUAUCGGUAGUCGUUGGGAGUUGGAUGAUCGCUAAUUGGAAAGUUAGCAAUGGCCGGGAGGUUAUUAAUAACUAGAGCACGCAUGAGUGUUGAGGUGGAUGAGCACUAAUCGGAAAGUUAGUUAUGGCCAGUAAGUCAUUAGUAACUUGAGUACUCGUGAGAGUUGUGUUGGUUGGGCCUUACUAUGGGGUAAAAUUGUGUAGCGCGGUAUGAGACGUGUCAUAACGAUUUUACCUUAUAAUCAGGACCUGUGUGAUUGAUUGAUGCACGAUAGGUGGCGCACUAAAGUGCAAGAACGUAUGAGAAUCAUGACAUCAUUAGUUUCGGUUAUAUAUGUUGAUCACAUUGUUUAUGGCACGCACGCAUGAAUCAAUAACAUGCAAGGUGUGGCAAUGGCCAAGUGAGAUUGCUUGUGAUGCGACUCAUAUGUGAUUGAUGAACUGCAUCAUCUAACGGCCAAGUGCAUUGCGUGUUUUGUGCUGAGAUUCAACGUGCACGGUAUGGCAUACCAGGUAAGGUUGCAUGCAAACCGACUAUGUAGUUAGUGGUUACCCUAGUUGUUGUGAUUUGUUGAUUGUUGGUUGUCAGUUGUGGUUGGUUUGUGGGGUGGUUCUGGAGAGAUACCCUGAGUUGAGUUGGUGUUCUAAUCGAGGGCUUAAGGGAUUUCAGGUUCUUAGGAUGGCACUUCCGCCAAUGAGGUUCAGUAUCCCUAAGGACUGGGAUACUUUGUGACGCGCCACCGCUUCUCGGGUCGAGCAUACCUGUACGAGAAGUAUCUCACUACCAUCUGGGUGGAUGAGGGACCAAGGCAAUGGACACCGCUUCCCAGGUCGAGCAUACCUGUACAAGAAGUAUCUCACUACCAUCUGGGUGGAUGAGGAACCAGGGCAAUGGAUACCCCAUAGGUUCUUGGCAUGAUUCAUCUGGAAUGGAGAUAUGUUAUUCGGUCCUCUGCAAGGUUUUGACAGGCCACUUGGUAGGGGCCUUGAGGACGAUGAUUAGGAUCUCAUGGAGCUGGACCCUCCUGACAGCACAGUGGAGAAUCCUGGCCUCGCUUCACCAGCAUCAGACCCGUGUGGCUCCAACUAUGAAUCGACGGGGUCUAAGUCCUUUGGAUCCGAGUGACGGUAGGAUCGAGCCCGAGAGUUCUUUUUGGUGUAUAGAUUGGGUUAGCCUAGACUAGUCUCUUUUUGGUCUAGCUUAGAGGAUGGAUCGGCCCCUCUGUUGGGCUUGUAAAUUAGAAAUGAUCCUCCGUAGGUUAAUCCAAUAUGAAAAUGUAAAAUGUGUAUAUAUGAGUAGAGGUUGUAUUUCUGCUGUUCAUCUCACUAUCCCUAUUUGAUUGCUUGAUUGUCUGUUGAUGAGGAGAUGGUUCGUUUUCCGCUUGCGCAUAAUGAAAGAUUAAAAAUGAAAGGGGUAGCGAUGAGUCCUGGGACAUCGCUUUCUAUCGACCAAGGAAGGGAUUGUUGCGUGCCCGGGGUUCGGGAUGUGACAGGAAAGCAACUCACGAGUGUUGAUUAGCACAAACUAUCAUCUUCCCAAUUGCGUGCGACACAACUUACUCCGGCAGAAGAGACCGAAGAGGGAUAGAUGAACUGUGCAGUGGACUAAGAGGGGGCGUAAAACCACCGCCAGAGAAAGCAGCGGCGGUGCCCUCGAAUUGGCUUCCAAAUGUGGCCAUCUUCUCUGUUUUGUUUCCCUUUUUAUUUUUUUUUCACUUGAUCAAGAGGGAAUUGUUUCCAUUGUUGGUUCAUUCGAUCCUCGGAUUUUUUUUUUCCUGUUAUGGAGCUUCUUUUUCCGUCUGUUUCUCGAUGUACUUCCAUAAGAUUCCACGAAAGAUUUCCUGGGUUUUCUCGUGCUUGGGUUUCAACGUUACUCGCGAAAUCUUGUUCAACCCACUCUUGGUAGCAACAACACAGAGAAGAUAGUCUAUUGCGGAUACAGUUUGAGGCUAAAGACAAGAAAUUCCGAUUUUUUAGGCCCACCGACCGCUGUCUUUAAUUUCUCGGUCAAGUGGCACCAUUUGCUAGUUUUCGUUGAUCAAAAUCAAUUUUGAGUUGUUUAACUGGACACAUCCACUUCUAAUGCUCAAUUUUGUGGGCAAACAUCACAAAAAAUCUCAUACUAUUCGCACUGUGGCAUAAAUACCCAAAGCUUUUUAUUUUUAUUUUUUAUAUAUAUCACAAAAAGUUAAUAAACUUGCCCACUGUGACACAAAUACUUCUGACUUUUUUUCGUGUCACAAACAAAUCCAAUGUAUAUAUAAAUAUUUUAUAUUUCAGUUCUAUUCAGAGUAUAUUUGUCACAAUUGGCAAGUUUAGGAUUUCUACUAAUAAAAAAAAAUUAGGGUAUUUGUGUCAUGGUUGGUAUAAUUUGAGUUUUCUGAGGUAUUCAUCCUUAUUUAUUUAUUUAUUUAUAAGCAAUGCUUUAUUUGCUUUUUUGAGCAUGGGUUUUUUAUUCAAUCAUGUGAUUGAGAUGCGUUUGUUUUUAUUUAUUAAUAUAACUGAAAAAAAAUAUUUGAUCACGGAUGCUGAGAGAAAGUGUGCGUGCCCACUCUAGCAUUAUUAAUCCUUGUUAGUUGAUAUCUAGCCUUAAUCAUGUAAUAAAAAUUGCGAAUAAAGUGUGGGGCAGUGAGAGUACUUUGUGUUAUAUAUAGAGUGGUUAGGAUUUGGUUUUAUACACCUAAUCUAGUGCCUUGUCUGAUAGUGUAAAUGAAAGUUCCACGUUAAACACGUGCAUUUGAACACAGCCAAAAAAAUAGAUGAUGAGUACACAUACAAGUAUCUUGACGUUGUAGCUAUAAACGAGUAAAGAAUUCAACAUAUGGGCUUGAGGUUUCAUGCUCUUGACGUUGUGACUCUCAUGUGCUAAUAAAUGUCCACCAAAUGGUUCAUUGACUUGAUACUACACACCUAACUAAAGCAACAUAUCUUUCUCCAUCCCUACUAAAGCCAGACCUCCAUUAGAGAAUUGCAAAUAAGGAUAAAACCCAUUUGUAAAUUUAACUAAGUUGAAAUUUUUGCGAUGUCAAAUUAUAAUUGGAUCUUCUAAUUAGGGACGGAGGAAAUAACAUGGCCCUUAACUAAAUAUUUUUUAUUUUUUGACAAAAAAAAAGCUAAACAAUUUUUGUUCAUGUGCAUGUUCAAAGUUCAAAGAAAAAGAAGAUUUAAUUGGAUCAAUAUACCAAUUUUCACUAAUAAAUAAAAAAUUCAGAAGAAGCCGUUCAGGUGGAGUCUAAAAGUGAUUUAUUUAUUUUUCCUACUAUGAGGAGCAUCUCCAUUUAAUGUAUAAAUUGUAAGAGACACCCAGCACCAUCUUCAUGUUCUUUAUUUAGACACCCAACCAUUCACUCCAACCAACCUCCUCCUCCACCUACGCCACCACUACCACCACCAUCACCACGCAACGCACCGCGGCCGCGGCCGCCACCAUGCAACCCUCUCAACCUCCUCCUCUCAAUGAAAAUUACUUGCGAGACGACGUCAAGUCGCAAGAAUGCGAAGACUUGCACUCCUCUCUCCCUUCGGAAGAAGACUGGGUCCCCACCUCUCUCCCUUCGGAAGAGGACUGUGUCCCCUCCACUCUCCGCUUGUACCAGGGCUUCUGGUUCCCCUCUUGGGUCUUGAACAGCGUCGUCGCUUGCCAAAAUCACUUCCAAGCUCACCCCUCCGACAUCCUCCUCGUCACCAGCCCGAAAUGUGGCACCACCUGGCUAAAGGCCAUCCUCUUCGCUCUCUUGAACCGUGCCAAGUACUCUGACUCCAACUCACAAAAACGCCACCCUCUCCUAACCCAAAACCCCCACGACCUCGUGCCCUUCUUGGAGUUCAGGCUCUAUCUCCAGAAUAAAAAUCCUGAUCUCACUGCUUUUGCAUCCCCGAGGCUCUUGGCCACCCACUUGCCUUAUUCCUCUCUUCCACGGUCGGUGAGGGACUCCAAUUGCAAGCUGGUUUACUUAUGUAGGAACCCUAAAGACACUUUCAUCUCGAUGUGGCACUACUUCAACAAGUUCAGGCCCGAAGAGAAGGGCCAGCUUCCACUCCCGGAGGGCCUCGACAAGUUCUGCCGAGGUGUGAACUGGUGUGGGCCUUAUUGGGACCAUGUGCUGGGUUACCACAAGGCGAGCUCGGAGAUGCCCGAGAAGGUUUUGUUUGUGAAGUAUGAGGAGAUGAAAGCGGACCCGAGCGUUCAAGUGAGGAGGUUGGCCGAUUUCAUGGGGCGUCCAUUCAGCGAAGAAGAACUGAGAAACGGGACCGUGGAGGGAAUAUUGAGGAUGUGUAGCUUUGACAAUUUGAGUGCACUGGAGGUGAAUAGGAGCGGCAAGUUGCCAUCUGGACUAGAGAAGAAGUGGUUCUUCAGGAAAGGCGAGGUUGGAGAUUGGGUGAAUUACAUGAGCGCUGAAAUGGGAGAGCAAAUUGACGGUGUCAUGGAAGAAAAGUUGCAUGGUUCUGGUUUGAAGUUUUAGGACAUAUGACCCACUCGAAGAUGUUUGGUUUGAUGGUGGAAAAGAAAAAUGUGUGUAAAAAGAAGAAAAAAGAAGCAAAAACGAUUCGACUCUCCGCACUUUAGGGGGUCAAUGUCUGGAUGAAAGAUCUUCAGUGGCAUUGUCAGUCCUGGUUUCGUCUCCAUAGUGAGAUGCUUUAAGGUUGUGAUUCUAGUCUUCAUCUGUGUUUUGUAUAUUUGGCGUUUGGCAGAAGUUAUUUGGCCAGUACGUAGCUGGCUAAACAAGAGCUGCCUAGCUGCUCCCUGGGAGCUUGUGGAUGUAUCUUCUGUUAUUUAUUUCAAUUCCAUUUUUCUUUUUCUCUUGGCUGUGUGAAGAUUCGUGGCAUACGGUAUUAAAUACAAAGCAGUUGUUUGGUAGGUUAAGCUACAAAUUAUAUUUGUUAGAUGGAAAAUAAAUUUGUUAUCAAGCUUAUCGGUUUAAAUUGUCGGUUUUCAAAGUCAUAAACUAAAACCAAACGAAUAACCAAAGAAAAAAAAUCCUAAACCAAAAUUAAAACCCUAAAGUGCUAAACUGAGCUUAUCAAUUUUGUUCGGCUCGGUUGAUCGUUUUUUUUUUCUGUUUUUCGUGAACAAUCCUACCAGCAUAGAUCCUUGCCGAAGCUGGCCAUGGUUGGGCUGUGGCCAUACCCAUGCGGUUUCUUCUAUUUUUUUUUUUAUUUUUUUUUUAACUUUCUUUCAUUUUAUUUUUUAAGAAUUCAUUAAUUUUCAUUUGUUCCUCUUGUUUAUGUCUCUUUUAAGUGUUUUGAUAAACCGGCUUGUAGUUUGGUUGACCCCCUUUUUAUAAUGUGUUAAUGAGAAUCAAAAAUUAAUUUUGUCAUGCCCUUUAAUUUACUUUGCCAAUUGCUUGCCAAGUGAUGUCUUUAGCUUCCGCGGCUUUAAUCUUGUCCUCUUUUUGCUGAUCGCGUGUUAACGGCCUAGCCAAGCCCACGUUCUUUCGAUGCUAGACUUCAGCCUACCAUCAAUUUUUCCUUCCAUAGAUUGUGCGCAUGAAGGAAUCGAACCAAAUGAAAAGAAGGCAAACGGUGAUAGAAAACGCGGAAAAGAGGAAACGGAGAAGAGAGAGACAAAGCUUGAGCGCGCAUCUCACGGGAAACUCGCUAAGCCAGGUUAGCCUCAUUUUGCAAGGCCCAAUAACUAAUCGAACUCGUUAUUCGUCUAAUUGAAAUAAUUUUCGGAAUUAGGCCACAAAUUGGAAGUUUAAGUGAAUUUUGAAACGCGAUUAAGGAGUUAUUAAGUUAUGGAUUUAUAUGGAAAUGGUCCUGUUUUGUGUGGGCAAAGUUGUUAGCCCACCACAAUCAAUGAGUUUGAAAGAGAGCCCCAAGAUUUGACAUGUGCUCUCAUAUCAUAGAACAAUACCUAAUCAUAAAAUUUAAACCAUUAAAUGAAAGGUGACUACAAGUAUACAAAACAUAUCAUAACUAUAACUUAAGUGAUUUAGAACUAUACUUAAUAGUUUGAAUGGAUGAGACACCAAAUAAUUAUACUGAUGGAGGUAAAAGAUUUCAUUCCAUUUUGGGGUAUCUUCACAUAAUAAAAUUCAACUCCAACUUUACAGAAUCCUGCAAUUUUUAUUCAAUUACAGAAAUUAAUUAAAGUGGCCCACUUGCAUCAUGGUGAGAGGAUCCAAUUCAAAGACAUGUAGUUAAUAACUCACCGUUGUCCACAUCUGCAAUAGCCUUCCUAACUAGCCAUGUCACAUAAGACAGUUGAUAUUCACGUUAAUAAUUACUAGUAAAAAUUAGCUGGAAUGAUUAUAUUGACAAAAAUCGAAAGAUUUAAGAUUAAAUUGGUCAAAUUGAAAAGUUUAUAACUGACUUAACCACCAUAUAAUAGGUUCAUGACUUUUUAACUAAUUAUCCAUAAUUUUUUUCUGUUGAUUGAUAAUGCUUCAUUCUGACAGAGUAAAGUACCACUUACUUUUGAACAGCCAAAAAAUGGAUGAUGCUUACAUAUACAAACGUCAUUACGCUAUAGCUAUAAAUGACUACAAAAUGCAUAUAUCUUCACUUACAUUAGAUGUAACACCAAAUGAACUCGAAAUUGCACAUCUAACUAAAGAGACAUAUUUUCCUCUAUUCUUGCUAAAGCCAAUCUCAAAGUAGAGGAUUAGACAACCCGCUUGCAUAUUUAACUAAAAAUAAAAUUUGUGGCAUGUCAAACUAUGAUUGGAUGCUCUAACUAGGGUAGCUAAAGAUUUUCUAUGAUGUUCAUUGUUCAUAGGUUAAGAAACAACAGAAUAUGUAACUAGUUUGUAAUACCAAUUCUCACCAAUAAAGAGAAAAACUCAGAAUAAGUCGUCAGAGUAGAGAAUAAAAGUGAAAAUCAUUUUUUUCCCUGACGAGGAGAUUUGUGUAGAGGAAAUAAUUCUUUACGCAUGGGAUGAAUUUGGUUGGAUGUUAAUUUAUUGCAUCUUGAUACAUAUAAAAUGUAAUAUCAUAUAGUAUGAAUUUGGAUGAGUAAAUAUCGAGAACAUAAAGAUUGGUGUACAAAAUUGAUUUACAUGAUGAAAUAAUAGAUCCCAAUGAGUAUCUACAUUAAGGAGGACGUAUACAUUCAAGCAUCCAAUAAUAGUUUUGACAUAUACACCGAUAAAUAUCGGUCUUUACCAACCUUGGUAUCAUCAAUUUUUUUUUUAAAAGCCGUAUGAAAGCAUCAAAUAAUGCUGGGAGUAUUUAUUUAUUUGGGUUUUUUUUUUUAAAGAUAUCUUCACGGGGAAAAUUGGCAGAUUGAUGUUUAUAUUAUUGAAAGACUCGGCCUGUGCUUGGCGACUUCUCAUGUAUAACAUUGACUUCAUUUUAAAACACCAGUUCAGAUUCAAUGUUGUAUCCAAUACUGGAUCGAUAUUAUGAAAUUUCAUCCACACUACCCCGGAUACAAGCCAACCAACAAAUAUUUCAAUAGGUUGCUUCGCUUAGUCGAAAAUAGAGUUAGGUGGGCUACCUUUUUAAUUAUUAUUAAAGGAUGAACAGGAACCUUCGAAUGUACUGUUCAAAGUUGAUAUGAUACGGAUGCUACUUGUAUAGAAGUUAUAAUUUGCAUUUCGCAAGAUGACAAAAUAUAUUUUGCGUAUGAUAAGUUACUUUAUCCCCGUUGAAGAUGGCGUUCACUUGGUAUACUAGUCUUCCCGCGAAGUCAGUACAAAAUGCAUCUGGAGAGAAUCCUCGAUACUUUGGGUGUUCACAGUUUUUGGGCUAACAUUAUAAGAGUUAUUUUGCAUACGAUGUUUUGGGCAUUGGGUAAUGGCCGUGGAGGGUUUGACAUGAACAUAAAUUUGGCCUUAGCCACCAGAGAUGAAGUUGAAAUGGAAGACACUGAGGAAGGCUCAAUUGGAGGAUACGAGUUAGAUCCAAACCAAGUCACACAGGACGUCUCCAGAGGCACCAUUUAAAAGAUCGAGCGGAAGAGUUACUCUGUUGGGAAAGCUGACGGAUGCUGUUCUAUUUGUUUAGAGGAACUGGAUGAGAAAUAUAAAGUGAUGGAGAUACCAUGUUCGCACCUAUUGCACAAUAGGUGUGUCAUCAAGUGGCUCGAGAGGAAUAAUUCGCGUCCACUAUGUCGUGGCAAAGUACAAGUACAAGAUUCAGAGUAGUCAGUUUUAGUUUGUAAGAUUUUCUGAUAAGAAAUGAAUUUUUUUUUUUCCCUGAUGGAUUAAACUAUUGUGCUGGAAUGACUUUGGGUACUUAAUGCAGCGCCCGCUGCUACAGUUCUGAAUAUCACCCCUGUUAAAAAACCGAGGUCACCUGUGAUGUCCCAGUAGAGACCAUAUAUAGUUUCUGUUUCUUCUAUGGCUAGAACCUGGCAGAGAUUGUAACCUGCAUUUGGAAAGAGAGCAAAACGAAAAGAAAAUUGUCCAGUCAAUAUUUACAUGAGAAACACUCACAAAAGAAUGUUCACAUAAGAGUACCAAGCGAGCGGGGAGCGGGGAACGGGGAGAGGGAGGUUGAGAGAGAUUCUUACGCAAACCGACAUACGGAAUAUGCGCAACUUUAUUAGCUCGGUUUUGCUAGUUAUCCUAGGCAACAAUGACCCAUUCGUAAGAAAAUGGGCAAAGACGGCUAACAGUGUAUUAUGCGCACAUUUGAUAAUCUCAUAUAUAAGCUGUCGUGUAUAUUAGAAAUAAAUUAAUAAGAUCGUUGCAGAUAUUUCUCAGAAAUUUAUUUAUUUUUUGAUAGGUGAAAGAGAAUAUUACUGAAGCGCAGCAAGGGAGUGGAAACCCAUAUGCGAAAAGAGCUCAGUUACUCGACAAAUUAUGUACACUGUUAAAGCAUUUCCAUCCGCACGACUUUCCAGGACACCAAAAGCAUAAGAUUUUUAACCAACUUUCAAUAAUUACAGAAAAGGGCGUUUCCUCUCCGAUGAAAGCUCUCAUAUUCGGCUCUCGGAAACUUAACUUAAACAGAUGACUUCCGACCAACAGAAUAUAUACAGAGACAUGCACAACAUCUGUUGUUCCAUCAAUGUUGAACACUAACGUAAGUUCUGGUAAUAAUAUAGGUACCUGUGCGGGUAGUCAUCCACCACACCACCAGUGAAUCUAGCACACAUGGCAGAGCUCAGAAUCAACUCUGCUGGGCUAUGCUUUUUGGAUAAACUUGAAAAACUGCUUGUGUCGCCCCUUGCCAAGCAUCUAUAUGACGAGCCAAAAAAUGCCCUAAAAACACUCUAGACAAAUGUUGAUUAUUAGCCAGCCAAAUAGAGACUAGAAGUUCUGCAAGAUAGAAAAGAAGAAAAGAAGAAAUCUUUUGAUUAUUCCGGACAAUCAUACCAUCCAAUACUAAGGGAGAAGCUUCAAUCCUAACAAUGGCUCCUGAGAGGACUUAUCGGCGUUGCAUAACCACUACAUGAAAAACAGAUAUAGAAUCAACAAACUACAGAAAAGAAACCAACAAAGAUUCCAAGUUACCCAGUGUAGGAACUCAGAGAAUUUCCAGAUAGUGUAACAAGAUUAUGAAAUAAGAAUGAUAACAUGCAAAAUUACUGACAGAAGACAAUCAGAAUGUAUGGAGACAAUACAACAAUGACAAAAGGUGUAUCACCAAGCUAUGGUCCACCGGUCCUUCAAACCCAGCUAUGCCCAAAUUCUAAAUAUUUCAUGUGCACAAUUUACCCCUUGAGUAUCCACUUAAUAACAAGUCAUUCUUACGGAUCAUUCUUUUGGUGUCUAACUAGCAGAUAAGGGGGAAAGACAGAGAAUUGAAUCUACCAAAGUUGAAGCACAACAGUAGCUACUUUCUGCAGGGAACUUUUCUUAUGGAUCAUUCUUUGAUUUGUCUGAUCCAAGCCAAGAGGUCAACCAUGCAUCCACAGUGCUCAUUAGUUGGAGCGGUGCCAUAACCUUUGCUCACACGUCCGAACAAGCGCCAUGCUCCAUUGAUUAGACACUUCCGAUUGCAGGCCAUUGGACCUCCAAUAAACGUCACAGCAUUUGGUUUAGGGCCCCUAUUUUCCAUCUCGUAGAAAAACUGCAGCCCAGUUUCAUUCUUACCAUUGACAGCAAACCCCAAUAUCGUCGCACUCCUAGUUGUCAACAUCUUUUAGAGGCAUUUGGUCAAACACUUCUUCGUGCGAAUCCGACGAACCCACAUGUGACAAGAAAAUAAUCAAUGCAAAGCCUGGCCCAAGUUCGUAAACGAUGCCACUCUUAUCUUUGUACUUAUGAACCCAUUAUCCUUCUUUAGAGGCUUCCACAAUAGCACGGCACAAAGUACGCUAUCCUAAAGAGAUCCAAUUAAUUUCACGUCUGCACGAUCUUUAACCCCAGAAAACAGCUCGAUGGUUUCAUCAAACCGCUCGUUCCUAAAUUAGCCAGAGAUCAAGGCACUGUAGGAAACACCAUUUUUCCCUGGCACUGAAUCGAACGGUCCUCGAGCUUCCUACAAGAGGUCACUGCUACAAUACCCAGUGAUAAGGCUCGUCCACCAAACCACGUCCCGCAUUGAACUCUGAUCAAACGGGUGGCUAGCAACACUCGCAGCCCAAUGCCUCCGGUACAUGCUUAUCAGAGAACCCACCAUGUAUGCAUCACAAUCUCGCGUGAACUUCAUCGCCCGGUGGUGAAGUUGGCCAAGCAAAGGAAGAACGAGCGCCAUGCCCCGACCAGAGCAGUGGAAGUGCGGGCAUAUGGCGGGCGUAGACAGAGACCAGCUUUCCCACAUUCGAAGUACCCCCAAGAAACUCAUCAUCCCGAUUCCCAAGUCGAAGACAAUGGUGGUGGGUGAGUGGGAACACGAGAGAAAAGGCACGCCGCGUAGUUCAUGUGGCUGCGAACGGGAAGCGAGAGAGGCCAAAGAUGAUGGCGUGGGUGGUCGGUCAAUGGUUGAGCAUCUUCGGAGAAGGGCGAGCGUGUGAUAUAUUUAUCACUAAUUGGUUGGAUAAUUUCGUCAUUUCACAAUGUGUAAUAAUAAAUAAAAUAUUUAUUCUAUAUAUGUCUUCUUCUUUUUUUUAAUAGAGAAAUUAUAUAUUAUAACCGGUCCAUUUAACACCCCUACUAUAUAUGUCUUUAGACAUUUUGGCUCUGUUCACAGCCAAUUUUAUUAUGGAAAUAGCGAGUUUCAAGAAAUUAAAACCUAAUAGUGAUGGGAGAAUCAUUCGAUGCUAUUUAGAACACAAAGGGAAUACAAAGUUAUCGUGAUUUAUUCCUUGAUUAGUCCAUCCACAAUCAACUUUGGUCACUAAGGGCACGUUUGUUUAAAUGUGUUUCUGUUCCCAGGAACACAAAUUUUUGUUUUUGUGUUCCUGGGAACAAAAAAGAAAGGAACACAAAAACGAAACAGAAACGCAUUUAUUUGCGUUUUUGUUCCAAAAUUAUUUUUUUGUUCUCAGAAACACAUUUGGAAUGGAAACAAGAAACUAAAAAAUUUUGUUUCUGGAAUAAAAUUUAGGAACACUUUUUCUCUCUCUUCCAUUUUCUUCUCUCUUUUUUUUCUUCUUCUUUUCUUCUUCUUUUUUCUUUAUUUUUUCUUUGGCCGGUCGCUAGCCUCGGCCAUGGCCAGCGACCGGCCGUCGAGGGCCGGCGACCUCGCCAGAGCAUCACCGGCCCCUGGUGAGGCCGACCUCGCGCCGGGCUGGGCGAGCUCAAGCCCGCCUAGCCAAGGCGAGGCCGCUGGCCCUCGUCAGCCGGUCUCCGGCAAUGUCUGAGGCUGGCGACUGGCCAAAAGAAGAAAAAAGAAAAAAGAAAAAAGAAAAAAAAGGAAAAAUAAAUAAGAAAAAAAAGAAAGAAAAUAGAAAAAAUAAAAUAAAAAUAUUAAAAGAUUAAAAGAAAUAAAAAAAUUAUACAAAUUUACCAAACGUGUUUCUAUUCUUUUUAUAUUUCUGGAACAGAUUUACCAAACACGUUUUUUGUUCAAAAAUUGUUUCGUGAAACAGCAAUACUUUUUUCUAUUUCUAUUCCCAUAAACAAUUUUUAAACAGAAAUGUUACCAAACGCACCCUAAAUAUAUCAUAUUUGAGCGUAAUAAUUAUUAAUCACACUUUGUAAGAGAAAACUGUAAUCCACGCGCAAUUGCAUGACGGAUCAAUUUACCAUAAUCAACUCUGCCCACUCAAAGUAUACCUUGAUAUAUACGAAUAUAGACAUGAACAUAAUAGAAAAUUUCCUAUAUAACCACAGUGGAGAAAGAAAUGAAAAAAGAAGAAGAAGAAAACAAUUGAAAACAUUAGGGGGCGCAUUUGAUAAUGAUUCUAUUUUCGGGAACAAUUUCUGAUUAAAAAGGAUUCUUUUAAAUUUUGUUUUUAGGACUAAUUUCUAAGCAUUUUAAGUAGUUUGGUAAUUGUUCAAAAUUUAUGAUUUUAGAAUAGAAUUCCAUUGGGUACUGUGCUUAAAAUUUCUACUCCAAAUCAAUUUUUUUUAAUUUUUAAAUAAUUUUAUUACUUUUUUUCUUUUUCUUUUUCUUUCUCUCCUAUUCUUCUUCUUCAAGUGGUUGGUCGCCGAUUCGGCGAUCGGCGAGAAGAGGGCUGGCGACCUCCCCAGAGCAUCAUCGGCCCUUGGCAAGGCCGGCCCUCGUCGGCAGAGCCUUGCUAAUGGCCAGGUAGGCCUCAUUGGGGCUGGGUGAGGCUCGCCUAGCCAUCGGCGGGGUUGGGCGAGCCUCGUUGGGGUUGGGCAAGGCCAGCCUGGCCAUCGGCGAGGCUGGGCGAGCCUCGCCGGGGCUGGGUGAGGCCUGCCUCGCCGGUGGCUGGGCUUGCCUUUAUCGAGCUUACCGGACCUUGCCUUGGCCUGGCGAGCCUUCGGUGAGCUCACCAUAGCAGUUGUCGGCGACUGGCAGCGGUGGGCGGCAAACGGCGGCGGAUGGCAACCGCGGCGGUGGCGGUAGAUGAAGAAGAAGAAGAGAAAAAGGGUAGAAGAAGAAGAAGAAAAUGGCUUGAUUAUUAGAUUUGUUCACGGGAAUAAGAAUCAACUUUUUUUUAUUUAUUCUUGAUUCUAUUCCAAAUCUACUUUCGGGAACAAAAACAUAGAAAUUUGUUCAUGGGAACAAAAAUUUUACCAAACACUUUUCUAUUCCAAAACUACUCCUAGGAACAAAAACUCAGAAUCUGGCAUUAUUGGGAUGGUUACCAAACAUUCCCUACGACUGGUCUUAAAAAGAACCACUCGCCAAGGAUUGAAUUUCUCGAGAGAAAUAGAGAGAGUCUAAUUGCAUAGAAUAAUAAAAUUAUAAACAUAAAAUAAAAAUUUUCCAUUGGUCAGCAAACAAAAGAAAUACUAAUUCAAGAUAAAGUCUCAUUAAAAGAUAUGUUUGACCUAGGAAUUCUAUAUGCUCUUUUAAGUUAAAUGGCUUUCAAAGGGUGAUUCUUGCACUUGUGAGCUCUUUUUAUAACGAUAUAAACAUGUAUUGAUCAUCGUCAAUCCAAUAAAAUGGCUGCUCUUUAAUAGAUUUUACAUCUUAAACCAUGUUGAAACCAAUGUUUUUCCUUCUUUUUGUCGCUUCUCCAAAAAGGCACGUGUCCCUUUAAAGAGGAAGCAACUAAUUGUACUCAACAAUUUCUAGAUGCAUACCUGUAAUGGAGAAAUUGGUUUAUGUCAAUAAAUCUUUCAAAUUCAAAGCUCCAUCUAAAAUAGAGAACCAUUAGGGAAAAAAAAUAAUUGAUCAGGUCUGAGUGAUUUAGUCUGCACUUAGAACCGAACUGAUUAUCAAUGAUUCCAAAUUUUAGGAACGAGGAAUUGGACUAGUGCUCACCCCUAGAUAGUAUGUUUGAAUGUAAAGAAUUUGUGCAACCAACUGAGAUCUUUGGUUUUACAUACCGAUGAAAAUGAUUUUCCUGAAUAUGUCAAUUGAAAAAUUUAGCUAUGGUUAAGGAAAUUUCUAGGAAGAGUUUAAUUAAGUGAUGCAAAUAUUUUUUAACUGAACACCGGUCGCGAAGGUCUAUAGGUGUAGAGAGCAAAGCUCAAGCCAUAUGUGUUUUGUUUUCUUCAACUAGUUAAUUGAUAACCUUCUACCAUGUCUUUAUUUAUAUAAAAGAAAAUACUUUUAAUACCUUAGCUAAGAUUUCAAGCAAAGUUUAGAGUUCCGAGGCAUUGGAGUGUUAUUAUAUGUAUCCCUGUUUUUGUGCAAGAAUCUAGCAUUGCGCAAAAAUAGAAUUCCGACAAUACAACCCUUUCGAUGUCUUGCCGAAAUAAUUCAUGGUUAGCACAUCAACAAACACAAUAAAGUGACCCAAAUGCUGCAUCUUCUCGAUAGUCCCUUUAUAUAUAUGUAUGUAUGUAUAUUGUCGAGCUUCUCAAUAGCGUUGACUUAUGUACAUUCAUUACUACGUGGAAAGAAUGAAAGAAACUCUUGAGCUCUAGUGGAGCAGUUAGUAGUCUCUCUUCCACAAUGGUCCAGAGGAAGUCUGCUGCUUCUCUGUGCGCCGUAUUGCUAGGGUACCCUUGGAUCUGUCACCACCUGAUCAACAGCUUCCGAUGAAUUCUCAAUGGGUGGCUUAAGAGGCCAAAAAUUUCUAUUCCUAGGGAUUAAAGAUGCUGGCAAGUUCUCGUCAUGGCACCAUCGCUGACCUCGGUUGUGUGUGCUCAUCUGUCAAUUAUGCCUCGGCCCACUUGACCUCAACCCCCUCAAGUUUAAAGGAGUCUUACCUGGCAGGGGAGCAAGAGUUAGUCCUUAGGUAUCAAGAACUCUCUGGGGACAGAAUCCAUGUCCACGUAACAAUUUUUGGCUUUAGCAUCAGCACUCCGCGCAGCCCAAUCAUCAGACUGAAUCAAAGGUUAACGUUUCCCAUUACCUAAUAAGAGUAAAAGACACUAAAACAAUCACAAUCUGUCCUCGUAAGUGACAAAUGAACAGGACACGGAGUUGGCCAUAAAGACAAAGGUAUACAACAGGGCUGAUGAAACCAUACCUUAGAUGCUCCUAUAUACCGAGUAAACAUGGGUUUCGUGUGGUAAGAGACAGAACCACCUCAGUGGGAUUCUUGACCAUAUGUAAUAUCACAAAUUAAGGCCUAAGCAAUGGAUCUUUGUAACAUAUUUAAUCAUGUUACUUCACCAGUCUCACUAUCGAUUAGGCAUUCUUGGUAACAGUAUUUGGAAGGGACAUCAUGGAUUUGUUAAUGCAUCCUAUACCGAACAGACAACAACAUUGUUGCGCAAUCCAGCUUGCUAAAAUCUAUCAAAAAGUCUCCUGCUAUCUAGCAAGGUCCGAUAACACUAGCAGGAAGCUGCUGCGGAUCCACAAACAGAAACAUCAAGCAGCACCAAGAGAAAGGGAAGGAAUAACUGCCACCAGAUUGGCAUGCACUGCCUCAUCAAUGACUGCCAUUUCGAAACCAUGAGAAAGGCGAGAGAAUAAGGCUGCGUUUGCUUUGAUUUCUUUUUUCUGUUUUUAAAUAAUUUUUUUGUUUUUUUGUUCCUGGGAACAAAAAAGGAACAGAAAUGCCUUUGUUUGCGUUUUUGUUCCAAAGUUAUUUUUUUGUUCCCAGAAACACAUCUAGAACAGAAACAAGAAACAAAAAAAAAUUAUGUUUCUUGUUUCUGGAACACAUUUUAAGAACAAAAAAUGAACAAAAACAUAAGCCCUCGUGUUUCUUUUCUGUUUCUUGCUCAGCCGUUCGAAGACUGCCUCUCCUCCUACAUCUUCUCCACCGUCAUCUUCUCCGGCGCCUCCCACUCUCCGGCGCCAACAACCGCCUCUGUCUCGAGACCAUCCGGCUUCUCCACCGUCGUCCUCUCCGGCGCCGAUAGCCGCCUCUGUCUCGAGACCGUUAGGCUUCUCCACCGUCGUCCUCUCCGGCACUAACAGCCGCUGCUCCUUCACUAGGUGAACCUGCUCACUGCUCCUCCUUCACCGAUUGACGAGGGCUUCAGCGAGAGCCACCCCUCACAGAUUUGGGCGAUGGCUGCUCGGAGCUCGAGCGUGAGGGCUCGCUUGAGCCAGCGCUUGCCCAGAUCUGCGAGACGCUUGCUCUAGCGAGUCUCGUAGAUCUGGGCGAGCGGGGCACCGUUGCUCGCUAGAUCUGCAGCAGCGGCUCGUCUGCUCACUCGAGAUCUGGACGAGCACGCUCGCCGAGAUCUGGCGAGCAGACGCUGCCCGAGAUCUGGACCAGCACGCUCGCCCAGAUGAGCAACUCACUCGAGCAUUUGCUUGCAGCCAAGAUCUGGACCAGCACACUCGUCCAGAUGAGUAGCUUGCUCGAGCGUUUGCUUGCAGCGAGCCCUGCUCUGCUCGCUCGCUGCUGCUCACGCUCGAGUGAGCUGUGAGUAGCAGCGAGCGUCUGCUGCUUGCUUCUCUGCUCGCUCGAGCAUGAGUAGCAGUCACUUGCUUCUCUGCUCGAGCGAGCAGAGCAGCGAGCCUAGCUCUGCUUGCUCGCUGCUGCUCACACUCGAGGGAGCAGAGUAGCAAGCGUCUGCUCGCUCGAGCAUGAGCAGCAGCGAGCGAGCAGAGUAGCGAGCGUCUGCUUGCUUGCUUGUCUGCUCGCUUGCUGCUGCUCACGCUCGAGCGAGCAGACAAGCGAGCAGAGCAGCGAGCGUUUGCUCAUUGCUCACGCUCGAGCGAGCAGAGCAGCGAGCGCCUAAUGAUAUUGAUUAUUAAACUUGUUGAAGAUCUUUGGAUUGUGUUGCAACUAGGAGAGAUUGAUGCAUAGGUGGAUGCAUCCUAAUACUGUUAAUUCCUGUAUUAGUGUCAAUCCUGUUGAUCAAACGAUAAGGUAACAUGUUACGUUUUUCAUAACUAGAGAGAGGAAAAGGACCUCUCAAAAUCUCAUCCCUUCUAUUACAGUAACACGUUACGUUUUCUGGCAAGUUAAGUCAUUGAAAUCAUUUAACUAAUUACUUUAUAAAAGUUGUGAAACUUAAACAAUCAUUUUCAAAGGAUUUUUUUGCCAAAAUAGGCUUGGUACAAUGAUUUUUGGCAAUGAUAAUGUCCGUCUCCAUCAUUUGAUUUUUGUUGCAAUGUGGAAUUAAAACUUAUCCUGUAUUGUGGAAGCCUCUUGCAUAUUUGCACUCAUUUUGGUGACUGUUUCCUUCUCUUUUCCUUGUUUCUCACUCUAUCUCAAUUAGUUGUCUCCUUCCUAGGUGAACAAUGCUGGUGUUGGUGGAUCCAUUAUCGACGCUGAUGCUUUGAGAACUUCGGUGGAUCCAUCCAAAGUUCCGCCUUACCGGUGCCAAUCCACGAAGAAAUAUUUUUUUUCCCUUGCUCUGUUUGCAAUUUGCCAGUCCUUGCCACAUAAAUCGCAAUUUGCUGAUUUUGGAAAUAGUUAUCCGCACGCUAAGGUUGGCCUUUCGGCUUCUUUUUUCUUUGUCUUAAUCUUAGAGAUCUUAUAAUUUAGUUGGACUGUGCACAAAAUAGGAUAGGGUGUACGGAUCCAUAUAGGUUACCAUGCUGAUUCUGUGUAUGGCGUGUAGUUCUUAUGGUAUUAUGUUAUUGAUUUAAUUCAUAACUCAUAUGAUGCUCAACCGGUCGAAGAUUCAAUGGCAUCUGAGAGACACUCAUUCAAUGCAAAGUGGACGGAGUCUAUAACCAAUAUACUUAUCGAUUUAAAGGGAAACCACACCUCUUCCACUUUCGACAAAGCGGGGUGGAGGAAUGUACAGUCUGAACUCAGUAGACAGACAUGAUUCCAAUUUACCAUGGUACAGCUGAGGAACAAGGAAAACAAACUGAAAAAACAGUAUGGCAGUUUUCACAAACUCAUUUCUCAGUUCGGAUUUGGUUGGGAUAAUGUGAACAAAAGAGUUGUUGUCGACGAUCCAAGUAUAUGGGAAUCUCAUAUCAAGGUAUUUCUUAACUUUGUGGUCAUUUUGAUAUCAUUACAAAUGUCAAUUUUAAAAUGUAUGAUUAUAUUGCUGAAAUGUCAAUAUUGUGAAAAUUGUAGGAUAAUGUCGAGUGGGCAAGAUUCAGGAAGAAUGGAUUUCCUCAGUAUCAUGAGCUCUGUAUUGUUUUUGGUGGUACAUAUGCUACUGGGGAUCACGCCAUAGGAAAUGCUCAAGAUGUGAAUGUGUCGGAUGAUGAUGACAAUGGUGAUGACAAUGUAGGUGGUGACAACAGUAGUGGCGAUGCAAAUGGUGUCAAUGCAGGUGGUGACUAUGAUGGUAGCAAUGCAAAUGAUUUCAUUGGACACCACAGUGAUGACAGACUCUUUACAACAGACGAUGCUGGAACUUCAGUUCAUGGAAAGCACAAAUUGGAUAGAACUCCAAAUAGUAAGUGGAGAAGAAAGAGUAACCAAUCCGGUAUUGCUGAAACUUGCAGAGCCAUACAAGAUUUUCUGAAAGUUAGGUCAUCAAGUCAAUCUGGUGGUGGCUCUGCGAGCUCAGGGACUACACAACCACCUGUAGACCAUUUCUCCAUAUCUGCUAUAGUCCAUAUUCUAUUGAGUAUGCCUGAGAUAGAGCAAGAUGUUUACAAUAAAGCAGUGGAACGAGAAUGCGCCAGUUGUCAAUGGAGGGAGGCUUUCAUUAUAUCCACAUCUGCAAGGAGGAUUGGACUUCUUCAAUUCCUUUAGUAGAUGUUUGGAAAUAUAUUAUGAAUUGCAUAGAGUUUCAUUAGACUAUAUAACUUAUAUUAUCUAUUAAUCUUUAGUUUAUUCAAAUAUGAUUAAUGUUGAGACUCUUGUACUUAUAUGUAAUGGCAUAUCUUAUUGAGAUUUUAUGACUUAUGUUAUUGAUUGUUAUUGGGAUGUGUUUUCAAAAUCUAUAUUGAUGUUUUGGUCAUUUUUGUGAUUGUAAAGGUACUAUGGAAGGGGGAUCAAAUAGUGUGUCUAAUGAGCAGGUACAACCAGUUGAACAAUUCUUGGAUGAUGAUAUUAACAUAUUGGUAGUGUGGUUCUGCUUAGCUGCGAUGGACACGUCCCUGCAUACGAGAGAACCUAUUAGGGACAAUCAAUUAUCAGGAGUAGAAUGGAUAAGGGAGAUUGUUCAUGGACAUUCAGAUAGGAUAUAUGAAACAUUUAGGAUGGAGAGACAUAUUUUUCUUAAUUUAUGUGACUUAAUGAGGGUAAGGGGUUGGUUGAAAGAUAGUUGAUAUGUUCAAAUAGAUGAACAAGUUGGGAUAUUCUUAAGUGUGGUUACUCACAAUAACUCAAAUAGAGAUUUAUGUGAGAGAUUCCAACAUUCAGGAGAAACGAUCAGCAAGUAUUUCAACAAAGUGUUGAAAGCAAUGAUCAAACUUUCAAAGGAGAUAAUCAAACCACCGUCCUUUGACGUCAUUCCACAAGAAAUUCUUAUUGAUCCUAGUCAUAAACGCUACUUCAAGGUAUGAUUUUUAUAUUGAUUUUAUACCGUCAAAUACAUGUAGUUGAUAAUCUUAUAUGAUAUUAGAUUGUUAAUAUAUUGACAGGACUGCGUAGGUGCUACGGAUGGCACCUAUAUAGAUGCUACCGUCUCUGUGUCUCAGCAGAUUCCAUUUAGAGGUAGGAGUAGAAGAACAACCCAGAAUGUGCUGUGUAUUUGCUCUUUUGAUAUGAAAUUUACUUUCGUGUAUGCUGGAUGGGAAUGAUCUGCCAACGAUUGUCGAGUGCUUUUAGCAGCACUAAAAAAUCCUCAACUACAAUUUCCCCGACCACCACCUGAUACUUACUUUGUUUAUGAAGACAAUUUUAUGAUUAUAUAUUAUGGUUGAAUAUCACAACAAAUUUAUAUAUAUCAUGUUAUAAGGAAAUAUUACGUGGUAGAUUCGGGUUAUGCAGCACUUCCAGGAUUUUUAACUCCAUUUAGAGGCGAUCGGUAUCAUCUAAGCGAGUAUAGAGGGAAUGGGGGACGACCAAGGACAUCAAGAGAAUUGUUCAACAAGAAGCACUCUUCACUAAGAAAUGUAAUUGAGAGGUGAUUUGGGGCAUUAAAGAAUUGCUUCACCAUUUUGAGACAGAUGCCUUCAUUUACAAUUCGGAAGCAAGCACUUGUUGUAAUUGCUUGUUGUGCUCUCCAUAACUACAUUCGUGAUCAAGAAGCGAUGGAUAGAAACUUUUCCCUAUAUGGAGAUCCGGAGUAUCCAUGCGAACCUACAGAAGUGGAGGUUGCAGAUGAUACAUUGCAUGAUGCACCUAGAAUAAACAUGCUAGGACAAGGAUUGCAAAUAAAAUGGCGACGGAUCAUAAUAUGCCUGAGAUUUCAUGACUUUGUGUUUCCGACUUUUGUAAUUUUGUUUUUAAGUACUCACUUAUCAAAUUCAAUGUGAUGAAGUUGAAUAAUGAACUAUAUUGUCCGGGAUAAGAACGCUUCAAGUGCCAAAAGUUGGCACAAAGGGACACUUAAGUGCCAAAAGUUACGAAAGGUACACUUGAGUGUCACAUUCGAAGAAAAACGGAUCACUUAAGUGCCACUCCGGCCAAAGUCCGGCCAAAAGGCUGACGUGGCAUUUUUCCGACGAAUUUCCGGCGAAGUGAACCCAAAACGACGCCGUUUUGCAUGCUGACAUGGCAAAUAAUGCAAAAACGGCGUCGCUUUGGGUUGACAUGGCAAAAAAAUAAUAUAACAAUUAAAUAAAUUAAAUUUAAAAUUCGAUUUAGAUAAAAUAUUAAAAAAAUUAAUUUUAAUAGUUAAAAUAUUAAAAAAAAUAAUAAAUUUAAAAUUACAUUUAGUUAAAAAUUUUAAAAAAUAAUUUAAAAAUUAAAUUUAGUUAAAAUAUUAAAAAAUAAUAAUUUUAAAAUUACAUUUAGUUAAAAUAUUUUUAAAAAUAAUUUUAAAAUAAAAUUUAGUUAACAUAUUAAAAAUAAUAAUUUUAAAAACUAAAAAUUAAAAAAAUAAUUUUAAAAUUAGAUUUAGUUAAAAAUUUUAAAAAAAUAAUUUUAAAAUAAAAUUUAGUUAACAUAUUAAAAAUAAUAAUUUUAAAAACUAAAAAUUUAAAAAAUAAUUUUAAAAUUAGAUUUAGUUAAAAAUUUUAAAAAAAUAAUUUUAAAAUAAAAUUUAGUUAACAUAUUAAAAAUUAAUAAUUUUAAAAAUUAAAAAUUAAAAUAAAUUUAAAAAAUUAAAAUAAAUUUAAAAAAUUUAAAAUUAAAUUUAGUUAAAAUAUUAAAAAAUAAUAAUUUCAAAAAUAAAAAAUUUAAAAUUAGAUUUAGUUAAAAAUUUCAAAAAAAAUUACAAUUAGAUUUAGUUAAAAAAUUAAAAAAAAUUAAUUUUAAAAUUAAUUUAUUAAAAUAUUAAAAAAUAAUAACUUUAAAAAAAUUAAAACAAAUUAAAAUAAUAAAAAUUUUAAAAUUAGAUUUAGUUAAAAUAUUAAAAAAUAAUAAUUUUAAAACUAAAUUUAAUUAAAAUAUUAAAAAAUAAUAUUUUAAAUUAAAAAAUAAAAGAAGGGGGCGGUGGNNNNNNNNNNNNNNNNNNNNNNNNNNNNNNNNNNNNNNNNNNNNNNNNNNNNNNNNNNNNNNNNNNNNNNNNNNNNNNNNNNNNNNNNNNNNNNNNNNNNNNNNNNNNNNNNNNNNNNNNNNNNNNNNNNNNNNNNNNNNNNNNNNNNNNNNNNNNNNNNNNNNNNNNNNNNNNNNNNNNNNNNNNNNNNNNNNNNNNNNNNNNNNNNNNNNNNNNNNNNNNNNNNNNNNNNNNNNNNNNNNNNNNNNNNNNNNNNNNNNNNNNNNNNNNNNNNNNNNNNNNNNNNNNNNNNNNNNNNNNNNNNNNNNNNUUUUAAAUGAUUAUUUUUUAAUAUUUUAACUAAAUUUAAUUUUAAUUUUUUUUAUAUUUUAACUAAAUGCAAUUUUAAAUUUAUUAUUUUUUUAAUAUUUUAACUAUUAAAGUUAUUAUUUUUUAAUAUUUUAACUAAAUAUAUUUUUAAAUUUAAUUUAUUUAAUUUUUAUAUUAUUUUUUUUAUCACAUGAGCCAAAAACGACGUCGUUUUUGCAUUAUUUGGCCAUGUCAGCGUGCAAAACGGCGUCGUUUUGGGUUCGGUUCGCCGGAAAAAUGCCACGUCGGCAUUUUGGCCGGAUUUUGGCCGGAUUGGCACUCAAGUGAUUCAUUUUACUCCGAUUUUGGCACUUAAGUGUACCUUUCGUAACUUUUGGCACUUAAGUGUCCAUUUGUGCCAACUUUUGGCACUUCAGGGGUCCUUGUCCCAUUACUUCAUUAUUGUGAUGUUAUGUAUGAAAGGGUCUAUGUAGAGAUCUAUAAGAUAUUCUUCUUUUAGCCAGCUCUUAUUGUACAAAUUUUACUUACGAAAUUUUGUUCCAAGUAUGCACAUGACCAUGUUCAGAAUGUUUGUCUUCACCCACCAUGAACAAAAUUAAAUUGAUGAGCAUUUCAUUAGAGUGAUAAUGCAAUACCAAGUUUACACUUUAUUGAAAAAAAGGCACGUGAGAAAAAUUUGGUACAAAGUUUAUUUAUAAAAUUUUCUUCAAAGUAUGCACUUAUAACCAUGUUUAGAAUGUUUGACUUUACUCACCAUGAACAAAAUUAAAUUGAUGAGCCUUUUAUGAUAAUGAGAAUUCAAAACCAAGUUUACACUUUAUUAAAAAAAAAAAAAAAGCAAUUGGGAAAAUUUUGGUACAAACUUAAAAAAUUUUCUUCCAAGAAAGCAAAUAUGAUCAUGUUUAGAAUGUUUGUUUUCACUUACUAUGAACAAAAUUAAAUUGAUGAGCAUUUCAUGAGAAUGAUAAUUCAAUACCAAGUUUACACUUUAUUAAAAAAAAAAAACACUUGAAAAAAAAAAUGGAACAUAAAUUUUGUGCAGUUACCAAACGUGUUUCUGUUCUUUUUCUAUUCCAGAAACAGAAAUUUUAUGCAGUUACUAAACGCGUUUUUUUGUUCAAAAAUUAUUCCCUGGAAGAGAAACACUUUUUUCUAUUUCUGUUUCCUAGAACAAUUUUUAAACAGAAACGUUACCAAACGCACCAUAAAUUUCUACCACUGCUUGACAGGGUAGUGAAGACAAUCACAGCUUCAUAUGAGAUCCAUUUAUCAAAGCAGCAGAAACUUUUCCUUGAACUAUGUGAUGUGAUUUGCAAAUGGAUCGAUGGAUCUAAAUUGCCAAUCACACAUUGAUGCUACGAUUAGUAUCAUAUGGGAAUAAAUUGACUAAUAUGAAUUCCAAUCGUUGAAUCAUGCUACAUUUUUCGACAUCCUCCAAAGAUACUACCCAGCAGAAUUCCACUUCGCUUUUAAUAACUCUUGACGACAGAUAUGCAAUGCAACUCAUGCAUACAUGUGAUUAGCAUUACACUGAGCAGAUUUUGGUUCUUCAAAAACCCCAACAUUCCAUCCCUACCACGACACUCAAGAGGGAAGCAACUCGCGAGUGUUGAUUAGCACAAACUGUCAUCUUCCCAAUUGCGUGUGACACAACUUACUCCGGCGGAAGAGACCGAAGAGGGAUAGGUGAACUGUGCAGUGGACUGAGAGGGGGCGUAAAACCACCGCCGGAGAAAGCAGCGGCGGUGCCCUCGAAUUGGCUUCCAAAUGUGGCCAUCUUCUCUGUUUUGUUUCCUUUUCUUUUUCUUUUUUUCACUUGAUCAAGAGGGAAUUGUUUCCAUCGUUGGUUCAUUCGAUUCUCGGAUUUUUUUUUUUCCUGUUAUAGAGCUUCUUUUUCCGUCUGUUUCUCGAUAUACUUCCAUAAGAUUCCACGAAAGAUUUCCUGGGUUUUCUCGUGCUUGGGUUUCAACGUUACCCGUGAAAUCUUGUUCAACCCACUCUUGGUAGCAACGACAUGGAGAAGAUAGUCUAUUGCCUAUACAGUUUGAGGCUAAAGACAAGAAAUUCCGAUUUUUUUGGCCCACCGACCGCUGUCUUUAAUUUCUCGGUCAAGUGGCACCAUUUGCUAGUUUUUGUUGAUAAAAAACAAUUUUGAGUUGUUUAAGUGGACACAACCACUUCUAAUGCUCAUUUUUUUGGGCAAACAUCACAAAAAAUCUCAUACCAUUCGCACUGUGGCAUAAAUACCCAAAGCUUAUAUAUAUAUAUUACAAAAAAUUAUAAAGUUGCCCAUUGUGGCACAAAUACUUCUGACUUUUUUUUCGUGUCACAAAUAAAUCCAAUGUAUAUAUAAAUAUUUUCUAUUUUAGUUCUGUUUAGAGUAUAUUUGUCACAAUUGGCAAGUUUAGGAUUUCUACUAAUAAAAAAAAAUUAAGGUAUUUGUGUCAUGGUUGGUAUAAUUUGAGUUUUUUUGAGGUAUUAAACCCUUAUUUUUUAUUUAUUUAUACGCAAUGCUUUAUUUGCCUUUUUGAGCAUGGGUUUUUUAUUCAAUCAUGUGAUUGAGAUGCGUUUGUUUUUAUUUAUUAAUAUAACUGAGAAAGAAAAUAUUUGAUCACGGAUGCUGAGAGAAAGUGUGCGUAUCCACUCUAGCAUUAUUAAUCCUCGUUAGUUGAUAAUAUAUCUAGCCUUAAUCAUGUAAUGAAAAUCGCGAAUAAAGUGUGGGGUAGUGAGAGUAUUUUGUGUUAUAUAUAGAGUGGUUAGGAUUUGAUUUUAUACACCUGAUCCAGUGCCUUAUCUGAUAGUGUAAAUGAAAGUUCCACGUUAAACGUGCAUUUGAACACUGCCAAAAAAUAGAUGAUGAGUACACAUACAAGUAUCUUUACGCUAUCGCUAUAAAUGAGUAAAGAAUUCGACAUGUGGGCAUGAGGUUUCACGCUCUUGACGUCGUCAAUAUCGUAUGCUAAAUGUCCACCAAAUGGUUCAUUGACUUGAUACUACCCACCUAACUAAAGCGACAUAUCUUUCUCCAUCCUUACUAGAGCCAGACCUCCAUUAGAGGAUUGCAAAUAAGGAUAGAACCCGUUUGUAAAUUUAACUAAGUUGAAAUUUUUGCGAUGUCAAAUUAUAAUUGGAUCCUCUAAUUAGGGAUGGAGGAAAUAACAUAGCCCUUAACUAAAUGAUAUUUAUUUUCUGUCAAAAAAAAAAAGCUAGACAAUUUUUGUUCAUGUGCAUGCUCAAAAUUCAAAGAAAAAGAAGAAGAUUUAAUUGGAUCGAUAUACCAAUUUUCACUAAUAAAUAAAAAAAUUCAGAAGAGGCCGUUCAGGUGGUGUCUAAAAGUGAUUUUUUUUUUCCUACUAUGAGGACCAUCUCCAUUUAACGUAUAAAUUGCAAGAGACACCCAGCACCAUCUUCAUGUUCUUUAUUUAGACACCCAAUCAUUCACUCCAAUCAGCCUCCUCCUCCACCUACACCACCACUAACACCACCAUCACCACACGCCACCGCCGCUGCCGCCACCAUGCAACCCUCUCAACCUCCUUCUCUCAUUGAAAAUUACUUGCGAGACGACGUCAAGUCGCCAGAAUGCGAAGACUUGCUCUCCUCUCUCCCUUCGGAAGAGGGCUGGGUCCAAACCUCUCUCCGCUUGUAUCGGGGCUUCUGGUUCCUCUCUUGGCUCUUGAACAGCGUCUUUGCUUGCCAAAACCAAUUCCAAGUUCACCCCUCUGACAUCCUCCUUGUCACCAGCCCGAAAUGUGGCACCACCUGGCUAAAGGCCAUCCUCUUUGCUCUCUUGAACCAUGCCGAGUACUCUGACUCCAACCCACAACAACGCCACCCUCUCCUAACACAAACCCCCCCACGAUCUUGUGCCCUACUUGGAGCUCGGGCUCUAUCUCCUGAAUAAAAACCCCGAUCUCACUGCUUUUACGUCCCCAAGGCUCUUGGCCACCCACUUGCCUUAUUCCUUGCUUCCGCGAUCGGUGAGGCAUUCCAAUUGCAAGCUGGUUUACUUGUGUAGGAACCCUAAAGACACUUUCAUCUCGAUGUGGCACUACUUCAACAAGUUCAGGCCCGAAGAGAAGGGCCAACUUCCACUCCUAGAGGGCCUCGACAAGUUCUGCGGAGGCAUUAGCGUGUACGGGCCUUACUGGGACCAUGUGCUGGGUUACCACAAGGCGAGCUCGGAGAUGCCCGAGAAGGUUUUGUUUGUGAAGUAUGAGGAGAUGAAAGCGGACACGAGCGUUCAAGUGAGGAGGUUGGCCGAUUUCAACGGGCGUCCAUUCAACGAAGAAGAAUUGAGAAACGGGACCGUGGAGGGAAUACUGAGGAUGUGUAGCUUUGACAAUUUAAGUGCAUCGGAGGUGAAUAGGAGCGGCAAGUUGCCUACUGGAGUAGAGAACAAGAGGCUCUUCAGGAAAGGCGAGGUUGGAGAUUGGGUGAAUUACAUGAGCGCUGAGAUGGGAGAGAGAAUUGACGGUGUCAUGGAAGAAAAGUUGCAUGGUUCUGGUUUGAAGUUUUAGGACAUAUGACCCACUCGAAGAUGUUUGGUUUGAUGGUGGAAAAGAAAAAUGUGUGUAAAAAAGAAGAAAAAAGAAGCAAAAACGAUUCGACUCUCCGCACUUUAGGGGGUCAAUGUCUGGUUGGCCAAUGCAAGCGUGUUUCUCAUGCUAUAGGAUGAAAGAUCUUCAGUGGCUUCGUCUGUGUUGUGUACUAUUGGCGUUUGGCAGAAGUUAUUUGGCCAGUACGUAGCUGGCUAAACAAGAGCUGCCUAGCUGCUCCCUGGGAGCUUGUGGAUGUAUCUUCUGUUAUUUAUUUCAAUUCCAUUUUUCUUUUUCUCUUGGCUGUGUGAAGAUUCGUGGCAUACGAUAUUAAAUACAAAGCAGUUAUUUGGUAGGUUAAGCUACAAAUUAUAUUUGUAAGAUGGAAAAUAAAUUUGUUAUUAAGCUUAUCGGUUUAAUUUGUCGGUUUUCAAAGUCAUAAACUAAAACCAAACGAAUAACCAAAGAAAAAAAAAAUCCUAAACCAAAAUUAAAAUCCUAAAGUGCUAAACUGAGCUUAUCAAUUUUGUUCGGCUCAUGUUGAUCGUUUUUGUUUUUUUUUCUGUUUUUCGUGAACAAUAGAUCCUUGCCGAAGCUGGCCAUGGUUGGGCUGUGGCCAUACCCAUGCGGUUUAUUCUAUUUUCUUUUUUUUUUUUUUAACUUUCUUUCAUUUUAUUUUUUAAGAAUUCAUUAAUUUUCAUUUGUUCCUCUUGUUUUUGGCUCUUUUAAGUGUUUUGAUAAACCGGCUUGUAGUUUGGUUGACCCCCUUUUUAUAAUGUGUUAAUGAGAAUCAAAAAUUAAUUUUGUCAUGCCCUUUAAUUUACUUUGCCAAUUGCUUGCCAAGUGAUGUCUUUAGCUUCCGCGGCUUUAAUCUUGUCCUCUUUUUGCUGAUCGCGUGUUAACGGCCUAGCCAAGCCCACGUUCUUUCGAUGCUAGACUUCAGCCUACCAUCAAUUUUUCCUUCCAUAGAUUGUGCGCAUGAAGGAAUCGAACCAAAUGAAAAGAAGGCAAACGGUGAUAGAAAACGAGGAAAUGAGGAAACGGAGAAGAGAGAGACAAAGCUUGCGUGCGCAUCUCACAGGAACCACGCUAAGCCAGGUUAGCAUCAUUUUGUAAUGCCCAAUAAUUAAUCGAACUCGUUAUUCAUCUAAUCAAAAUAAUUUUGGGAAUUAGGCCGCAAAUUUGAAGUUUAAGUGAAUUUUGAACUGUGAUUAAGGAAUUAUUAAGUUAUGGAUUUAUAUGGAAAUGGUCGACAAUGUUGUGAGCCCACCACAAUCAAUGAGUUUGAAAGAGGGGCCCAAGAUUUGACAUGUGCUCUCAUAUCAUAGAGCAAUACCAAAUCAUAAAAUUUAAAACAUUAAAUGAAAGGAGACUACCAGUAUACAAAAUAUAUCAUAACUAUAAUUUAAGUGAUUUAGAACGAUACUUAAUAGUUUGAAUGGAUGAGACACCAAAUAAUUAUACUAGUGGAGGUAAAGGAUCUCAUUCCAUUUUGGGGUAUCUUCACACAAUAAAUGUUGACACCUAAAUUUUGGUUACCCGUUUAGUCAUUUAUCGCAUUAAGAAAUUAUGGAUUAAUUUUAACCCAUAAAAAAUAUUAAUUAAUUAACUGCAUAGUAUUUAGUUGUAGGUGCAUUUAUUUUUUAUUUGCAUUUUAUUGGACCGGUGGUGAAUGGGUUUAAAUUUAUGUUUAUGAGCUCUAGUUUGGCAGGCCGGUCUAGGCCCACGAAAGGAGCAAAUUAGCCAAAGCCCGUUAUUUUUUAAAUUAAUUAUCUCGUGGGAAAUUGAGAUUUUUUGCGAUAUUAUGGUGAUUUUUAGAAUCAGGUUGUAAUCUUAUCUUUAGUCUUUAGGUGAUAAGAUCGUUGGGAAUAUUAAGGAGAUAAGGAAAAUAAGAGGAUUUUGGGUGAUCGGGAGGUUAUAGAUUAUUUUCGUGUAUAUUGAAAAAAGCGAGAUAAAAUAUCUAUAAAAGCAAUCGUGGACUUACCUAUAAAAGCAAUCGUGGACGGCAAGAGAAGGGGGCUUUUCGAGGUUUCUCUUCGUUGAAAGAGGAAUUAUUCUCGGUUUUCAAAGUAAAAAAAUAACACAAAAGAGAAAGGAAAAAAGCAAGGAAGAGCCGUGCGUGGAGAAAGGGGAAAAGCAAAAAGCAAAAGGAGGAACAGUGUGGGGACAGUGACUGUUCACUGUCUCCUUCCCUUCGCUGCUCACGAUCGUGCACCACCGGUCGGAGGUCCACACCGCCGGGCGACCCGGAGCCUCACGCCGCACCACCGUGCCCACACCGCCGCCACUCCGUUGUGGUCCUCCUUCGACGAGUCUUCACCGCCGUUCCGCCAGUCUCGCCACGACAUCCGGCCCCGCCGUCGUCGCACGCAGCUGCUCCCUUGCCGGUUCGUCUCCCUUGCGCGACCCACUGCCGAGAUCUGCCGUCCUGCCCCACCGCACCUCCGUCUGCGAACACCCUAGCAGACGACCCGACGUUACUCUGUUCUGCCCGUUCGAAGUUGCUGUCGGUGAUGCUACUUCUGCUCUGGUUCUGCUCAUGCCCCAGUAGAUCUCGAGACGGUUCCUCCCUGUUCUGUUCGUGAGUCGCCUGAAGCCACUUUGCUCCGAUGCCCAGCGAGUACCGUGCCACCACACCGACCCGCGAAACGCCCUGCCGUCUGCUGCCGGAGUCCCCGCAACGGAGCUCUGACACCGCGAGCCCAUCUCGUCUGCAACCCGAGCCAGAUUGGUAGCCCUACCGCGCACCACUUCCGAUCCGACGCUGUUCUGCCCGAGUCCGAUUGACCCGAGCCAGAUCUGCCCGACGCUAGUGCCCAGCGCCCGAAGCCAGCAGCCCGCGUCCGACGACCGUGCUCCUGCUUCCGCCGAUGCCGCGCCUCUACCUGCCAGUCUGCUUGCCACCGAUCCCCCUCGCCGGAGCUCCGACCGCGACGCCCUCUGACGAUCGAGAUUCGCUGCCCGGUGACCAGCCACACGAGCAAGCCCACUUUUGCGGAAAGAAAAAAAGAAAAAGAGAAAAAGAAAAAAAUCAGAUUAGGUAGUUUUUCUUUUAUGUUUUGUUUUGUUUUUUUAUCAUUUUUAUUAUUAUGUCUUUAAUAUUCUGUUUUAGUGGAAUUGUUCCUUAAAAUAUUAUUGAUAUCCCAAUAUGAAAUAGUCCCUCAAGCUAGGGAUUGACAGUCCGAUUUUUGCGCCCGAAAUCUGACUCGCAAUCCUUUACAAAAAUCGACAAUUCAAUCUUAAGCCCGAGAUUCGAUUCGCGAUUUAAUUUUAAAAUUGGUCAACCCGAUCUCAUGCACGAGAUAUGGUUCGCCAAUUUUUGGAUAUCAAUAUUGUCUUGCUUGAUUAGAUGUCGUGUGUUUGGAUCAAUUUUAUUUUCAUAAGAGGAAAAAAAAAUUGAAUUAGGGUUAAGUUUGUUUUAGAAUAUUCCUAGUCUAAGGUUUAAAAUCGCAAUCUUAUUUCGAAUUUUUAAAUAAGAAAAUAAAAAAAAUCUGAAUAAGGAUUAGGUUUGUUUUUAUUAUCCUGCAUAUUUAGGAUUGCAAUCUUAUUUCGAAUUUUUAAAUUAAAAAUCUAAAAAAGAAAGUGCAUUCAUUUAGGUUGUUAGUUUUUUUAUUCGAAUUGCAUGUUUAAUUAUGUGAAGUUUUAAUUUCGAAUUUCUUAAAGAAAAAACACAAAAAAAAAAAAAUCAUUGUGCAUAUUAGAUUAGAAUUGCAUGUUUCAUUUUAAAUUUAGAUAAUCUUUUUUAGAUAAAUUGCAUUUUUGAUUUAGAUAAUGUCUUAGUUUAAAUUAGGAUUUAAUAUGACUUAAUCCCCUAGUUUAAAUUAGAUAGAAUCUUAAUCUAGCUAGAUCAUUUCAAAUUUCAUAAAAUUUGUCUUAUGAUAAAUUAGUUGCAAUUUUUAGGAUAGAUUGCAUUUUAAAAAUAAAAAAUGUCAUUUGCACGUCAUACAGAAUUAGGUUAAUGAAAUGCACGUUAUUUUAGUGAUUAUUGUUAGGUUCAUUUCUAAUUAGAAAUUGUCCGUCAUUAGAUUAUGUCAUUUAAUAAAUGUUGCGUGACAUAUAGCUCGCAUAUUAAAUUAUAUGUCAAAUGUCAUUUUAGUUAAAAUAAUCUUGUACGUCAUUGCAUUGCAUCACACGUCAUUAGAAUUAAGUCAUUUUGGUUAAUUUAGAUUGCAUAUUUAAUUAUUGCAUGUUCAUUAAGAAAUCACAAAAUUUUUUAUUCAUUCAUAUAGUUUAGAACAUAUUGCCAUGUCAUAUCAUUUCAUAUUAGAUUAAAAGCAUUGCAUUGCAUAUGGAUUAUAUUUUUGUUGAAAAAUAGAAAACAACAAUUGAGUAAUUGCUUGUUAAUUAAAAAUGAUGUGGAUUUUAAUUUAACACUGCAGAUGCUUUCGUUGCUUUGAGGUAAGUCUUGCAUUAUUUAAUUGCUUUCUUGGGUGUUAAAUUGGUGGUUUGCGCACCUGCAUGAACACCUCACAUGUUAGGGAAAUAGAUUUAAAAUCAAUCCAAAUUGCUUACCAAACAUUUUUCAAAAUAAAAAGAAAGGUACCAAAAGGGCGUUAGAGAAAUCUAACGUAAUCAAGUCCCCGUACCCUUAGUCUUUGGUUCGUAGGAGUAAAGUAAAUCUCCGGUUACUUUACUAGGGUUUCUAAUUGACCUACCAAAAAUAGAUUAGUGGCGACUCCUAGUUAAAAUUCAAUUGCAUGUUAACAAUUCAAACCUAAGUCGCGAAUUGGUAUGGGCUUGGGAGAACCUGAGUUAAGUCUAGGCUUAACAGUCCAUUAGCCAAACCGUAGGUGGUUCACACCCCGAAAAAAGUUGGUCGCGACAAUAAAAUUGCCCUCUAACUUUACAGAAUCCUGCCAUUUUUAUUCAAUUACAGAAAUUAAUUGAAGUGGCCCAAUAGCAUCAUGGUGAGAGGAUCCAAUUCAAAGACACGUAGUCAAUAGCUCACUAUGUAGUGAAAAGAGUGACAUAUGGACUUCCGCAUAAUUUUUUUUAAUAAAAAUUGCCAUAAUUAUCUAUAUCUGCACCAGCCUUCCUAACUAGCUAUGUCACAUAAGAUGGUUGAUAUUCAUGUUAGUAAUUACCAGCCAAAAUUAGUUGAAAUGACUAUAUGGACAAAACAUUGAAUGAUUUAAGAUUAAAUUGGUUAAAUUGAAAAGUUUAGGACUGAAUUAAACCGUAUAAUAGGUUUAUGACUUUUUAAAUAAUUAUCCAUAAUUUUUUAUGAUGAUUGAUAAUGCUUCCUCCUGACAGAGUGAAGUACCACUUACUUUUGAACAGCCAAAAAAUGGAUGAUGCUUACAUAUACAAACAUCAUUACGCUAUAGCUAUAAAUGACUAAAAAAAAUGCAAAUAUGUUCCCUUACAUUAGAUGUACACCAAAUGAACUCAAAAUUGCAUAUCUAACUAAAGAGACAUAUUUUCCUCUAUUCUUGCUAAAGCCAAUCUCAAAGUAGAGGAUUAGACAACCCCCUUGCAUAUUUAACUAUAAAUAAAAUGUGCGCCAUGUCAAACUAUGAUUGGAUGCUCUAACUAGGGUAGCUAAAAAUUUUCUAUGAUGUUAAUUGUUCAUAGGUUAAGAAACAAUGGAAUAUGUAACUGGUUUGUAAUACCAAUUCUUAGAAAAACUCAGAAUAAGUCGUCAGAGUAGAGAAUAAAAGUGAAAAUCAUUUUUUUUUAAAAAGCCGUAUGAAAGCAUCAAAUAAUGCUGGGAAUAUUUAUUUAUUUGGGUUUUUUUUUUUUUAAAGAUAUCCCUCUACACAGGGAAAAUUGGCAAAUUGAUGUUUAUAUUGUUGAAAGACUUGGCCUUGUGCUUGGUGACUUAUCAUGUAUAUCAUUGACUUCAUUUUAAAACACCAGUUCAUAUUUGGUGUUGUAUACAAUACUGGAUUGAUAUUAUAAAAUUUCAUCCACGCUACCCCAGAUACGAGCCAACCAACGAAUAUUUCAAUAGGUUUGCUUUGCUUAGUCGAAAAUAGAGUUAAGUGGGCUACCUUUUAAUUAUUAUUAAAGGAUGAACUGGAACCUUCGAAUGUACUGUUCAGAGUUGACAUGAUACGGAUGCUACUUGUAUAGAAAUUAUAAUUUGCAUUUCGCAAGAUGACAAAGCAUAUUUUGCGUAUGAUAAGUUACUUUAUCCCUGUUGAAGAUGACGUUCACUUGGUAUACUAGUCAUCCCGGAAUUCGAUACAGAAUGCAAAAUGCAGCCGGAGAGAAUCCUUGAUACUUUGGGCGUUCAUCACAGUUUUGAUACUUUGGGAAUUGUUUUAUUGUCUGGGGAUUUUAUAUUUGCUUCCGCAUGCGUAUGAAAAUUAAUGGGUCGGUGAUGCGUCCUGGGACGUUGUUAUUUAAUCGACUAGUGAGGGAUGGGUGCGCGCUCGAGGAUCGGGGCGUGACAUAGAGAGACACUUAAGUGUCAAAAGUUAGGAACGUGACAAUUACGUGCCAAAAUCGAAGCAAAAUGGAUCAUUUAAGAACCAAUAUGGUCAAAAUGUUGACGUGGCAAUUUUCCGGUGAAAUAAGUGCAAAACGGUGUCAUUUUGCAUGCUGAUGUGGCUAGAUAAUGCAAAAACGUCGUUUUGUCUUUGACAUGGUAAAAAAUUAAUAUAAAAAUUCAUUAAAUUAAAUUUAAAACUAAAUUUAUUUAAAACAUUUAAGAAUAAAAAUAAAAGUAAGAAAAAAAUGGGGGGAGGGAGGCGACUGAGGUGCUGAGCCCUCACCGCCACCACCAAGAAGGGUCGGCAAUGGAGGGGGGAGGGUCGGCCGGGGUUGUUGGCCCCCGGCUGACCGGCGAUCUCUCGCCCAGAUCCGGUGAGGGCUCACGGGCCCUCGCCGCUGAUUGGCCGGGGGUUGGCGACCUCGGUUGAUCCUCCCCCCUCCGUCAUCGGCCCUUCCCGGCGACAACGGGGAGACGGUGACCCUGGCCGACCCUCCUCCCUCUGUCGCCGGCCCUUCUCGGCGGUGGCGGGGAGGCGACGGGGGUGAGGGCUCAGCCCUCAAUCGUCUCCCUCCCCUCCCCCUCCUUUAUUUUUAUUUUUACAUGUUUUAAAUAAAUUUAGUUUUUAAUUUAAUUUAAUGAAUUUUAUAUUAAUUUUUUAGUACGUUAGAAAUAAAAACGACAUCGUUUUUGCAUUUUCUAGCCACAUCAGCGUGUUUUGCAUUUACCUCGUUGGAAAAUUGCCAUGUUAGCAUUUUGGCCGGAUUAACACUUAAGUGAUCCAUUUUGCUUCGAUUUUGGCACUUAAGUGUCGCUUUCCUAAUUUUUGGCACUUCAGUAUCCCUUCAUGCUAAGUUUUGGCACUCCAGGUGUUCGGCACUCAUUUUUUAACUGAACAUCGUUCGUGAAGGUCCAUAGGUGUAGAGAGCAAAGCUCAAGCCAUGUGUUCUUGUUUUCUUCAACUAGUUAAUUGAUAACCUUCUACCAUGUCUUUAUUCUUAUAAAAGAAAAUACUUUUAAUACCUUAGCUAAGAUUUCAAGCAAAGUUUAGAGUUCCGAGGCAUUGGCGUGUAUUAUAUGUAUCCUGUUUCUCGAUAUACUUCCAUAAGAUUCCACGAAAGAUUUCCUAGGUUUUCUCGUGCUUGGGUUUUAACGUUACCCGUGAAAAUCUUGUUCAACCACACUCUUGGUAGCAACGACAUGGAGAAGAUACAUUUUGAGACGAAAGACAAGGAAUUCCGAUUUUUUUGGCCCGCCGACCGCUGUCUUUAACUUCUCGGUCAAGUGGCACAAUUUGCUAGAUUUCGUUGAUCAAAAACAAUUUUGAGUUGUUUAAGUGGACACAUCCACUUCUAAUGCUCAAUUUUUUGGGCAAAUAUCACAAAAAAAAAUCCCAUACUAUUCGCACUGUGGCACAAAUAUCGAAAAGUUUUUUAAUAUAUAUUACAAACAAAAUUAUAAACUUGCUCACUGUGGUACAAAUACCUCUUACUUUUUUUCGUGUCAUGAACAAAUCCAAAUUUAUACACAUGUGACAUAAUUAUUCUCUAUUUUAGUUCUAUUCAGAGUAUAUUUGUCACAAUUGGCAAGUUUAGGAUUUCUACUAAUAAAAAAAAAAAUUGUGUCAUAGUUGGUAUAAUUUGAGUUUUUUGAGGUAUUAACCCUUAUUUUUUAUUUUUUUAUAAGUAAUGCUUUAUGUUCUUUUUUGAGCAUGGGUUUUUUAGUCAAUCGCGUGAACGAGAUGCGUGUGUUUUUAUUUAUUAAUAUGACUGAAAAGUAUAUUUGAUCACGGAUGCCACGAGAAAGUGUGCGUAUCCACUCUAGCAUUAUUAAUCCUUGUUAGUUGAUAUAUAGCCUUAAUUAUGUAAUGAAAAUCGUGAACCAGGUGUGGGGUAGUGAGAGUAUUUUGUGUUAUAGAUAGAGUUGUUAGGAUUUGGUUUUAUACACCUGAUCCAGUGCCUCGUCUAAUAGAGUAAAUAAAAGUUCCACGUUAAACGUGCAUUUGAACACAGCCAAAAAAUAGAUGAUGAGUACACAUAAGUAUCUUUACGCUAUCACUAUAAAUGAGUAAAGAAUUCGACAUGUGGGCAUGAGGUUUCACGCUCUUGACCUCGUCACUAUCGUGUGCUAAAUGUCCACCAAAUGGUUCAUUGACUUGAUACUACCCACCUAACUAAAGCGACAUAUCUUUCUCCAUCCUUACUAGAGCCAGACCUCCAUUAGAGGAUUGCAAAUAAGGAUAGAACCUAUUUGUAAAUUUAACUAAGUUGAAAUUUUUGUGAUGUCAAAUUAUAAUUGGAUCUUCUAAUUAGGGACGGAGGAAAUAAUAUGGCCCUUAACUAAUGAUUUUUAUUUUUUGACCAAAAAAAAAGCUAAACAAUUUUUGUUCAUGUGCAUGUUCAAAGUUCAAAGAAAAAGAAGAAGAUUUAAUUGGAUCAAUAUACCAAUUUUCACUAAUAAAUAAAAAAUUCAGAAGAAGCCGUUCAGGUGGAGCCUAAAAGUGAUUUUUUUUUUUCCUACCAUGAGGGCCAUCUCUAUUUAAUGUAUAAAUUGUAAGAGACACCCAACACCAUCUUCAUGUUCUUUAUUUAGACACCCAAUCAUUCACUCCAACCAUCCUCCUCCUCCACCUACACCACCACUACCACCACUAACACCACCAUCUCCAUUUAAUGUAUAAAUUGUAAGAGACACCCAGCACCAUCUUCAUGUUCUUUAUUUAGACACCCAAUCAUUCACUCCAACCGGCCUCCUCCUCCACCUACACCACCACUACCACCACCAUCACCACGCACCGCGGCCACGGCCGCCACCAUGCAACCCUCUCAACCUCCUCCUCUCAAUGAAAAUUACUUGCGAGACGACGUCAAGUCGCCAGAAUGCGAAGACUUGCUCUCCUCUCUCCCUUCGGAAGAGGACUGGAUCCCCACCUCUCUCUCUUCGGAAGAGGACUGUAGCCCCUCCUCUCUCCACUUGUACCAGGGCUUCUGGUUCCCCUCUGGGCUCUUGAACAGCGUCGUUGCUUGCCAAAAUCACUUCCAAGCUCACCCUUCCGACAUCCUCCUCGUCACCAGCCCGAAAUGUGGCACCACCUGGCUAAAGGCCAUCCUCUUUGCUCUCUCGAACCGUGCCGAGUACUCUGACUCCAACCCACAACAACGCCACCCUCUCCUAACACAAAACCCCCACGACCUCGUGCCCUUCUUGGAGUUAAGCUUCAAUCUCCAGAAUAAAAAUCCUGAUCUCACUACUUUUACAUCCCCGAGGCUCUUGGCCACCCACUUGCCUUAUUCCUCUCUUCCACGGUCGGUGAGGGACUCCAAUUGCAAGCUGGUUUACUUAUGUAGGAACCCUAAAGACACUUUCAUCUCGAUGUGGCACCACAUCAACAAGUUGAGGCCCGAAGAGAAGGGCCAACUUCCACUCCCAGAGGGCCUCGACAAGUUCUGUCGAGGCAUGAGCUGGUGUGGGCCUUAUUGGGACCAUGUGCUGGGUUACCACAAGGCGAGCUCCGAGAUGCCUGAGAAGGUGUUGUUCAUGAAGUAUGAGGAGAUGAAAGCGGACCCGAGCGUUCAAGUGAGGAGGUUGGCCGAUUUCAUGGGGCGUCCAUUCAGCGAAGAAGAACUGAGAAACGGGACCGUCGAGGGAAUAUUGAGGAUGUGUAGCUUUGACAAUUUGAGUGCAUUGGAGGUGAAUAGGAGCGGCAAGUUGCUAAUUGGACUAGAGAAGAAGUGGUUCUUCAGGAAAGGCGAGGUUGGAGAUUGGGUGAAUUACAUGAGCGCUGAAAUGGGAGAGCGAAUUGACGGUGUCAUGGAAGAAAAGUUGCAUGGUUCUGGUUUGAAGUUUUAGGACAUAUGACCCACUCGAAGAUAUUUGGUUUGAUGGUGGAAAAGAAAAAUGCGUAAAAAAAGAAGAAAAAAGAAGCAAAAACGAUUCGAUUGUCCGCACUUUAGGGGGUCAAUGUCUGGUUGGCCAAUGCAAGCGUGUUUCUCAUGCUAUAGGAUGAAAGAUCUUCAGUGGCAUUGUCAGUCCUGGCUUCGUCUCCAUAGUGAGAUGCUUUAAGGUUGUGAUUCUAGUCUUCAUCUGUGUUGUGUACUAUUGGCGUUUGGCAGAAGUUAUUUGGCCAGUACGUAGCUGGCUAAACAAGAGCUGCCUAGCUGCUCCCUGGGAGCUUGUGGAUGUAUCUUCUGUUAUUUAUUUCAAUUCCAUUUUUCUUUUUCUCUUGGCUGUGUGAAGAUUCGUGGCAUACGGUAUUUAAAUACAAAGCAGUUAUUUGGUAGGUUAAGCUACAAAUUAUAUUUGUUAGAUGGAAAAUAAAUUUGUUAUUAAGCUUAUCGGUUUAAAUUGUCUGUUUUGGAAGUCAUAAACUAAAACCAAACGAAAAGCCAAAGAAAAAAAAAUCCUAAACCAAAAUUAAAACACUAAACUGCUAAACUGAGCUUAUCAAUUUUGUUCGGCUCGGUCGAUCGUUUUUUCUUCAUGAACAAUCCUACCAGCAUAGAUCCUUGCCGAAGCUGGCUAUGGUUGGGCUGUGGUCAUACCCAUGCGGUUUAUUCUAUUUUUUUUUUUUAUUUUUUUUAACUUUCUUUCAUUUUAUUUUUUAAGAAUUCAUUAAUUUUCAUUUGUUCCUCUUGUUUAUGUCUCUUUUAAGUGUUUUGAUAAACCGGCUUGUAGUUUGGUUGACCCCCUUUUUAUAAUGUGUUAAUGAGAAUCAAAAAUUAAUUUUGUCAUGCCCUUUAAUUUACUUUGCCAAUUGCUUGCCAAGUGAUGUCUUUAGCUUCCGCGGCUUUAAUCUUGUCCUCUUUUUGCUGAUCGCGUGUUAACGGCCUAGCCAAGCCCACGUUCUUUCGAUGCUAGACUUCAGCCUACCAUCAAUUUUUCCUUCCAUAGAUUGUGCGCAUGAAGGAAUCGAACCAAAUGAAAAGAAGGCAAACGGUGAUAGAAAACGAGGAAAAGAGGAAACGGAGAAGAGAGAGACAAAGCUUGAGCGCGCAUCUCACGGGAGAAUUGGAGCUCAGGCGCUAAUGAAAAAAAAAAAAAAACAGCAGACAGGUAUACGGCGGGGUCGAGUCUUCCAAUUUUGGUGGAUUCCUUCAUCAUCGGAGCUUAUUUUGUUUACUAAUUUCGCUUAGACAUAUGGGGUUACCAACUCGAAGCAACUAAGCAACCCUCUCUUCGGUGACCCAACAGAGAACCCAAAGGUCUGCCUAAGGACUGAAUACUACCACUUGCUCAAAAAAAAAAAAAAGGACUGAAUACUGCCAUGGUCCAGAGUUCGGCUCUCAGCCCAACUUACUGUUUCUUUUGGGCCAUAUCUUAUCCUAACCAAUUGGACAGAAAUGGACGGGCAGUUGUGGAAGAGCGUCAGCAAUUAAUGGAUCAGGGAUGCACACGUUAAUGAUAUGAAAUUGAAACGCCCGUCUUCUCAGUUUAUGGAGCUCCAAAGGUGUUUGAUCGGGGCAAACGGAUGAGCUCCAAAGGUCUUCUUAAAUGAAAGGGGACUAGAAGUAUACAAAACAUAUCAUAACUAUAAUUUAAGUGAUUUAGAACGAUACUUAAUAGUUUUAAUGGAUGAAACACCAAAUAAUUUUAUCGAUGGAGGUAAUGAAUCUCAUUCCAUUUUGGGUAUCUUCACAUAAUAAAAUUACCCUCCAACUUUACAGAAUCCUGCAAUUUUUAUUCAGUUAUAGAAAUUAAUUAAAGUGGCCCAAUUGCAUCAUGGUGAGAGGAUCCAAUUCAAAGACAUGUAGUCAAUAGCUCAUUAUGUAGUGAAAAGAGUGAAAUCUGGAGUCCCACAUAAAAAAAACUAAUAAAAAUUGCCAAAAUCAUCCACAUCUGCACCAGCCUUUCUAACUAGUAAUGCCACAUAAAAUUGUCGAUAUUCAUGUCAGUAAUUACUAGUUAAAAUUAACUGGAAUGACUAUAUUGACAAAACAUCGAAAAAUUUAAGAUUAAAUUGGUCAAAUUGAAAAGUUUAGGGCCGAAUUAACCACCGUAUAAUCGGUCCAUGACUUUUUAAAUAAUUAUCCAUAAUUCUUUCUAUUGAAUGAUAAUGCUUCAUUUUGACAGAGUGAAGUACCACUUACUUUUGAACAGCCAAAAAAUGGAUAUGCUUAUAUAUACAAAUGUCAUUACGCUAUACCUAUAAAUGACUAAAAAAAAUGCAAAUAUCUUCACAUACAUUAGAUGUAACACCAAAUGAACUUGAAAUUGCAUAUCUAACUAAAGAGACAUAUUUUCCUCUAUUCUUGCUAAAGCCAAUCUCAAAGUAGAGGAUUAGACAACCCCCUUGCAUAUUUAACUAAAAAUGAAAUGUGUGCCAUGUCAAACUAUGAUUGGAUGCUCUAACUAUGGUAGCUAAAGAUUUUCUAUGAUGUUAAUUGUUCAUAGGUUAAGAAACAACAGAAUAUGUAACUGGCUUGUAAUACCAAUUCUCACCAAUAAAGAGAAAAACUCAGAAUAAGUCGUUAGAGUAGAGAAUAAAAGUGAAAAUCAUUUUUUUACCUGACGAGGAGAUAUGCGUAGAGGAAAUAAUUCUUUACGCAUGAGAUGAAUUUGGUAGGAUGUUAAUUUCUUUCAUCUUGAUACAUACAAAAUGUAAUAUCAUAUAGUAUGAAUUUCGAUGAGUAAAUAUCGAGAAUAUAAAGAUUGGUGUACAAAAUUGAUUUACAUGAUGAAAUAAUAGAUCCCAAUGAGUAUCUAAAUUAAGGAGGACGUAUACAUUCAAGCAUCCAAUAAUAGUUUUGACAUAUACACUGAUAAAUAUCGGUCUUUACCAACCUUGGUAUCAUCAAUUUUUAUUUUUAUUUUUAAAAAAGCCGUAUGAAAGCAUCAAAUAAUGCUGGGAGUAUUUAUUUAUUUGCUAUAUAUAUAUAUAUAUAUAUAUAUAUAUCCCUCUUCACGGGGAAAAUUGGCAGAUUAAUGUUUAUAUUAUUGAAAGACUUGGCCUUGUGUGCUUGGCGACUUCUCAUGUAUAUCAUUGACUUCAUUUUAAAACACCAGUUCAGAUUUAGUGUUGUAUCCAAUAUUGGAUCGAUAUUAUGAAAUUUCAUCCACGCUACCCCGGAUACGAGCCAACCAAUGAAUAUUUCAAUAAGUUUGCUUCGCUUAGUCGAAAAUAGAGUUAAGUGGGAUACCUUUUAACUAUUAUUAAAGGAUUAACAGGAACCUUCGAAUGUACUGUUCAAAGUUGACAUGAUACGGAUGCUACUUGUAUAGAAAUUAUAAUUUGCAUUUCACAAGAUGACAAAACAUAUUUUUGGGGAGAAGUACACUAUCAGUGCCAUAAGUUGUGUGCGGCACUCACUUUGGUGCCAAAAGUUUCUAUUGAAUCACUUAAAUGCCAAAAAAGUUUGAAAAACGAUCAUUUUAGUGCCAACUCUGAUCAGAUUGAUCGGAAAUCCGACAUGACACUUUUUUAUUAAUGUUUUUAUGCUAAUGUGGCUCGCCGGAGAGUACAGUCAGCAUGUAAACCACAAAAUGAUCUCGUUUUGCGUCUUUCUCCCAAGUCAAAACCCUAAAUCCUCAAAUCAAGAGAGAGAGAGAGAGAGAGAGAGAGAGAGAGAGAUGGCAUGGUCGUGUUGUCUUCUUCCCCAAAGAACAACCUCAGCACUAGCCACUCUCUGAGCAGAGCCCAAUCCACCAUCUCCAUCUGUGCCCUCAUUGUUUCCCUCGCACUCCUCAUCUUCUCUCUCUCUCCGCACCUUCGACCCCCCUUCUUCCUCCUCCUCCUCCGCCCUCGCCUCCUAUUUUCCCAUCGGUUCUUGCCCCAGAAACAACCUCAGUCUCUCCUUGCUCACCUAGUCGAGCAACUAUGACGGAGGCCGAGCACGGUGGCCAAGCGACGGUGGCUGAGCACGGUGGCCAAGCAAGCUUGGUCGGCGAGGAUUGAACCAAAAAAAAAAAAAAUCCUAAUUUCAAUCCCAAAUGAGUUGUGUGGCGUCAUUUUUGUGAGGCCAUCCACAUAUGAUGGUAAAACGACAUCGUUUUCUUAAGGAAGAUGGAAAAUGACGUCAUUUAAAAGGCUUGUCAAUUUUUUUUUUUAAAAUAUAAAAGUCACGUAAUCAUUUUGGCAGGAAUCUCUCGUUGGUGACACCAAAAUGAUCGUUUUUCCUCCGAUUUGGCACUUAAGUGAUCCGAUAGAAACUUUUGGCACUAAAGUGAGCGUCGUACACAACUUAUGGCACUGAUAGUGUACUUCUCCCCAUAUUUUUAUGUAUGAUAAGUUACUUUAUCCUUGUUGAAGAUGGCGUUCACUUGGUAUACUAGUAUACUAGUCUUCUCGUGAAUUUGAUACAGAAUGCAAAAUGCACCUAGAGAGAAUCCUCGAUACUUUGGGCGUUCAUCACAGUUUUUGGGCUAACAUUAUAAGAGUUAUUUUGCAUAUGAUGUUUCGGGCAUUGGGUAAUGGCCGUGGAGGGUUUGUCAUGAACAUAAAUUUGGCAUUAGCCACUAGAGAUGAAGUUGAAAUAGAAGACAUCGAGGAAGCCUCAAUUGGAGGAUACAAGUCAUAUCCCAACCAAGUCACGCGGAGCGUCUCCAGAGGCACCAUUGAAAAGCUCGAGCAGAAGAGCUACUCUGUUGGGGAAGCUGACGAAUGCUAUUCUAUUUGUUUAGAGGUAUUGGAUGAGAAAUAUAAAGUGAUGGAGAUACCAUGUUCGCACCUAUGGCACAAUAGGUGCGUCGUCAAGUGGCUCGAGAGGAAUAAUUCGGGUCCACUAUGUCGUGGCAAAGUACAAGCACAAGAUUUAGAGUAGUCAGUUUUAGUUUGUAAGAUUUUCUAAUAAGAAAAUAAUUCUCUUUUUUUUUUCUCCAAUGGAUUAACUAAUCUACUGCAAUGACUUUGGGUACUCAAUGCAGUGCCCGUUGCUACAGUUCCGAAUAUCACCCCUGUUAAAAAACCAAGGUCACCUGUGAUGUCACAGUAGAGACUAUAUAUAGUUUAUGUUUCUUCUAUGGCCAGAACCUGGCAGAGAUAGUAACCUGCAUUUGGAAAGAGAGCAAAACGAAAAGAAAAUUGUCCCAAUCAAUAUUUACAUGAGAACACUCACAAAAGAAUGUUCACAUAAGAGUACGAAACGAGCGGGGAGCAGGGAGCGGGGAGCAGGGAGCGAGGAGCGGGGAGAGGGAGGGAGAGAGGGGGAGGGAGAGAGAGAUUCUUACGCAAACCGACAUACAGAAUAUGUACAACUUUAUUAGCUCGGUUUUGCCAGUUAUCCUAGGCAACAAUGACCCAUUCAUAAGAAAAUGGGCAAAGACGACUAACAGUGUAUUAUGCGCACAUUUGAUAAUCUCAUAUAUAAGCUAUCGUGUAUAUUAGAAAUAAAUUAAUAAGAUUGUUGCAGAUAUUUCUCAAAAAUUUAUUUAUUUUUUUAUAGGUGAAAGAGAAUAUUACUGAAGCACACCAAGGGAGUGGAAACCCAUAUGCAAAAAGAGCUCAGUUACUGGACAAAUUAUGUACAAUGUUAAAGCAUUUCCAUCCGCACGACUUUCUAGGACACCAGAAGCAUAAGAUUUUUAACCAACUUUCAAUAAUUAUAGAAAAUGGCGAUUCUGUUAAAGUUCAUAAAAUAACAAUCAAAACAGAAAAAUCUCUGUUGUUUGAUGGAGAGAAAGGAUAAAAAAAAAAAAAAAAAACAGAGCAUAGCACUUCAUACAUCUUGUGCAAAAGAAAAAACUGUCGAGUACCACAACUAAAUACAAAGCAGAAACUGCUCACAUACGUGCAACACAUAACUGCACACAAACGUGCUAUUAACUUCCUAGAAAAUAGCAAAAACACUAACUGCAUAACUAAAUGAACUUGACUGUUUUUUUUUUUAAACAGAGGAAAACAGAGGAAAAGCACGACUGAAAAUAGCAGCACUGAGACAAUUCCAACAAACUCCUCCUUAGAUCAGUUGCUGCUGCAAAUUCCUAUUUUCUCUCUUAACAGCUCAAAUCUUCUAGCUUGAACUGGUUUUGUGAACAUAUCUGCAAGCUGAUCUUCAGAUUUGCAAUAGACCAACUUAACUUCGCCACUUUGUUGCACCUCACGCAAAAAGAAAAAAAUUGACUUUGAAAUGCUUGGUUUUGCCAUGGAAAACUGGAUUAUGAGAUAUUGCUAAAGCAACUUGAUUAUCCACAUUAACUUCAAUGCAAUCACUAGAAUUCAACCACAAAUCAUUCAUGAUCUUUUUUAGCCACAAAGCUUGAUUUGCAGCUACAGUAGCUGCUAUAAACUCAACUUCUGCUGUGGACUGAACUACAAUCUCUUGCUUUUUGGAACACCAGGAGAAACAAGCAGAACCAAGACUGAAACAAUACCCAUACAUACUUUUAAUGUCAUCUACUGAACCAGCCCAAUCACUAUCAGAAAAUCCUUAUAAAUUAAACUUCUGACCUUUCUUAAACUUCACACCAAAGAACAAUGUUCCUUUGAGAUAUCUCAAGACCCUUUUUGCUGCAACCAAAUGUAACUGACUAGGACUACUCAUAAACCUGGAUAAAACACUCACAGCAAAUAGAAUAUCUGGUUUGGUUACUAUAAGAUACAUGAGACACCCAAUGAGACUUCUAUACAUAGAAGCAUCUACUGCAUCUGUUCCAUCAUUCUUGUGCAGCUUCUCUUUAACAGCCAUAUAUGAGUGCUUACACUUCGACAAUCUUCCAUCUAAAACUUCUUUAGAAUUUCCUUCGUGUAUUUUUCUGACAGAUGAAGAUCUCAUAUGAAACUUGUUUGACUUCUAGACCCAAAAAAUAAGUCAUCUUUCCCAAGUUUGACAUCUCAAAAACUGCAAAUGGAUCUUGCUUCACCUUCUUUAUCAAUUCAAUAUCAUUCCUUGUCACUAAUAGAUCAUCUACAUAAAGUGACAAAAUUACAACACUGUGAUUCACCUUCUUGACAUAAAGAGUGAACUCACUUAAGCUUUUUACAAAGCCAAAAUCCUACAAAUAUCGAUCUAUCUUCUCAUACCAAGCCCUUGGAGCCUGCUUCAGUCCAUAUAGAGCUUUCCUCAACCUGUAUACGUUCUCUUCUUGCCCUUUGAUACUGAAGCCUUCAGGUUGUUCAACAAAAAUCUCCUCCUCAAGCUCUCCAUUCAAGAAUGCAGACUUGACAUCUAACUGAAAUAUAGGCCACCCCUUCUCUGUUGCAAUAGCUAACAGUAGCCUUAUUAUAUCAAGUCGUGCAACGGGAGCAAAUGUUUCAGAAUAGCCUACUCUCCAUAUUUGUGCAUAGCCUUUCACCACCAGUCUAGCUUUGUGUUUAUUGAUAGAACCAUCAGGAUUAAGUUUUGUUCUAAACACCCACUUAACCCUAAUCACAUUCUUAUCAGCUAGUCUAUCAACAAGCUCCCAUGUGUGGUUUUUCUGGAUCAUUGCAAUCUCCUCCUGCAUUGCUGCAAUCCACAUCUGAUCCUCCUUAACUUCCACAAAGUUAGAUGGUUUGAGCAUUGCCACAUUGCUUCUUUCAUAGAUUUCAGCAAGUGACCUUGUGCCUCUCACUAGUAAAUCAUCCAUAUUGUCUUCCAAUCCAUCUAUAACUUCAUCAACCUCUACAUCUGCUGCAAGUUGUUUUUCGAACUGCUACUAUUUUGCACUCUUUCCUUCCAUCCAAUUCCACUCAUCUUCCUCUAGAAAAAUAACAUCUCUGCUCACAGUCACCUUCCUUGUCAUGGGAUGGAAAAUCCUGUGAUUGAAGACUAUACCCAGCUUGUUCCUCUUGACCUCAGGAACAUGAGUGUAACACAAACACCCAAAAACCUUCAAAUUCUUCACAGAAGGUCUAACACCAUGCUAGACUUCAAAAUGUGUUGACUUCUCUAGGGCCUUUGUGGGCAAUCUAUUAGAAAUACUGCAGUAUUAGCUUCUUCAGCCCAGAACUUCUUAGGUAACUUCUUCUCUUGCAUCAUACAUCUAGCCAUCUCCAUAAUGCUUAUGUUUUUCCUCUCAUUGACCCCAUUCUGUUGAGGUGAAUAGGGAGCAGUGAACUGCUGCACAAUUCCUGCUUGCUCACAAUUCAACUUAAACUUGUGAGCAGUAUACUUAGAACCAUUAUUAGACUUGAGCAUUUUGAUUUUCUUUCCACUCUGAUUCUCAACUAAGGUUUUAAACUUCACAAAUACAUCAGCAACUUCAGACUUGGCUUGCAGAAAAUAAAUCCAACUCAUCCUAGUCAUAUCAUCAGUGAAAGUAAUAAAAUACUUGCUACCAUUGAGAGAAGACUUAGACAUAGGUCUACAUAGAUCUGUGUGGACUAAUUACAACUUCUCACAUGCUCUCCAGUCUCCUCAUUUGAAAGGAAAUUUGGCUUGCUUGCCAAGAAGACAAGUUCUGCACUGUGGAAAUUCCUCCUCCAAACUUAGCAAGUCAUCCGCUAAGCUAUUUCUUUGCAUAAAUGACAUGCUCUUCCUGUGAACAUGCCCAAGUCUUUUAUGCCAUAACUCUGCAUUUUCUUCUUUGCACUUUAAAGCCAUUUGUUGCAUCUCUUGUGGCUUGAACAUGAAACUCUUGUCCUUCAUUGGGAUUCUUCGCACUUCUUUGCUAUCUGCAUUAUUAAUAAGACAUUCAUUCCCUUCGAACUUCACUUUAUAGCCCUUCUCAACUAAUUGACCAACACUUAACAGAUUUUGAUCAAUAUUUGGCACAAAAAGAACAUCACUGAUCAGCUUCACCUCCUGAUUUCCUUCAAUAGCCACUGUACCCUUCCCUUGCACUUCGAUAUACUGUCUGUUGCCAAUUCUGACUCUGGACCUGACUGACCUAUCUAGACUCCUAAAUAGCUUCGAAUUGCCAGUCAUAUGAUUGGUACAACCACUAUCCACCAGCCAUGCAUAAUUCCCAAUAGAAGAUCCAAGAAAUGAAGCUACAAACAAGUGCUCUUUCUCAGUUUCAUUCACUGCUACCUGUGCUUCUCUUGCUUGCUGGUAAUUUUUCUCUUUGCAGAUUGCUUCCAUGUGACCCAACUUGUGACAUCUUCUGCAUCAAGCAUCAGGCUUUCUCCAACAUCUAAAAAACUGAUGAUUAGUUCCACCACCGUUUGACAAGGCUUUUUGUUCUUCUUUCAUUUGCUAGACCCACCAGAAUUUCCUUCUUUUGCUACAAACUUGGAGUCAUUAGCAUUUUCUUUGGACUGAAUCCAUUUCUUCCCUUUGCCUUCAUCAUUUGACUUCACUCUAGCUUGCAGCACACACUCUAUAAACUCCUCUUCUCAUCAGUCUUCUGUGCUCCUGUGCCUGCAGAACAUUUAACAAUUCUGCAAGCUUUAUAUCAGCUAAGUCUCUUGUAUUUUCCAAAGAAGCUAUGGUGGCUUCGAACUUCUCUGGAAGAGACACCAGGAUCUCCUGAACAAGUCUUUCAUCCUUCAAGUCAGUCCCUAAAACUCUAAUUUUUUCAACUAUCUCAACCAGCCUAUCAGAGUACUCCUUCACUGACUUUGAAUCCUUCAUCUGCUGUCUCUCAAACUCCCUCAAGAGAUUCAACACCUUCAUGCUCCUUAUCUUCUCAUCUCCCUCGUAUUCAUCCUUCAAGAAAUCCCAUAUUUCCUUUGCAGAAUCACAUCUCAUGAUCCUUGUGAAAAUAGGGGGUGAGAUAGCACCAUACAUGCAAGACUUUGCCUUGGCCUUCCUUGUGAUUAUCUCUUUAUGGUACUUUAUCUCAUUCAAGGUCGGAUUGUCUAGAAGUGGAGCAACCUCAUAAUCAUUCUCCACAGCCUCCCAUAAAUCAUGACCCUCCAAGAAUGCCGUCAUCUUGACAGCCUAAGCCUGAUAAUUUUCCCCAGUAAAGACUAGAGCAGCCAUUGCAAAGAAUCCACUCGGUCCUGCCUCCAUCAGCUUUUUCUUUGCAGAUUGGAAUCAAUCUUCACUCACUUACUCUCACUUCACAGUCCCUUAAGAUCCCACAAACGCUCUGAUACCAAUGUUAAAGCUCAUAAAACAACAAUCAAAAUAGAAAAAUCUCUGUUGUUUGAGGGAGAGAAAGGAUAUAAAAAAAAAAAAAAAAAUAGAGCAUAGCACUUCAUACAAAAAACUGUUGAGUACAACAAUUAAAUACAAAGCAGAAACUGCUCACAUAUGUGCAACACAUAACUAAUUGCAUAACUAAUUGCAAAAACACUAAUUGCAUAACUAAAUGAACUUGACUGUUUUUUUUUAGGAAAAACACGACCAAAAACGGCAGCACUGAGACAAUUCCAACAGUUUCCUCUCCAAUGAAAGCUCUCAUAGUCAGCUCUCGGAAACUUAACUUAAACAGAUGACUUCCAACCAACAGAAUAUAUACAAAGACAUGCACAACAUCUAUCGUUCCAUCAAUGUUGAACACUGACAUAAGUUCUGGUAAUAAUAUAGGUACCUGUGCGGGUAGUCAUCCACCACACCACCAGUGAAUCCAGCACGCAUGGUAGAACUCAGAAUCAACUCUACUGGGCUAUGCUUUCUGGAUAAACUUGAAAAACUGCUCGUUUUGCUCCUUGCCAAGCAUCUAUAUGACGAGCCAAAAAAUGCCCUAAAAACACUUGAGACAAAUGUUGAUUAUUAGCCAGCCAAAUAGGGACUAGAAGUUGAGCAAGAUAGAAAAGAAAAAGAAGAAGAAAUUUUUCGAUUAUUUCGGACAAUCAUCCAGUUAUCAUCCAAUGCUAAGGGAGAAGCUUCAAUCUUAACCACGGCUCCUGAGAGGACUUAUCCACGUUGCAUAACCAAUGCAUGAAAAACAGAUAUAGAAUCAACAAACUACAUAAAAGAAACCAAAAAAGAUUCCAAGUUACCUAGUGUAGAAACUCAGAGAAUUUCCAGAGAGUGUAGCAAGAUUAUGAAAUAAGAAUGAUAACAUGCAAAAUUAAUGACGAAAGAUAAUUAGAAUGUACGAAGACGAUGCAGCAAUGACACAAGGUGUAUCACCAGGCUAUGGUCCAACAGUCCUUCAAACCCAACUAUGCCCAAGUUCUAAACAUUUCAUGUGCACAAUUUACCCCUUGAGUAUCCACUUAAUAACAAGUCAUUCUUACGGAUCGUUCUUUUGGUGUCUAACUAGCAGAUAAAGGGGGAAAGACAGAGAGUUGAAUCUACCAAAGUUGAAGCACAACAGUAGCUACUUUCUGCAGUGAACUUUUCCUAUGGCUCAGUCUUUGAUUUGUUUGGCCCAAGCCAAGAGGUCAACCAUGCAUCCAUAGUGCUCACUAGUUGGAGCGGUGCCAUAACCUUUGCUCACAUGUCCGAACAAGCGCAAUGCUCCAUCGAUUAGACACCUCCGAUUGAAGGCCAUUGGACCUCCAACAAACGUCACAGCAUUUGGUUUAGGGCCCCUAUUUUCCAUCUCGUAGAAAAAAUGCAGCCCAGUUUCAUUCUCACCAUUAACAGCAAACCCCAAUAUCAUCGCACUCCAAGUUGUCAACAUCUUUCAGAGGCAUUUGGUCAAACACUUCUUUGUGCGAAUCCGACGAACCCACAUGUGACAAGAAAAUAAUCAAUGCAAUUCUUGGCCCAAGUUCGUAAACAAUGCCACUCUCAUCUAUGUACUUAUGGACCCAUUUUCCUUCUUUAGAGGCUUCCACAAUAGCACGGCACAAUAGCACGGUGCUAAAGUACGCUAGCCUAAAGAGAUCCACUUAAUUUAACCACUCGUUCCUAACGUAGCCAGAGAUCAAGGCACUGUAGGAAACAUCAUUUUUCCCUGGCACUGAAUCGAACAGCCCUCGAGCUUCCUACAUGAGGCCAAUGCUACAAUACCCAGUGAUAAGGCUCGUCCAGCAAACCACGUCCCGCAUUGAACUCUGAUCAAACGGGCGGCUAGCAACAGUCGCAGCCCAAUGCUUCCGGUACAUGCUUAUCAGAGAACCCACCACGUAUGCAUCACAAUCUGGCCCGAACUUCAUCGCCCGGCGGUGAAGUUGGCCAAGCUAAGGAAGAGCGAGCGCCAUGUCCCGACCAAUGCAGUGGAAGUGCGGGCAUAUGGCGGGCAUAGACAGAGACCAGCCUUCCCACGUUCGAAGUACCCCAAAGAAACCCAUCAUCCCGACUCCCAAGUCGAAGACAAUGGUGGUGGGCGAGUGGAAACACAAGAGAAAACGCGCGCCGCGUAGUUCAUGUGGCGGCGAACGGGAAGCGAGAGAGGCCGGAGAUGAUGGCGUGAGCAUGGAUUUGCUUCGGGUGGUCGGUCGAUGGUUGAGCAUCUUUGGAGAAGGGCGAGCGUGUGAUAUAUUUAUCACUAAUUGGUUGGAUAAUUUCAUCAUUUCACAAUGUGUAAUAAUAAAUAAAAUAUUUAUUCUAUAUAUGUCUUCUUAUUUUCUUAAUAGAGAAAUGAUAUAUUAUAACCGGUCCAUUUAACACCCCUAUCCUAUAAUGUCUUUAGACAUUUUGGCUGUGUUCACAGCCAAUUUAUUAUGGAAAUAGUGAGUUUCAAGAAAUUGAAACCUAAUAUGAUGGGAGAAUCAUUUUAUGCCAUUUAGAACACAGAAGGGAAUACAAAGUUAUCGUGAUUUAUUUCUUGAUCAGUCCGCCCACAAUCAACUUUGGUCACUAAAUAUAUCAUAUUUGAGUGUAAUAAUUAUUGAUCACACUUUGUAAGAGAAAACUGUAAUCCACGCGCAAUUGCAUGACAGAUCAAUCUACCAUAAUCAACUUUGCCCACUCAAAGUAUACCUUGAUAUAUACGAAUAUAAAUAUAAAUAGAGUAGAAAAUUUCCUAAAUAACCACAGUGGAGAGAAAUGAAACAAAAAAGAAAAAAAGUUGAAGACAUUACGACUGGGCUUCAAAAGAACCACUCACCAAGGAUUGAAUUUCUCGAGAGAAAUAGAGAGUCUAAUUGCGUAGAAUAAUAAAAUUGUAAACAUAAAAUAAAAUUUUUCCAUUGGUCAUCAAACAAAAGAAAUACUAAUUCAAUAUUAAGUCUCAUUAAAAGAUAUGUUUGACCUAGGAAUUCUAUAUGCUCUUUUAAGUUAAAUGGCUUUCAAAGGGUGAUUCUUGCACUUGUGAGUCCUUUUUAUAACGAUAUAAACAUGCAUUGAUCAUGAUAUAAACAUGUAUUGAUAUCGUCAAUCCAAUAAAACGGCUGCUCUUUAAUAGACUUUACAUCUUAAACCAUGUUGAAACCAACGUUUUUCCUUCUCUUUGUUGCUUCUCCAAAAAGGCAUGUGUCCCUUUAAAGAGGAAGCAACUAAUUGUACUCAACAAUUUCUAGAUGCAUAAUUGUAAAGGAGAAAUUGGUUUAUGUCAAUAAAUCUUUCAAAUUCAAAUCUCCAUCUAAAAUAUAGAACCAUCAGGGAAAGAAAAAUAAUCAAUCAGGUUUGAGUGAUUUAGUCUGCACCUAGAACCGAACCGAUUAUCAAUGAUUCCAAAUUUUAGGAACUAGGAAUUGGACUAGUGCUCACCCCUAGAUAGUAUGUUUGAAUGUUAAGAAUUUGUGCAACGAACUGAGAUAUUUGGUUUUACGUACCAGGGAAAAUGAUUUUCCUAAAUAAAUCAAUUGAAAACUUUACCUGUGGUACCAUCGGUCGUGGUGGCUCCGCUGGAUAAGGGCUCCAUCGAUCCUUCCCCAAAGGUGAGGGGUUUGAAACCUAGUGGAGGCGCUUGGUGUCUUAAGUGUGUUGUCAAGGUAGUGGGUUCUCUGCUAGCGUCACCCCGGGUUUACCUUGUCACGCCCCGAUCCUCGAGCACGCACACAUCCUUCUACUUGAUCAAUUUUAGAAUGCAAUAUCCCAGGACUAUGUAUCGCCGACCCUUUCAUUUAUUAAGCACAUGUGGAAGCAGUUAUAAAUCCCCAAAUAAUAAAAUAAUGGGAUAGAAAAACAUGUCAUAUUUUUCAUAUUGAAGUCUACAACCAAAACUUUAUACAUGGCAUUAGAUAGAGUACUUCACAAACUAUUCACAAACUUCAAAGUCUCACUCUAUCUACACAUAUACAUAGGGUUCAUAAAAGAGAUGAGAUUUCAAUUCUCAUCUGGGUCAUAUUCAGGAUCAUCCUGAUCCUCUUUUGACUCAUCUUCACUAAGCUCAUUUCCUUCGUGCUCUUCAUCUUUUCCUGGCUCAUCAUCAUCUUCUAGCUCCUCCUCCUCCUCCUCAAGCUCAUGUACGGGCUUGAAAUGUCGUCCCACAACCGGGAUGGGACUACGUCUUAGCAAGUUCUACCCCCACCAAGGCCUGAUUAGUAAACCAUUAUAUUAUAGGCUGCCUAAACACGCACAGGUCAGAGAACUUACCUUGGUCUCAGAUUCCACCUGUCAUAAUAGGCACCCACUUACUUAAACAAAUCGAACCAAUUGAUUACAUGUCACUCGAUUCAAUCCCCACGGUGGAAUAUCUAGAAGUUAGGCCACGUGCAUUCUCCAAGACGACAUACCAAGUCUCCAAGCCACGUGCCUUAAACCUUGGGCCCACGUGCAUUCUAUAAGGCGACCUCUUCACCAAAGUGGUACAUCAAGUCACCGAGCCACGUGCCCUUUUAGAUGCCAUUCUCGAAUACUGGACCCAUGUGCAUUCUCUAAGGUACUAGUUCACCAAAGUGACGCAUCAGAUCACUGAGCCACGUGUCCUUUUAGAUGCCACUUUGGAACGUCGGGCCCACGUGCAUUCUCUAAUACACUAGUUCGCCAAAGUGACGCAUCAGAUCACCGAGCCACGUGCCAUUUUAGAUGCCAUAUUCUGUCACCGAGCCAUGUGCAUUCUCCAGAAGGACAUACCGAGUCUCCGAGCCACGUGUAUUCUCUAAGGCGACAUCUUCGCCAAGAUGACAUAUUCAACCACCGAACUCACGUGCAUUCUCCAGGUGAUAUUCCAAUUCACCGAGCCCACGUAUUUUCUUUCAAGUGAUAACCAACUUACUUUCGAUACCGACAAUCAAUACUCAACGAUUUCUCAAUCAAAUAAUUAACAAUCAACUCAAUAAUCACAUAUCCCAAAAUUCACAAUUUAAAUCAAUUACAUACAAAUUGAAGCUCAAUUAAAUAAACGGACUACACCAUGACGAUUAGCGUGAAAUUCCGGUCACCGGCCAUCCCAGUUGAAUUUCCGGAAAAAUAAAUAAAUAAUUAAUUAAUUUCGAAAAUUAAUAAUUAAUUACUAAAAAUCCAAUUUAGGCCUGUAAUGUCUAAUUGAAGCCCACUAAGGGUUGGGAAAAAUCCUGAGAUACAUUCAAUAAAUAGUAGACUAUGUCUACUUGCUAAUUACACAAUCAAAAUGUCUAAUAUGCAUUACGAUUGUCUAAUAAUCACUAAUCUACUCUAAUCUAACCACCUAAUUACACUUAAAUAAAUCUAAUCAAUCCCUAAGCAAAAUUAGCAAACUAAGCAGGGAUUAGUGAGAUUACUCACUUGUGAAAAGUGAAGAUCGGAACACCGCGACAGUGACGCGACGGUGGUUGAAUUUGGGCUCGCGACGACACCACGAGCUUGGACCGGGCCUAAAAGGCCUUACAAGCUCACGACAAAUUGAUGGGCUUGAUCUCGAGCUUGGGUUGCAGCUGGGUUGGGCUUGCUUUGCGGGCCCAAGAUGGGCUGAAAUGCUGAAUUAAUGGGCUGGCUUCUUGGGCUGCAACUUAAAUGGACAAAGCUGACACGGGCUUCAAAGCUGGACUGCUGGGCUUUGAAAUUUCGCUGGGCCUCAUGGGCUGAACAAGAAAGCCCAAAGGAGCUGCUGCUUCGGUGGAUUACGUGGGCUGUUGCAGGGCGAAAUCGAGGGAACUGGCAACGAAAAAGAGAACGGCGUCGAGGUGGGCUGCUUCGCUCGUUGAUUCGGCAGUGGUUGAAGAAGCAGUAGAUUCGGUGGAGAGGUUGACCGAAUGAAGAUGCAGCGCUGAACGGUAGCUUCGGCGGCAGAGGAGAACCGAUCGCUGCUGGGGGAGUCAACCUCGUGAGCAAGACACGGCGGCAGCUGCAGCGUGAGACGGCAGAGGGAGAAAACGAAGAUGGAGCAGCUUCGGACGGAUGCUGCUUCAAACGGAUGUUGCUUCGAUGGGGUUUUGCAGGCGUGGAGUGGAGGCGCGGCCUUGUGGCGUGGGGCAGCACUUCGGAGGAAACUCCAAAUGAAAGGAACAAAACCAGAAGAAGUGGGGGCAGCUCGCAUGGGUGAAGGUGUAGUGAAGAGAGAGAGAGAGAUCGGUGGGUCGCUGGUCCUUUUUCCGAACUGAAGAAAACAAAAAGCAGAAAAGAAACAAAUAAAAGAGGGAAGGGAUAAGGGAAGAAGGGAGUGUCAGCAGGUGGUGGGCCAAGGAGGAAAUGUGCGAAAUGGAUAGAGAGAGAGAGAGAGAGCCGUGAAAGGGGAUAAGAAGAGACCGGUCAAAGAAGAAAGGAAAAUUGAAGACCAAGCAGAGAGUUGUCGGGUGAGGGAAAGCACGUGCGAGGGAGAGUGAGAGAGAGGGGAAGACCGAAGGAAAUGGGGAAAAAUUAACAGGAUUUCAAUAUUAAUCCAAUCUUGGUCCCGCGACUUCCAUUCAAUCUAAUUUGAUCCCCAAAAAUUCCCAAGAUGAAAUACGUGAUCCUCACUUGCUUUCUUGCACCAUAAUUCCCUCAAAUAACAAGUCUUUGACAACAAAAACGGUAAUUUUCCCUCAAUUCCGAAUUCUACUUUAUUUUUCUCGGCAUUUGAUUUUCUGAACAAACAAAUCUGGUUGAGGUCUAAUUCAAACGCAGAAAAAGCCCAAACAACAUCUAUUUACCGAUUCAUUUACACCAGAUGCCAAAAGUCUCUUCAAAUUGGCUAAUCCGUAUUUCCAUGCAUUUUUCGAAUCAUCCAUCUCGAUUUUCCGAAAAAUCCCGAAUUCUCUAGAAUUUCCUCAAAAGGUGAGUCGACGUUCUUAGAAUGACUCAUGACAUGAUAGGACUUCCAAUUUCUGAAAUUGAAUUCAAAUUCGUUGUUAUUUUCAAUCAAACGUGCUUUUGGUGUGACCUUGCCUAUUGGGUAGCUUUUAGGAAUUUUUGGUGCAAUUGACCCAUGGUCGAUUUUCUUCGAACCACAAUAAACCCAUUCGACACAUUGGCGACUCUCGGUGGUCGUGAAAAUCUCGAGAUUUCAAAUACGGAUACAGGGUACCAAAACAACAAUAAAAUCAAACUAGUGCCGAUCGAUGAGAAUUUUCCAAUUUAGUGAAGUCACCCACGAUCGGCCACACAUCUCGGUCGAACCGACCUAUCUCUGAUCUUAAUUCGAUUUUUAACUGUGCCGUAAUGACCUCUAAAGAUGAGCACGGUCGAGAAACCGAUUCCUGGUUAAACUUUCAAGUCUAUUGCAUUUAAAAUCCCUUAAUGGCUUCACCAAAUAGGCCAGUUAUCUCCUGAGUAGCCAUUUCAGAGAAAAACACUAUAGUCACGUUGAUGAAAAGCCUGACUUAUUCGAUUGAAAUCAGACCCUGAAAAUCAAGAUGUCACUUACCUCGCCGACUGCCAGCUGUACAGGGGUUCCCGGGUCAUCAAAAAAAAAAAAAACUUUACCUAUGGUUAUGGAAAUUUCUAGGAAGAGUUUAACUAAGCGAUGCAAAUAUUUUUUAAUGGAAGAAGUACACUUUAAGUGCCAAAACUUGGCACGGAGGGACACUUAAGUGUUAAAAGUUAGGAAAAUAACACUCAAGUGCCAAAAUUGGAGCAAAAUGGAUCACUUAAGUAUCAAUUCGGCCAAAAUGCCGAUGUGGCAAUUUUCUGGCGAAAUAAGUGCAAAAUGGUGAUGUUUUUUCAUGCUAAUGUGGCUAGAUAAUGUAAAAACGACGUCGUUUUAUCUCUAACGUGAUAAAAAAUUAAUAUAAAAAUUAAUUAAAUUAAAUUUAAAACUACAUUUAUUUAAAACAUUUAAAAAUAAAAAUAUAAAAAGGGGGGGGGGGGGGGGGAGGGAGGCAGCUGAGGGCUGAGCCCUCGCCGCUGCCGCCUCCCUGCUGAUGCCGGGGUCACUGGCCCCUGACCGACGUACAUCGCUGCAAUUACNNNNNNNNNNNNNNNNNNNNNNNNNNNNNNNNNNNNNNNNNNNNNNNNNNNNNNNNNNNNNNNNNNNNNNNNNNNNNNNNNNNNNNNNNNNNNNNNNNNNGCCGGUUGGCCGGGGGUUGGCGACCCUAGCCAACCCUCUCCCCUCUAUCGCCAGGCCUUCUUAGCGACGGCAGCGGCGAGGCCUCAGCUCUCAGUUGCCUCCCUCCCCUCCCCACCUUUUAUUUUUAUUUUUAUAUGUUUUAAAUAAAUUUAGUUUUAAAUUAAAUUUAAUUUUUUAUAUUAAAUUUUUACCACGUCAGAGAUAAAACGAGGUUGUUUUUGCAUUUUCUAGUCACAUCAGCGUGCAAAACGAUGUUGCUUUGCACUUAUCUCGUCGAAAAAUUGCAACGUUAGCAUUUUGGCCGGAUUGACACUUAAGUGAACUAUUUUGCUCCUAUUUUGGCAUUUAAAUGUCACUUUCAUAACUUUUGACACUUAAGUGUCCCUUUAUGCCAAGUUUUGGCACUCCAAGUAUCCCGCACUCAUUUUUUAACUGAACACUGGUCACGAAGGUCCAUAGGUGUAGAGAGCAAAGCUCAAGUCAUAUGUAUUCUUGUUUUCUUCAACUAGUUAAUUGAUAACCUUCUACCAUGUCUUUAUUCAUAUAAAAGAAAAUACUUUUAAUACCUUAGCUAAGAUUUCAAGCAAAGUUUAGAGUUCCGAGGCAUUGGCGUGUAUUAUAUGUAUCCUGUUUUUGUGCAAGAAUCUAGCAUUGCACAAAAAUAGAAUUCCAAGAAUACAACCCUUUCGAUGUCUUGCCGAAAUAAUUCAUGCUUAGCACAUCAACAAACACAAUAAAGUGACCCAAAUGCUGCAUCUUCUCGAUAUAUAUAUAUGUGUGUGUGUGUGUGUGUGUGUGUGUAAUUAUAUUGUCGAGCUUCUCAAUAGCGUUGACUUUUGUGCAUUCAUCACUACGUGGAAAGAAUAAAAGAAACUCUUGAGCUCUAGUCGAGCUCUCGUUUUUACUCGAAGCAGUCACAUGCCAGUAUUAAAAACAAGGCAAAGAUCAAAUUGCAGAGAGGACGAGCAGUUAGUAGUCUCUCUUCCACAAUGGUCCAAAGGAACUCUGCUGCUUCUCUGUGCGCCGUAUUGCCAGGGUACCCUUGGAUCUAUCACCACCUGAUCAACAGCUUCCAAUGAAUUCUCCACGGGUGGCUUAAGAGGCCAAAAAUUUCCAUUCCUAGGGAUUAAAGAUGCUGGCAAGUUCUCGUCAUGGCGCCAUCGCUAACCUCGGCUCUGUGUGCUUGCCUGUCAAUCUAUGCCUCAACCCACUUGACCUCAAACCCUCAAGUUUAAAGGAGUCUUACCCGGUAGGGGAGCAAGAGUUGGUCAUUUAGGUAUCAAGAACUCUCUGGGGACAGAAUCUAUGUCCACGUAACAAUUUUUGGCUUAGCAUCAGCACUCUGCGCAGCCUAGUCAUCAGACUGAAUCAAAGGUUAGCAUUUCCCAUUACCUAAUAAGAGUAAAAGACACUAAAACAAUCACAAUCUGUCCUCGUAAGUGACAAAUGAACAGGACACGGAGUUGGCCAUAAAGACAAAGGUAUGCAACAGGGCUGAUGAAACCAUACCUUAGAUGCUCCUAUAUACCGAGUAAACAUGGGCUUCGUGUGGUAAGAGACAGAACCACCUCAGUGGGAUUCCCGACCAUAUGUAAUAUCACAAAUUAAGGUCUAAGCAAUGGAUCUCUGUAACAUAUUUAAUCAUGUUACUUCACCAGUCUCACUAUCGAUUAGGCAUUCUUGGUAAUAGUAUUUGGAAGGGACAACAUGGAUUUGUUAAUGCAUCCUAUACUGAACAGACAACAACAUUGUUGCGCGAUCCAGCUUGCUGAAACAGAAACAGAAACAUCGAGCAGCACCAAGAGAAAGGGAAGGAAGAACUGCCACCUGAUUGGCCUACACUGCCUCAUCAAUGACUGCCAUUUCGAAACCAUGAGAAAGGCGAGAGAAUAAAUUUCUACCACUACUUGAUAGGGUAGUGAAGACAAUCUCAGCUUCAUAUGAGAUCCAUUUAUCAAAGAAGCAUAAACUUUUUCUUUAACUAUGUGAUGUGAUUUGCAUAUGGAUUGAUGGAUCUAAAUUGCCAAUCACGCAUUGAUGCUACGCUUAGUAUCAUAUGGGAAUAAAUUUACUCAUCUGAAUUCCCAUCGUUGAAUCAUACUACACUUUUCGACAUCCUCCAAAGAUACUACCCAGCAGAAUUCCACUUUGCUUUUAAUAACCCUUGACGACAGAAAUGCAAUGCAACUCAUGCAUACAUGUGAUUAGCAUUACAUUGAUCAGAUUUUUGUUCUUCAAAAACCCCAACUCUCCAUUCCAUUCCCACCACGACACGCAAGAGGGAAGCAACUCACGAGUGUUGAUUAGCACAAACUGUCAUCUUCCCAAUUGUGUGCGACACAACUUACUCCGGCGGGAGAGACCGAAGAGGGAUAGGUGAACUGUGCAGUGGACUGAGAGGGGGCGUAAAACCACCGCCGGAGAAAGCAGCAGCGGUGCCCUCGCCCUCGAAUUGGCUUCCGAAUGUGGCCAUCUUCUCUCUCUCUCUCUCUCUCUCUCUCUCUCUCUCUCUGUUUCACUUGAUCAAGAGGAAUUGUUCCCAUUGUUGGUUCAUUCGAUUCUCGGAAUUUUUUUUUUUUUACUGUUAUGGAGCUGUUUUUCCGUUUUUCCGUCUGUUUCUCGAUAUACUUCCAUAAGAUUCCACGAAAGAUUUCCUGGGUUUUCUCGUGCUUGGGUUUCCCGUGAAAUCUUGUUCAACCCACUCUUGGUAGCAACGGCAAGGAGAAAAUAGUCUAUUGCGGAUACAGUUUGAGGCUAAAGACAAGAAAUUCCGAUUAUUUUGGCCCACCGACCGCUGUCUUUAAUUUCUCGGUCAAGUGGCACCAUUUGCUAGUUUUUGUUGAUCAAAAAAAAUUUUGAGUUGUUUAAGUGGACACAUCCACUUCUAAUGCUCAAUUUUUUGGGCAAACAUCACAAAAAAUCUCAUACCAUUCGCACUGUGGCAUAUAUAUAUUACAAAAAAAUUAUAAACUUGCCCAUUGUGGCAGAAAUACUUCUUACUUUUUUUUCGUGUCACGAACAAAUCCAAUGUAUAUAUAAAUAUUUUCUAUUUCAGUUAUGUUUAGAGUAUAUUUGUCACAAUUGGCAAGUUUAGGAUUUCUACUAAUAAAAAAAAAAUUAAGGUAUUUGUGUCAUAGUUGGUAUAAUUUGAGUUUUUUUGAGGUAUUAAAUCCUUAUUUUUUAUUUAUUUAUACGCAAUGCUUUAUUUGCCUUUUUGAGCAUGGGUUUUUUUUUAUUCAAUCAUGUGAUUGAGAUGCGUUUGUUUUUAUUUAUUAAUAUAACUGAGAAAGAAAAUAUUUGAUCACGGAUGCUGAGAGAAAGUGUGCGUAUCCACUCUAGCAUUAUUAAUCCUCGUUAGUUGAUAAUAUAUCUAGCCUUAAUCAUGUAAUGAAAAUCGCGAAUAAAGUGUGGGGUAGUGAGAGUAUUUUGUGUUAUAUAUAGAGUGGUUAGGAUUUGGUUUUAUACACCUGAUCCAGUGCCUUAUCUGAUAGUGUAAAUGAAAGUUCCACGUUAAACGUGCAUUUGAACACAGCCAAAAAAUAAAAUUAAAAGAAAAAACACAGCCAAAAAAUAGAUGAUGAGUACACAUACAAGUAUCUUCACCCUGCAGCUAUAAACGAUUAAAGAAUUCGACAUAUGGGCCUGAGGUUUCAUGCUCUUGAUGUCGUCACUCUCGUGUGCUAAAUGUCCACCAAAUGGUUCAUUGACUUGAUACUACACACCUAACUAAAGCGGCAUAUCUUUCUCCAUCCCUAAUAGAGCCAGACCUCCAUUAGAGGAUUGCAAAUAAGGAUAGAACCCAUUUGUAAAUUUAACUAAGUCGAAAUUUUUGUGAUGUCAAAUUAUAAUUGGAUCCUCUAAUUAGGAAUAGAGGAAAUAACAUAGCCCUUAACUAAAUGAUAUUUAUUUUUUGACCAUAAAAAAAAGCUAGACAAUUUUUGUUCAUGUGCAUGUUCAAAGUUCAAAAGAAAAAGAAGAAGAUUUAAUUGGAUCAAUAUACCAACUUUCACUAAUAAAUAAAAAAUUCCGAAGAAGCCGUUCAGGUGGAGUCUAAAAGUGAUUUUUUUUUCCUACUAUGAGGACCAUCUCCAUUUAAUGUAUAAAUUUCAAGAGACACCCAACACCAUCUUCAUGUUCUUUAUUUAGACACCCAAUCAUUCACUCCAACCAGCCUCCUCCUCCACCUACACCACCACUACCACCACCAUCACCACAUGCCACUGCCGCUACCGCCACCAUGCAACCCUCUCAACCUCCUCCUCUCAUUGAAAAUUACUUGCGAGACAACGUCAAGUCGCCAGAAUGCGAAGACUUGCUCUCCUCUCUCCCUUCGGAAGAGGGCUGGGUCCAAACCUCUCUCCGCUCGUAUCGGGGCUUCUGGUUCCCCUCUUGGCUCUUGAACAGCGUCCUUGCUUGCCAAAACCAAUUCCAAGCUCACCCCUCUGACAUCCUCCUCGUCACCAGCCCAAAAUGUGGCACCACCUGGCUAAAGGCCAUCCUCUUUGCUCUCCUGAACCGUGCCGAGUACUCUGACUCCAACCCACAACAACGCCACCCUCUCCUAACACAAACCCCCACGAUCUUGUGCCCUACUUGGAGCUCGGGCUCUAUCUCCUGAAUAAAAACCCCGAUCUCACUGCUUUUACGUCCCCAAGGCUCCUGACCACCCACUUGCCUUAUUCCUUGCUUCCGCGAUCGGUGAGUGUCGCGACCUCCUUUUUUUUCGACGCCCGCAAUCGGGUACGAACGCCUAAGGAGGCUAAUGACUCGGCUGAAUUUAUUAAGCCUGGACUCUCCCAAGUCCACCAAUUCACGAUUUAAUGGUUCAAGUUUUUAACCUGUAAAUCAAUUUUUAAAAUGGAGUCGCCACUAAUCGAUUUGGGGUGGGUUGAUUAGAAACCCAAGCAAAGUAUUGGAAGAAAUACUCACUCUUGCGCAACCAAAGAAAUUAGGAUCGGGGACUUGAUUACACUAGUUAAUCACUAAUGCCCUUUUGGUACCUAAUCUUGUUUAAACCUUGAGGUUUUUUGGAUGUUCGAGAAAUUUUCCAUGCAUUUUUAGGAGGAAAAACAAUUUUUUAGUCUUUUUUUCUAAUUUUUUGGACAUAAAAGGGAUUUUUUUUUUGGAAUUUUUGGUAUUUUUUUGGAAAUAUACAAGUCUUUUUGGCUUUUUCUGAAUUUUUUGGCUUUUUCAUGAAUUUUUGGCCUUUUUGGAUUUUUGGCAUUUUUUUUUGGAAAAUAUGGAAUAUUUUUUAUUUGAUUUGAUUUUUAUUUUUUGGAAAUUAAAAUAUUUUUAAAUAUUUUUCAAAAUAUUUUUGGAAAAUAAAUUAUUUUUGAUUUUUCUCGAUUUUUUUAGAAAAUAAAACAUUUUUCAGCAUUUUUUAAAAAUAUUUUUCGAUUUUCUAGAAAUUAAAACAUUUUUUAUUUUUUUGAAAAUAAAUUAUUUAUUUAUUAUUUAUUAGAAUAUUAUUUUAUAUCAAAAUAACAAAAUAAAACCGACCCGGGCCAGCCCGAAACGCAGAUGGGCCCGCUACGCGGGCCCGACUUUUUUUUUAUUUUUUAUAAUUAAACAAAACGACACCGUGGCCGAGUGAUUGGGGAUGCCCGGCCCGGCCCGACGACCCGAGUUCCUAGCUAAACCCUACCCGGGUCCGACCCAACUCGUGACCCGACCUCUGCUACCCCUGGGAUUUACGGAAUCCCUACCCGGUUCCCGAUCCGGGUCCUACCCGACAACACGGGGUCGCGACCCAGAAAAUCGGGAACCCUAGGGUUUCCGAAUCGCGGCACCGAGGAGGAAGAGGACCGAGGCGCAGCGGCGAUGGCGGCGACGGCGGCGAUGACUGGACUACGGAGAGGGAGAUGGCGACGGCGACAUCACGAUACCUGUUCGUGGCAACGGUGCGACGGGGGCGGCGAUGACGGCGAGACCCACGCGAAUCUCCUCUAGCUUCUCUCUCUCUCUCUCUCGGGUUCGCUCUUCAAGCUCCCCGAAGUCUCUCGGGGACCCCUUCGAGCUCACCACACCACGGCCGACCUGCACUCGAGCUCCCCGAAGUCUCUCAGGGGACCCCGAGCUCCGGUGGCCUCUCUCUCUAUCUCCCUAUGAUCUUUGUGUCCCCUCUUCAUCGGGGAUGGAGGGCCUAUUUAUAGGCCGAGGGGUGGCCGGUCGACGGAGCUCAACCGGCGGUUGCCACAGCCUUCGUCGGCCGAACCGGCGUCCCAUCCGACACCAGCUGCCCCCUGCUCCACGUGCGUUGUCGCUGCUCCUCCCCUUCGCUCCGGCGUCGUGCCCCCUGCGCAUGCGCUGCAAUUGCGCGAGGAAGAAGAAGACUCGGCUGGGCUGGGCUGAGGCAAAGAUGGGCCGAGGGCCCAUGCGGAGGCUGGUUCUCUUCUUUUCUGCUUUUUUCUGUUUUUUUGCUUUGUUUUGUUGUUUAUUUAUUAUUCAAUAAAGAAAAUAAAAACUUAAUUAAUAAAAUAAAAUAAGAUAAAAUAAACCUAAAUAAAAUUAAGGCGUCAACAGCUGCCCCUCUUUGAAGGUGAGCUCGUAGAGGUUGCAUUUAAAGACGAACUGAUGCCUAAAUUUUAUCUAUACAUGCGUAACAGAUUAUAUUUUACUUGGGACCUAUUAUCCUAUGCAAAAAGAGCAAUAUAACAUUACAAAUACUAAGACAGAUAAGAAGAUACCUGUUAGUUACUUACCGGGAGUGAGUGAGAUAGGGUGUGAACCCCGAGUUUGGCAAGUAUUAAGGCGUCAUCUUACCUGGUGAUAUGAAGAGGUUGCUUUUCCAGGGCUCGAACCAUUCUUCGGUCGCCUGUUAAAACAAUCAAUGAUUUGUCUAGGACCCGAACCUUUCUUCGGUCGCCUUGACGGGAAAUUGCUCCUCCAGGACCCGAACCAUUCUUCGGUCGCCUGUUGGAGCAACCAGUGGUUUGUCUCGGACCCGAACCAUUCUUCGGUCGCCGUAACGGGAAAUUGCUUCUCCAGGACUCGAACCAUUCUUCGGUCGCCUGUUAAAACAAUCAAUGAUUUGUCUAGGACCCGAACCUUUCUUCGAUCGCCUUGACGGGAAAUUGCUCCUCCAGGACCCGAAUCAUUCUUCGGUCGCCUGUUGGAGCAAUCAGUGGUUUGCCUGUUAAAAGGACACGUCGAUCGCCUUGACGGGAGAUGCACCGACCUUUCUCAGGGCAUCUCAUUUGUGGGUGCAUGAUUUGUAUCGAGGACACCAGUUGGUACCCGACCUUUCUCAGGAGAUGCGCCGACCUUUCUCAAGGCAUCUGUUUUGUGGGGGUGUCUGACCUUUGUCAAAGACAACAGCUGGUACCCGACUUUUCUCGGGAGGAUGCUCCGACCUUUCUCAGGGCAUCGAUUCUAGAAGAUACCUGGACAUUCACAAGCAUAUCAAAGAGUACUUGGAUAUUCACAAGUACCAACCUGAAGGGUAUUUAGGCCUUUGCAGGCGUCAAAAUGGGUAUUUGGCUGAUCAUAGGUAUUGAAGGGGUACUUGGAUGAUCACAAGUAUGAAUUCUUGGGGAAUACUUGGACAUUCACAAGCAUCGAAGGGGUACUUGAUAAUUGGAAAUAUUGAGAACAUACCUUGGAUAUUUGUGAAGGUGUCCCACCUCCUAGCAAUUGGGAAAUAUCGAUGGCGUACCUGGGAUAUUCGUGAAGGUCUCUCACCUCCUGGUAGUUGGAAUAUCGAGGACGUACCUUGGAUGUUCAUGAAGGUCUCUCACCUCCUGGUAAUUGGGAAUAUUGAGGAUGUGCCUCGCAUGUUCAUGAAGGUCUCUCACCUGCUGGUAUUUGGAAUAUCGAGGAUGGGUCUUGGAUAUUCAUGAAGGUUUCUCACCUCCUGGUAAUUGGGAAUAUCGAGGAUGUACCUGAGAUAUUCGUGAAGGUCUCUCACCUCCUGGUAAUUGGAAAUAUCGAGGGCGUACCUGAGAUAUUUGUGAAGGUCUCUCACCUUCUGGUAAAGGGGAAUAUCGAGGACGCACCUGGGAUAUUCGUGAAGGUCUCUCACCUCCUGGUAAUUGGGAAUAUCGAGGGCGUGCCUCGCAUAUUCAUGAAGGUCUCUCACCUCCUGGUAAAUGGGAAUAUCGAGGACAUACCUAGGAUAUUCGUGAAAGUCUCUUACCUCCUGGUAAUUGGAAAUAUCGAGGGCGUACCUGGGAUAUUCGUGAAGGUCGCUCACCUCCUGGUAACUGGGAAUAUCGAGGGCAUACCUGAGAUAUUCGUGAAGGUCUCUCACCUCCUGGUAAUUGGGAAUAUGGAGGACGUACCUCAAAUAUUCAUGAAGGUCUCUCACCUCCUGGUAAUUGGGAAUAUUGAGGAUGUACCUGGGAUAUUCAUGAAGGUCUCUCACCUCCUGGUAAUUGGGAAUAUUGAGGACGUGCCUCUCAUAUUCAUGAAGGCCUCUCACCUCCUGGUAGUGGGAAUAUUGAGGGCGUGCCCUGCAUACUCGUGAAGGUCUCUCACUUCCUGGUAAAUGGGAAUAUCGAGGACGUACCUGGGAUAUUCGUGAAAGUCUCUCACCUCCUGGUAAAGGGAAUUUGAAUGUAGCACGAGGCUUACCUGGAUUGCCGCAGGCACUUAAAAUGGGUGGAACACCUGGAUAGCCACAGGUGUACAAAGUACUGAGAUACUUGGAUGAACACAAGUAUUUAAUGAUACAACCUGGGACCACUCAGUUGGUCCAAGUGUAAGAAAGCAUACCUGGGUAGGCGCAAGCACACGAAGCAGUGGAAUGCUUGAACAGCUGCUAUUAUUUGGGGACAACUCGGGCAAGUUGAGUGUCAUGAAAAGGAAGUACCUAGACAAUGGUGGGUACUUGACGAUGUGGGGAUACCUAGACAGCAGUAGGUAUUCCAAGAGAUACUUGGUCAGUCACAUGUAUCAAUACUCUGGGGACAACUCGAACAUGUCGAGUGUUAGGAAAGGGGAGUAUCCGAACAGUGGCUGGUACUCAAAGACAAUAGGGAUACCUAGACAGCAGUAGGCAUUCAACGAUAAAGGGAUACUUGGUCAGUCACAAGUAUCAAUACUCUGGAGAUAACUCGAAUAGGUCGAGUGUCAGGAAAAAGGAGUAUCCGAACGGUGGUCGAUACUCAAAGACAAUAGGAUGCUAAGACAACAGUAAGCAUCGAAACUCAAGGGACAACUCAAAUAGGUCGAGUGUCAAGAAGAGAGUACUUAGACAGUGGUAGGUACCUUAAGACAAAUGUGGAUAGGGAUAUGCUUACCUAGCAAUAUCUCUGCUCUCUGAGAGUAUGUUUGCUAUUUGCAUGGUAUGCACACAUGAUUGUAUGUGUUGUAAAUUCAUGAGUUCAAAUGAGGUUCAUGCAUGAUAAUUUUGUCAAUUUUGCAUCAUCUAAUUUCCACCGAGGAAGAUUUUGAAAGACAACCUUCAUUUAGAAUGUAGAUGUCUUGAGCAUGCCAGAUGAGGGGCUUUCAGUCUGAAAGGACUUUCCACUCACUCUUAUGGAAAAGGCUAUCCUGACCAUUGAUGCAGGAUUUAUAAGGACCACACUUCUCACUGUCAUCAUGUCAGCAGGUGUCUGAGUAUUAUCGCAAGUGGUACGACUUUACCAAUGUGAGAGGUCUUUGUUGAAAUUGUGAUGAAGACUUGGUUAAUAGCUCAUCAAAUGGGACCGUCGAGGUCAAGGCUCAUGAACGAAGUGCCGCACGAUCAUCUCCGGGUUUGUAAGUCAAGAGUCCUGCGAAAAGAGACAGAAUAGUCUUGCUCGUACUUCUUCGAGCGAUGCUUAUAGACAUAUGAAAUCCUACGUUAAUUGAAGUGUCCUUAGUUUGAAGAGACUUUUACAAUGGGAUGCAAUGUAGGCUUGAUUCAUGUGUAAAAAGGUGAGAGCUGGUGAUUGCCUUGGCAUUUGUCACCAGUCUUUCUUCUUACUGUCAAAUGGAGGUUCUAUGGACCACAACAACAACAUUUUCUUGGCUGCAUUUUUGACUGGGGGGCAUUGGCCUUGCUUUUACCAGGCACACUGCUUUUUCAUGCCCCUAUUUUUAUUCCAGUUCUUCAUUUAUGGGCAUUGACCUUGCUUUUACCAGGUACACUGCUUUUUUAUACCCAUGUUUUUUCAUUCUUGUCGUUGGAGGAACUGGCCUAGGCAAGUUCAAUCGAAGCACCGUUAUUAGACUCUUGAGUCUUCAUCUUCAGUAGGCACUCUGGGCUAUGCUGCUUAAAUGGUAGUAACUUUUGUUUUGCCUCCAUGUGAGGGUGAAAUUACAUACUCAAUUGGGUUGUACAAUGAAUACAAGUGCAUAGAGAAAGAAUUUCUCUUCGUCAUUCUAGGGCACUUAAAUUAACAUGAGUGUUCAUAUGCAAUAAGGACACCCGAAGAUUGAUGCAAGUGCGAGCAAGAAAAUUUCUAUCUCUCUUCUCACCUUGUGAUGUUGCUUUGCCUCCACUCUGCCCCAAUGUGGGGUGGUUCUUGACGAGGGUAUGAGAGAAGCUUCACCAGUGUAUGGGGCUCAAUGGGGUGAGCGAUGGAAUACCUCUCACUAUUUUGGUUAUCGUACCAUUCGCGAGAAAACUCUUUACUCUGCAGCCAUGGAAUCUUUUGCACUCAUCUCAUAGGUGUAUAGAUGGGGGACUGUGUGUAGGAUAUGGCUUGCCUUUCAUCAUUCUGACGUGCCUUAUCCAGCAUACUCGAUUAAUCUUGUAUUUUUCAUUUAGUUGUCUAUUCUAAUAAUUCUCAAUGGAAUCAGUGAUUUAGACAGACAAAAUCAUCAUGCAAAAUCCAUUUGGAAAAGGCACGCAUCAUUUUAAACAUGAGAGAAUUUGUACUCUCAGAACAAAUGAAUGGUUUUGGCUCAAAAAGACCUUCUUAGUAGCUUUAAGGGUUAACAGAAUAGUAUUGUUAAAUCUUGAACAUCAAAAGGGUUAUUCACGAAGAGGUGCUCACAAAUGCGUGUCGGUGAUCGUCCCUAUUGAUUAGGGAUAUGACACAUGAAUGAUUAGCCAAGGAUUAGGAAUUUGAUCGGGCAUCUCUGCUUUUGCCCCUGUAGAAGUAGAUCAAUUAGUCUGGCCAAAAUCAAAUGUGAGUUGAGGCCUGAAGAUUUUCUGUCAUUUGCUUUGGCGAUUACUUAGAACGCCAUUUCGCUUAGGAGAGCUUGUCAUGCCUCUCAUUGAUUUAUUAUCCUUGUCAAAUGAUCCUGCAACAAGACAUGCUUCUCAUUGAUUUGUUAUCCUUACUUUUGUCAGUUAGGUGAUCCUGCAACAAACAAGAGGGAAUGUGUUAGUCAUGAACUCUUUCAAGAGUCGAAUAACUGGAAUCGAUACAACUUUACCCUUCACUGGUUUGCAGAUGAUUGGGUUAACCUGAAGUGAGAGGGGGACACGAAGUCUUAUGUCCCUUGCUUCAUUAGGUCAAUUAUUCUCUGUAUUGGCUCCUGGAUGACACGUCCUUUUACACGAAACCGGGUGAAUUUGAUGUGGGUCAUUUCCAUGUACUAGCUUGGCCAAUAUUGAUUUGCCAAACCUAACCAUCAAAUUUGGCUCUUGAAUCCUGGUGCUUCCUGCCAAUAGGGGGAAUAUGUCAAAAGUGAAUUCAAAGAGGGGGGAGUAUUGGAAACGAUACCAAAUUACUCUUCUCCAAAGUUUGUAUUUGCUGACUCUUGUCGAUAAUGGCCUAUUUAUCUUGGCACAGUUCAAUGUUUCCUUCAAUUGACCUUCCUCCUUUGUGACCAUGUAUGCAUGAUUGUUGGUCGUUGAUUCAUCUUCAAUGCCAUCCUUCUGUGGAAUUUUCUUUUGUUUUUGACUAUAUGACCAUUAGCAGCAUUGGGCAAAGUUAUGUACUUCAAGCUUUUAUGAAAUCUGAGAUGGAUAAUCAAAACUUCGAAUUCUCUUAUGGAAAUCACUUCUUGGGAGAGCAUGUGUCUGGAGCACGAAGUGAGGUUUGUAGGUUCUAAGUCAUCAUUUGAGAUAAGGGGCUAGAGACUGCCUCAACUGACUAGAUUUUCUCCCUGUUGACGGUAGCCAAUUCAAGAGGAGAAAUUCCUUUUCUGUGCUUCUUGGCUUGUCAAAGCUGGAAACCCCGCCAAUGAACUCGCGACAUCCUGCCUUGAGCUAUCAUGCUAUGCACGCUUCAAGUUUGAUAAUAUGCUUGUGCCUAUUACGUCCCAUCCUUCGUCUCCUGUAGAUGGAAGAGAGAAGAUGUCACUUUCGACAUUAUGCUCAGGGAAUAGGACUUACCAUUUUGAAACGUGAUGAUCCUUUCUGUUUGCCCCUGCUUUCUUGGAAGGGUGCUUUUGAAUUUGGUUUGUUCACACGAUGUGCUAGUUCCAAAUACCUUUUGUCACACUAAAUCAAAGGGGAUGAUGUUCUGAGACAUAAAGUGAGAGGGUUAGAAAGACAAACGUGCUUAAAUUUAUCAUCUUGUUUUGAGAAAAGCUUUUGAGCAAUGAAAUAUUUUUUAUUUUCAAAAGUAUAUAUAUUUGAGGGGAAAAAAGCAUGAAGAAGCCCAGCCCUCAGUAUUCUCCUUGGAUGAUAUUUUCUUUUCAUGGUUGGAUAGCAUCACUGAGCUGGUUUGAGAUACCGCCUCAUGCUCUCAAAAUAUUUUCAACUUUAUUUAAUAGGUGGAUUUACAUUUUGGAAAAGUGUUUUCAAAAGUUAGUUCCUAAAGUAGAACUGAUGUUGAAAAUAAAAACAAGCCAGACUUAAGAAAGAUAUACAAGUUCCCACGUAGGGGAAUACGAAAGGAAAUUAAAAAGGGUUCUACUCGAGCGGGCCUGCGCCCAUUUCCCCUUACGGUCCUUCAUUGAUGGUGUCCAUGAAAAGGUCUCCAAACAUGGUAGUCAUGUCAUAUGGCUCUUCUUUCUUUGUUGCUAAGGGUGGCACUUCAUUGCCUGAAUAAUACCUGGCCUUCACCAGCCCUUGAUGAAUGUCAGUGGUACGUGCUUCGACAUUUCUGCUCUGACCGUCUUCAGAACUGAAUACCGCAUUUAUUUUGUCGGUGUGAUCAGGGAGUGAAUUGGUCUAGAAUGAGAAAGCUUUAGUGUCUAAUAGGUUCUGGAUUCGACUCUUGAGGGCGAAGCACUCAUCAGUCGAAUGCCCCACUUCUUCCAUGUGAUAGUCACAUAUUUUUGACGGGUCAUAAUUGGAAAAACUUUCAGCGUUUGGUCGCUUUGGCUCAGUCGAGAGGAGGUUCUUAUUCCGGAGGAUUGCCAAAACCUGUGAUGGAGAUCCGGGAAGUGAAGUGAAUUGUCUCCUGUUGUUGUAGUGCUGGUGCGGUUGACGGCUGGUGGUCUGUUGCUGUCUUGCACUUGUCUGAAUUGUUGGAGAAUGAUUGUAGGUUGCAUUGACAUCUACUAGGGGUUCUUUAUCUUUCUUCAUGCUAAACUUGCUAGUGGGUGCAGGUUCAGUGAACCAACCAUCUUUUAACCCUAUCUCGAUUUGUUCCCCUACUGGAAUGAGUUGAUUAAACGAUUCAGCGAUCGUGGUCACCAUUCGAUUGCAGUACUCGUAAGGAAGGGUUUUGAUAAACAUUUUUCUCAGUUCGAAAUCGGUUGGUUCAGGACUGAUUUGGGCGGCCGGAUUCCUCCAUCUAAUAGUAUAUUCUUUGAAUGAUUCAUGCUUUUUCUUUUCAGUACGCUCAAGAUCCUCACGAGAAGGGGUAAUAUCCAUUAUGAACUUAUACUGCUUGAGGAACGCCUCACUCAAUUCGCUCCAUGUUUCGAGAAGGUUCAUGUUCUUCGUGAUGUACCACCUUAAGGCAGGGCCUAUUAGACUUGAUUGGAACAACUGGAUCAUUAAUGGUACAUUAUUAACGUAUUGGGUCAUUCGAACCAAGUACAUUUGCAAAUGAGCCCUAGGGCAAGUCGUGCCAUCGUACUUCUCAAACUCAAGAAUUUUGAAUUUUUCCGGCAUUUUGACAUUGGAAUAAAUGGAGAGGUCCAUCAAAAUAGGAUCUUGGAGGCCUUGCAGUUGUUUCAGCCUCUCCUCAAGCUUUUCAAGGCAUUUGUCAUGCUCAGCUUUAGACAAAAUGUCUAGCUUCGCUGUCUCAAUUGCUGUUUGGUGUGGAUCAUCCUCCAAUUCGGGCAUGUUAUCGUUGGUAUCUCCACUUUGAUCACCCCUGGUAGAUGAUUGUGGCAACAAUACCUCGACUGAGGCUGGGGCGGGAGUGAGUUUGCCUUGGAUGGAGCCUAUCUCCUUUGAAAGUUGUUGAAGCACAUUGAAGACUUGCUUCAUUUCACUUUCCAUGAUCUCGAUACGGCUUGGUACAUUUUCUUCGGCCAUUCUUGCUCUUGCUUUUGAACGAGUCUGGAUCGGCGAACGUUGACUUUCUGUGAUUACCUAGUCAUGAAUAAACAAGCGUGCAUGAAUACAAGGCGUAAAUGGGGAGUUAGUCCAUGAUGACAACCUAACCCUACUCAUUUCGUUUAUUCAUGAAAAGGUAGAUGAUUUCCUAAGCAUGGAUUGAAAAAGGGCAUGUGAGAUGUUAGCAUGGGCUAAAAGGAUUUGAAAGGUGAAGAAAGCAUGAAUUGCAACAAAUUUUGAAAAAGAUUUCUAUCCCUUUUUGAGGCAAAUGAAAAUUCUUGCGCAAAAGAACUUUUUAACAUGCUUGAGAAUAAAGACAUUAACUGAAAGUAAUUUCUUUUGCAAAAGUUUUUUUUUUUUUUUACUUUAUGACAAUUACUUUUAAAUUUAAUUGACCGUAGUAUUAAAUCCUAGACUAAUCAUGGACCACUCAAUAUAUGCAGGAAGGUAAAUAAAUUGCAAAGUACACAAAAAACUUACAUCACGCGAGAAAAUUGAUGACAAUCACAUAGACAUGUGCAUGAUAUGUGCGGCUCGAUUUCUAACUAAGAAGGUUUGUUGAGAUUAAAAGGAUAUCCGUCCGUCGCAGUCUCGCGUUAGCAGCAUACCCCCUUAACCUCGGCUAAGAAAUUCGGGGAAAAGAAAGGCAACCACUACAUCGUAGUCUCGCGUUCGAGGUCGUAUCUUUCUUAACACCAUCCUAGAAAUCCUAUGGCGGCGCAGGUCCGGCGGCCGGGUUGUGUGUGCCGUGUGUAGUGUUUAAAAUAGUAAAGCAAGCACAAUAGUUUAUAAUCACAAGACAUUUUAUUUUAACAAAAUAAAAAAAAACUUUAAGCUAUUACCCUGCACAAAAGAAAAAAAAACCAAAGUCAGCAAAGCAUUUAAAUAAAGAUAAAAUGGCCUAAGUCCUCAAAAAUCGUCCCCAGCGGAGUCACCAAGCUGUCGCGACCUCCUUUUUUUUCGACGCCCGCAAUCGGGUACGAACGCCUAAGGAGGCUAAUGGCUCGGCUGAAUUUAUUAAGCCUGGACUCUCCCAAGUCCACCAAUUCAUGACUUAAUGGUUCAAGUUUUUAACCUGUAAAUCAAUUUUUAAAAUGGAGUCGCCACUAAUUGAUUUGGGGUGGGUUGAUUAGAAACCCAAGCGAAGUAUUGGGAGAAAUACUCACUCUUGCGCAACCAGAGAAAUUAUGAUCGGGGACUUGAUUACACUAGUUAAUCACUAAUGCCCUUUCGGUACCUAAUCUUGUUUAAACCUUGAGGUUUUUUGGAUGUUCAAGAGAUUUUCCAUGCAUUUUUAGGAGGAAAAAUAUUUUUUAGUCUUUUUUUUUUCUAAUUUUUUGGACAUAAAAGGGUUUUUUUUUUGGAUUUUUUGGUAUUUUUUUGGAAAAAUACAAGUCUUUUUGGCUUUUUCUGAAUUUUUUGGUUUUUUCAUGAAUUUUUGGCCUUUUUUGGAUUUUUGGCAUUUUUUUGGAAAAUAUGGAAUAUUUUUGAUUUGAUUUGAUUUUUAUUUUUUGGAAAUUAAAAUAUUUUUAAAUAUUUUUCAAAAUAUUUUUGGAAAAUAAAUUAUUUUUGAUUUUUCUCGAUUUUUUUAGAAAAUAAAACAUUUUUCAGAAUUUUUUAAAAAUAUUUUUCUAUUUUCUGGAAAUUAAAACAUUUUUGAUUUUUUUUGAAAAUAAAUUAUUUAUUUAUUAUUUAUUAGAAUAUUAUUUUAUAUUAAAAUAACAAAAUAAAACCGACCUGGGUCGGAUCCGCGGGUUGGGUCCGACCCGGGCCAGCCCGAAACGCAGACGGGCCCGCUACGCGGGCCCGACAUUUUUUUUUUUUUAAUUAAACAAAACGGCACUGUGGCCGAGCGAUUGGGGAUGCCCGGCCCGGCCCGACGACCCGGGUUCCUAGCUAAACCCUACCCGGGUCCGACCCAACUUGCGACCCAACCUCCGCCGCCCCCGGGAUUUACGGAAUCCCUACUCGGUUCCCGAUCCGGGUCCGACCCGACAACCUGGGGUCGCGACCCGGAAAAUCGGGAACCCUAGGGUUUCCGAAUCGCGGCGCCGAGGAGGAAGAGGACCGAGGCACAGCGGCGAUGGCGGCGAUGACUGGACUACGGAGAGGGAGAUGGCGACGGCGACAUCACGAUACCUGUUCGUGGCAACGGUGCGACGGGGGUGGCGACAACUGUGAGACCCACGCGAAUCUCCUCUAGCUUCUCUCUCUCUCUCUCGGGUUCGCUCUUCGAGCUCCCCGAAGUCUCUCGGGGACCCCUCCGAGCUCACCACACCACGGCCGGCCUGCACUCGAGCUCCCCGAAGUCUCUCAAGGGACCCCGAGCUCCGGUGGCCUCUCUCUCUAUCUCCCUAUGAUCUCUGUGUCCCCUCUUCGUCGGGGAUGGAGGGCCUAUUUAUAGGGCGAGGGGUGGCCGGUCGACGGAGCUCGACCGGCGGUUGCCACGGCCUUUGCCGGCCGAACCGGCGUCCCAUCCGACGCCAGCUGCCCCUUGCUCCACGUGCGUCGUCGCUGCUCCUCCCCUCCACUCCGGCGUCGCGCCCCCUGCGCCUGCGUUGCAACUGCGCGAGGAAGAAGAAGACCCGGCUAGGCUGGGCUGAGGCAGAGAUGGGCCGAGGGCCCAUGCGGAGGCUACUUCUCUUCUUUUCUGCUUUUUUCUGUUUUUUUGCUUUGUUUUGUUGUUUAUUUAUUAUUCAAUAAAGAAAAUAAAAACUUAAUAUAAAAUAAAAUAAAAUAAAAUAAAAUAAACCUAAAUAAAAUUAAGGCGUCAAGGUGAGGCACUCCAAUUGCAAGCUGGUUUACUUGUGUAGGAACCCUAAAGACACUUUCAUCUCAAUGUGGCUCUACUUCAACAAGUUCAAGCCCAAAGAGAAGGGCCAACUUCCACUCCUAGAGGGCCUCGACAAGUUCUGCGGAGGCAUUAGCGUGUACGGGCCUUACUGGGACCAUGUGCUGGGUUACCACAAGGUGAGCUCGGAGAUGCCCGAGAAGGUGUUGUUUGUGAAGUAUGAGGAGAUGAAAGCGGACCCGAGCAUUCAAGUGAGGAGGUUGGCCAAUUUCAUUGGGCGUCCAUUCAACGAAGAAGAAUUGAGAAACGGGACCGUGGAGGGAAUACUGAGGAUGUGUAGCUUUGACAAUUUAAGUGCAUCGGAGGUGAGUAGGAGCGGCAAGUUGCCUACUGGAGUAGAGAACAAGUGGCUCUUCAGGAAAGGCGAGGUUGGAGAUUGGGUGAAUUACAUGAGCGCUGAGAUGGGAGAGAGAAUUGACGGCGUCAUGGAAGAAAAGUUGCAUGGUUCUGGUUUGAAGUUUUAAGACAUAUGACCCACUCGAAGAUGUUUGGUUCGAUGGUGGAAAAGAAAAAUGUGUGUAAAAAGAAGAAAAAAGAAGCAAAAACGAUUCGACUCUCCGCACUUUAGGGGGUCAAUGUCUGGUUGGCCAAUGCAAGCGUGUUUCUCAUGCUAUAGGAUGAAAGAUCUUCAGUGGCAUUGUCAGUCCUGGCUUCGUCUCCAUAGUGAGAUGCUUUAGGGAUGUGAUUCCACUGUUCAUCUGUGUUGUGUACUAUUGGCGUUUGGCAGAAGUUAUUUGGCCAGUAAGUAGCUGGCUAAACAAGAGCUGCCUAGCUGCUCCCUGGGAGCUUGUGGAUGUAUCUUCUGUUAUUUAUUUCAAUUCCAUUUUUCUUUUUCUCUUGGCUGUGUGAAGAUUCGUGGCAUACGGUAUUAAAUACAAAGCAGUUAUUUGGUAGGUUAAGCUACAAAGGGUGCGUUUGGAAUCAGCUUUGCAAGGGACUUUGGGCUUCUAAAGACACUUGGGCUAAAGCUAGGGUGUUUGGAAACAAUCUUGGAAUUUCCAUUAGGCCAAAGCUGGCCUUCCCAAGGCUGAAAGCCCAAGGCAGGUGAAGGGGUGCCUUGGGCUUUAAGCUUUCUCGGCAUACAAGUGACACUGUUCACUUUUUUUAUUUUCUUUCAAAAAUAUCCUCAGCUACUCUUAUUUUUCCGGUUUUGCCCUCGUUGUUGUACUGUUCAUCUUCUUCUCCGUGAAGGCCGACGACGUGCUCCUCGAAGCUGUGAGUGAGUGGCCGCCGACGGCUCGGCAUGGUUGCGGUGGCCCAGGCGACCGUCGCCGGGGAGUGGUGCGACCGCCGCCCUGUCUGGGUCGCGGCGAUCGCUGUGGGUCGCGGCGAGGUUUGGGUCGCCGACCUUGCCGCGACCUAGAUCCGAGGGCGGCGAGGUUCUCCCGCGACCUCGCCGCCCCAGAACUUGGUCACGGCGGUUGCCGGAGGUCGCGCGACCUCGCCGCGACCCAGAUCCGGGGGCGGCGCGGUCGCGUGACCCCGCCGUGACCCAGAUCUGGGGCCGCAAGGUCGCGGGGACCUCGCCGCCCCAGAUCUGGGUCGCGGCGGGGUCGCCCGACGUCUGGAGACCCUCGCCGAUGGUUUUCAGUGGUCGCCCGACGGCCGGCGACCCUCUGUGAUGGUCUUCAGUGGUCGCCCGACGUCCGGCGACCCUCGCCGGUGGUCUUCAAUGGUCGCCCGACGUCCGGUGACCCUCGCCGGUGGUCUUCAGUUGACGUCCGGCGGCCACUUGCCCUUCCCGGCCAUCUGCCCUUCCGGUCAAUUUUUUAUUUAUUUUUCUUUUGAUAAUUUUUUUUAUCACCAAAGCAAUUUGCAAAUAUAAUUUCUCCAAACACCAUUUUGCUUAAAGAUACUUCAAAUGGGCUUUCAAACUACAAUUUUACCAAACACACUUUGCAUUUUGGAAAAUACAUUAAUAACAAAGGUCUUUGCAUUUUGCUAAGGACUUUUCCCAAAAGCGUUCCCAAACGCACCCAAAUUAUAUUUGUUAGAUGGAAAAUAAAUUUGUUAUUAAGCUUAUCGGUUUAAUUUGUCGGUUUUCAAAGUCAUAAACUAAAACCAAACGAAUAACCAAAGAAAAAAAAUCCUAAACCAAAAUUAAAACACUAAACUGCUAAACUGAGCUUAUCAAUUUUGUUCGGCUCGGUUGAUCAUUCUUUUCUGUUUUUCGUGAACAAUCCUACCAGCAUAGAUCCUUGCCGAAGCUGGCCAUGGUUGGGCUGUGGCCAUACCCAUGCGGUUUAUUGUAUUUUUUUUUUUUAUAACUUUCUUUCAUUUUAUUUUUUAAGAAUUCAUUAAUUUUCAUUUGUUCCUCUUGUUUUUGGCUCUUUUAAGUGUUUUGAUAAACCAGCUUGUAGUUUGGUUGACCCCCUUUUUAUAAUGUAUUAAUGAGAAUCAAAAAUUAAUUUUGUCAUGCCCUUUAAUUUACUUUGCCAAUUGCUUGCCAAGUGAUGUCUUUAGCUUCCGCCGCUUUAAUCUUGUCCAUGAUACCUUCGACUUCAUUUUUUUUUUUUUGGUAAAAAAAAGAAGAUUUUUCUCCUCUUUUUUGCUGAUCGCCUGUUAACGGCCUUGCCAAGCCCACGUUCUUUCGAUGCUAGACUUCAGCCUACCAUCAAUUUUUCCUUCCAUAGAUGGUGCGCAUGAAGGAAUCGAACCAAAUGAAAAGAAGGCAAACGGUGAUAGAAAACGAGGAAAAGAGGAAACAGAGAAGAGAGAGACAGCUUGCGCGCGCAUCUCACAGGAACCACGCUAAGCCAGGUUAGCCUCAUUUUGCAAUGCCCAAUAAUUAAUCAAACUCGUUAUUCGUCUAAUUGAAAUAAUUUUCGGAAUUAGGCCACAAAUUUGAAGUUCAAGUGAAUUUUGAACCACGAUUAAGGAAUUAUUAAGUUAUGGAUUUAUAUGGAAAUGGUCCGGUUUUGUGUGGGCAAAGUUGUGAGACCACCACAAUCAAUAAGUUUGAAAGAGGGCCCCAAGAUUUGACAUGUGCUCUCAUAUCAUAGAGCAAUACCUAAUCAUAAAAUUUAAACCAUUAAAUGAAAGGAGACUACUAGUAUAAAAAACAUAUUAUAACUAUAAUGUAAGUUAUUCAGAACGAUACUUAAUAGUUUGAAUGGAUGAGACACCAAAUAAUUAUAUUGGUGGAGGUAACGAUCUCAUUCCAUUUUGGGGUAUCUUCACAUAAUAAAAUUACCCUCCAACUUUAUAAAAUCCUGCCGUUUUGAUUCAAUUACAGAAAUGAAUUGAAGUGGCCCAAUUGCAUCAUGGUGAGAGGAUCCAAUUCGAAGACACGUAGUCAAUAGCUUACUAUGUAGUGAAAAGAGUGACAUCUGGACUCCUGCAUAAAUUUUUUUUAAUAAAAAUUGCCAUAAUUAUCCACCUCUACACCAACCUUCCUAAGCAGCCAUGCCAUAUAAGACGGUUGAUAUUUAUGUUAGUAAUUACCAGCCAAAAUUAGCUAAAAUGACUAUAUUGACAAAACAUUGAAAGAUUUAAGAUUAAAUUUGUUAAAUUGAAAAGUUUAUAAUUGAAUUAACCACUGUAUAAUAUGUUCAUGACUUUUUAAAUAAUUAUCCAUAAUUUUUUCUAUUGAUUGAUUAUGCUUCAUCCUGACAGAGUGAAGUACCACUUACUUUUGAACAGCCAAAAAAUGGAUGAUGUUUACAUAUACAAACGUCAUUAUGCUAUAGCUAUAAAUGACUAAAAAAAUGAAAAUAUCUUCACUUACAUUAGAUGUAACACCAAUUGAACUCGAAAUUGCAUAUCUAACUAAAGAGACAUAUUUUCCUCUAUUCUUGCUAAAGCCAAUCUCAAAGUAGAGGAUUAGACAACCCGCUUGCAUAUUUAACUAUAAAUAAAAUGUGUGCCAUGUCAAACUAUGAUUGGAUGCUCUAACUAGGGUAGCUAAAGAUUUUCUAAGAUGUUCAUUGUUCAUAGGUUAAGAAACAACAGAAUAUGUAACUGGUUUGUAAUACCAAUUCUCACCAAUAAAGAGAAAAACUCAGAACAAGUAGUUAGAGUGGAGAAUAAAGUGAAAAUCAGUUUUUUCCCUGACGAGGAGAUUUGCGCAGAGGAAAUAAUUCUUUACGCAUGGGAUGAAUUUGGUAGGAUGUUAAUUUCUUGCAUCCUGAUACAUACAAAAUGUAAUAUCAUAUAGAAUGAAUUUGGAUGAGUAAAUAUCGAGAACAUAAGGAUUGGUGUACAAAAUUGAUUUACACGAUGAGUUAAUAGAUCCCAAUGAGCAUCUACAUUAAGGAGGACGUAUACAUUCAAGCAUCCAAUAAUGGUUUUGACAUAUACACCGAUAAAUAUCGGUCUUUACCAACCUUGGUAUCAUCAUUUUUUUUAAAAAAGCCGUAUGAAAGCAUCAAAUAAUGCUGGGAGUAUUUAUUUAUUUGGGGUUUUUUUUUUUUUAAAGAUAUCCCUCUUCACGGGGAAAAUUGGUAGAUUGAUGUUUAUAUUAUUAAAAGACUCGGCCCUGUGCCUGGCGACUUCUCAUGUAUAUCAUUGACUUCAUUUUAAAACACCAGUUAAGAUUCAGUGUUGUAUCCAAUACUGGAUCGAUAUUAUGAAAUUUCAUCCACACUACCCCGGAUACGAGCCAACCAACAAAUAUUUCAAUAGGUUGCUUCGCUUAGUGGAAAAUAGAGUUAGGUGGGCUACCUUUGAAUUAUUAUUAAAGGAUGAACAGGAACCUUCGAAUGUACUAUUCAAAGUUGACAUGAUAUGGAUGCUACUUGUAUAGAAAUUAUAAUUUGCAUUUCGCAAGAUGACAAAACAUAUUUUUGGGGAGUACACUAUCAUUGCCAUAAGUUGUGUACGGCACUCACUUUGGUGUCAAAAGUUUUUGUCGGAUCACUUAAGUGCCAAAAAGUUUGAAAAACGAUCAUUUUAGUGCCAACUCCGAUCAUAUUGAUCGGAAACUCGACAUGGCACCUUUUUUUAAAUGUUUUUAUGUUGAUGUGGCUCGCCAGAGAGUACAGUUAGCAUGUAAACCACAAAACGACCUUGUUUUGCUGCUUUCCCCCAAGUCGAAACCCUAAAUCCCCAAAUCAAGAGAAGGCAUGAUCGCAUCGUCUUCUUCCCCAAAGAACAACCCCAGCACUAGCCACUCUCUGAGCAGAGCCCAAUCCACAAUCUCCAUCUGCGCCCUCCUUGUUUCCCUCGCACUCCUCAUCUUCUCUCUCUCUCUGCACCUUUGACCCCCCUUCUUCCUCCUCCUCCUCCUCCGCCCUCGCCUCCUAUUUUCCCAUCGCUUCUUGCCUGAGAAACAACCUCAGUCUCUCCUUGCUCACCUAGUCGAGCAACCACGACGGAGGCCGAGCACGGUGGCCAAGCGACGGUGGCUGAGCACAGUGGCCAAGCAAGCUUGGUCGGCGAGGAUUGAACCAAAAAAAAAAAAACCCUAAUUUCAAUCCCAAAUGAGUUGUGCGGCGUCAUUUUUGUGAGGCCAUCCACAUAUGACGGCAAAACGACAUUGUUUUCUUAAGGAGGAUGGAAAAUGAUGUUGUUUAAAAGGCUUGUCGAUUUUUUUUUUAAAUAUAAAAAUCACGUAAUCAUUUUGGCAGUAAUCUCUCGCUGGUAGUACCAAAGUGAUCGUUUUUCCUCCGAUUUGGCACUUAAGUGAUCCGAUAAAAACUUUUGGCACCAAAGUGAGUGCCGUACAUAACUUAUGGCACUGAUAGUAACUACUCCCCAUAUUUUUAUGUAUGAUAAUUACUUUAUCCCUGUUGAAGAUGGCGUUCACUUGGUAUACUAGUAUACUAGUCUUCCCGUGAAUUCGAUACAGAAUGCAAAAUGCACCUAGAGAGAAUCCUUGAUACUUUGGGCGUUCAUCACAGUUUUUGGGCUAACAUUAUAAGAGUUAUUUUGCGUAUGAUGUUUAGAGCAUUGGGUAAUGGCCGUGGAGGGUUUGUCUUGAACAUAAAUUUGGCAUUAGCCACCAGAGAUGAAGUUGAAAUAGAGACAUCGAGGAAGCCUCAAUUGGAGGAUACGAGUCAUAUCCAAUCAAGUCACGCGGGGCGUCUCCAGAGGCACCAUUGAAAAGCUCGAGCGGAAGAGCUACUCUAUUGGGGAAGCUGACGAAUGAUGUUCUAUUUGUUUAGAGGUACUGGAUGAGAAAUAUAAAGAGAUGGAGAUACCAUGUUUGCACCUAUGGCACAAUAGGUGCGUCGUCAAGUGGCUCGAGAGGACUAAUUCGCGUCCACUAUGUCGUGGCAAAGUACAAGUACAAGAUUUAGAGUAGUCAGUUUUAGUUUGUAAGAUUUUUUAAUAAGAAAAUAAUUCUCUUUUUUUUUUCUCCAAUGGAUUAACUAAUUCGCUGCAAUGACUUUGGGUACUCAAUGCAGCCCCCGCUGCUACAGUUCCGAAUAUCACCCCUGUUAAAAAACCAAGGUCACCUGUGAUGUCCCAGUAGAGACUAUAUAUAGUUUCUGUUUAUUCUAUGGCCAGAACCUGGCAGAGAUAGUAGUAACCUGCAUUUGGAAAGAGAGCAAAACGAAAAGAAAAUUGUCCCAGUCAAAAUUUACAUGAGAAGACUCACAAAAGAAUGUUCACAUAAGAGUACCAAACGAGUGGGGAGCGGGGAGCGGGUAGAGGGAGGGAGAGAGGGGGAGGGAGAGAGAGAUUCUUACGCAAACCGAGGUACAGAAUAUGUGCAACUUUAUUAGCUCGUUUUUGCCAGUUAUCCUAGGCAAGAAUGACCCAUUCAUAAGAGAAUGGGCAAAGACGACUAAUAGUGUAUUAUGCGCACAUUUGAUAAUCUCAUAUAUAAGCUAUCGUGUAUAUCAGAAAUAAAAUAAUAAGAUUGUUGCAGAUAUUUCUCAAAAAUUUAUUUAUUUUUUGAUAGGUGAAAGAGAAUAUUACUGAAGCACAUCAAGGGAGUGGAAACCCAUAUGCAAAAAGAGCCCAAUUACUCGACAAAUUAUGUACAAUGUUAAAGCAUUUCCAUCCGCACGACUUUCUAGGACACCAGAAGCAUAAGAUUUUUAACCAACUUUCAAUAAUUACAGAAAAUGGUGUUUCCUCUCCAAUGAAAGCUCUCAUAGUCGGCUCUCGGAAACUUAACUUAAACAGAUGACUUCCAACCAACAGAAUAUAUACAAAGACAUGCACAACAUCUGUUGUUCCAUCAAUGUUGAACACUGACAUAAGUUCUGGUAAUAAUAUAGGUACCUGUGCGGGUAGUCAUCCACCACACCACCAGUGAAUCCAGCACGCAUGGCAGAACUCAUAAUCAACUCUGCUGGGCUAUGCUUUCUGGAUAAACUUGAAAAACUGCUCGUUUCGCCCCUUGCCAAGCAUCUAUAUGACAAGCCAAAAAAUGCCCUAAAAACACUCGAGAUAAAUGUUGAUUAUUAGCCAGCCAAAUAGGGACUAGAAGUUGUGCAAGAUAGAAAAGAAAAAAGAAGAAAUUUUUCGAUUAUUCGGGACAAUCAUCCAGUUAUCAUCCAAUACUAAGGGAGAAGCUUCAAUCUUAACCACGGCUCCUGAGAGGACUUAUCCACGUUGCAUAACCACUGCAUGAAAAACAGAUAUAGGAAUCAACAAACUACAUAAAAGAAACCAAAAAAGAUUCCAAGUUACCCAGUGUAGAAACUCAGAGAAUUUCCAGAGUGUAGCAAGAUUAUGAAAUAAGAAUGAUAACAUGCAAAAUUAAUGAGGAAAGACAAUUAGAAUGUACGGAGACGAUGCAGCAAUGACACAAGGUGUAUCACCAGACUAUGGUCCAACAGUCCUUCAAACCCAACUAUGCCCAAGUUCUAAACAUUUCAUGUGCACAAUUUACCCCUUGAGUAUCCACUUAAUAACAAGUCAUUCUUACGGAUCGUUCUUUUGGUGUCUAACUAGCAGAUAAAGGGGGAAAGACAGAGAGUUGAAUCUACCAAAGUUGAAGCACAACAGUAGCUACUUUCUGCAGUGAACUUUUCCUAUGGAUCAGUCUUUGAUUUGUUUGGCCCAAGCCAAGAGGUCAACCAUGCAUCCACAAUGCUCACUAGUUGGAAUGGUGCCAUAACCUUUGCUCACACGUCCGAACAAGUGCAAUGCUCGAUUGAUUAGACACCUCCGAUUGAAGGCCAUUGGACCUCCAAAAAACGUCACAGCAUUUGGUUUAGGGCCCCUAUUUUCCAUCUCGUAAAAAAACUGCAGCCCAGUUUCAUUCUCACCAUUGACAGCAAACCCCAAUAUCAUCGCACUCCAAGUUGUCAACAUCUUUUAGAGGCAUUUGGUCAAACACUUCUUUGUAAGAAUCCGACGAACCCACAUGUGACAAGAAAAUAAUCAAUGCAAUUCUUGGCCCAAGUUCGUAAACAAUGCCACUCUCAUCUAUGUACUUAUGAACCCAUUUUCCUUCUUUAGAGGCUUCCACAAUAGCACGGCAUAAUAGCACGGCGCUAAAGUAUGCUAGCCUAAAGAGAUCCACUUAAUUUAACCGCUUGUUCCUAACGUAGCCAGAGAUCAAGGCACUGUAGGAAACAUCAUUUUUCCCUGGUACUAAAUCGAAUAGCCCUCGAGCUUCCUACAUGAGGCCAAUGCUACAAUACACAGUGAUAAGGCUCAUCCAGCAAACCACGUCCCGCAUUGAACUCUGAUCAAAUGGGCGGCUAGCAACAGUCGCAGCCCAAUGCUUCCGGUACAUGCUUAUCAGAGAACCCACCACGUAUGCAUCACAAUCUCGCCUGAACUUCAUCGCCCGGCGGUGAAGUUGGCCGGGCGAUGAAGUUGGCCAAGCUAAGGAAGAGCGAGCGCCAUGCCCCGACCAAUGCAGUGGAAGUGUGGGCAUAUGGCGGGCGUAGACAGAGACCAGCCUUCCCACGUUCGAAGUACCCCCAAGAAACCCAUCAUCCCGACUCCCAAGUCGAAGACAAUGGUGGUGGGCGAGUGGGAACACGAGAGAAAACGCGCGCCGCGUAGUUCAUGUGGCGGCGAACGGGAAGCGAGAGAGGCCGGAGAUGAUGGCGUGGGCAUGGAUUUGCUUUGGGUGGUCGGUCGAUGGUUGAGCAUCUUCGGAGAAGAGCGAGCGUGUGAUAUUUAUCACUAAUUGGUUGGAUGAUUUCGUCAUUUCACAAUGUGUAAUAAUAAAUAAAAUAUUUAUUCUAUGUAUGUCUUCUUCUUUUCUUAAUAGAGAAAUUAUAUAUUAUAACCGGUCCAUUUAACACCCCUAUCCUAUAUAUGUCUUUAGACAUUUUGGCUGUGUUCACAGCCAAUUUUAUUAUGGAAAUAGCGAAUUUCAAGAAAUUGAAACCUAAUAGUGAUGGGAGAAUCAUUUAGAACAAAAAGGGAAUACAAAGUUAUCGUGAUUUAUUUCUUGAUCAGUCCGCCCACAAUCAACUUUGGUCACUAAAUAUAUCAUAUUUGAGCAUAAAAAUUAUUGGAAUUCACUUUGAAAGAGAAAACUGUAAUCCACGCGCAAUUGCAUGACGGACCAAUCUACCAUAAUCAACUUUGUCCACUCAAAGUAUACCUUGAUAUAUACGAAUAUAGAUAUAAAUAGAAUAGAAAAUUUCCUAUAUAACCACAGUGGAGAGAGAAAUGAAACAAAAAAAAAAAAGUUGAAGACAUUAGGAUUGGGCUUCGAAAGAACCACUCACCAAGGAUUGAAUUUCUUGAGAGAAAUAGAGAGUCUAAUUGCGUAGAAUAAUAAAAUUGUAAACAUAAAAUAAAAUUUUUUCAUUAGUCAUCAAACAAAAGAAAUACUAAUUCAAGAUUAAGUCUCAUUAAAAGAUAUGUUUGACCUAGGAAUUCUAUAUGCUCUUUUAAGUUAAAUGGCUUUCAAAGGUCGAUUCUUGCACGUGUGAGCCCUUUUUAUAACGAUAUAAACAUGUAUUGAUCAUCGUCAAUCCAAUAAAACGGCUGCUCUCAAAUAGAUUUUACAUCUUAAACCAUGUUGAAACCAACGUUUUUCCUUCUCUUUGUUGCUUCUUCAAAAAGGCAUGUGUCCCUUUAAAGAGGAAGCAACUAAUUGUACUCAACAAUUUCUAGAUGCAUACCUGUAAGGGAGAAAUUGGUUUACGUCAAUAAAUCUUUCAAAUUCAAAUCUCCAUCUAAAAUAGAGAACCAUCAGGGAAAAAAAAAUAUAAUCGAUUAGGUUUGAGUGAUUUAGUCUGCACCUAGAACUGAAUUGAUUAUUAAUGAUUCCAAAUUUUAGGAACUUGGAAUUUGACUAGUGCUCACCCCUAGAUAUUUUGUUCGAAUGUAAAGAAUUUGUGCAACCAACUGAGAUCUUUGGUUUUAUGCACUGGUGAAAAUGAUUUUCCUGAAUAAGUCAAUUGAAAACUUUAGCUAUGGUUACGGAAAUUUCUACGAAGAGUUUAACUAAGCGAUACGAAUAUUUUUUAACGGAAGAAGUACACUCCAAGUGUCAAAACUUGGCACAGAGGGACACUUAAGUGCCAAAAGUUAGAAAAGUGAUGCUUAAGUGCCAAAAUCGGAGCAAAAUGGAUCACUUAAGUAUCAAUUCGGUCAAAAUGUUGAUGUGGCAGUUUUCUGGCGAAAUAAGUGCAAAACGAUGUCGUUUUGCAUGCUGAUGUGACUAGAUAAUGUAAAAAUGAUGUCGUUUUGUCUUCGACGUGGUAAAAAAUCAAUAUAAAANNNNNNNNNNNNNNNNNNNNNNNNNNNNNNNNNNNNNNNNNNNNNNNNNNNNNNNNNNNNNNNNNNNNNNNNNNNNNNNNNNNNNNNNNNNNNNNNNNNNCUCGACCGACCCUCCCCCCUCUAUCAUCGGCCCUUCUCGGUAAUGGCGGGGAGGCGGCGAGGCUCGCGAGCCCUCAUUGCCAAUUGGGCGGGGGCCAGCGACCCUGGCCAUCCCUCCCCCUCCGUCGCCAGCCCUUCUCAACGGCGGCGGGGAGGCAACGGCAGCGAGGCCUCAGCCCUCAGUUGUUUCCCUCCCCUCCCCCCUUUUAUUUUUAUUUUUAUAUGUUUUAAAUAAAUUUAGUUUUAAAUUUAAUUGAAUUAAUUUUUAUAUUAAUUUUUUACCACAUCAGAGAUAAAACGACUUAGUUUUUGUAUUUUCUAGCCACAUCAGCGUGCAAAACGACGUUGUUUUGCAUUACCUCGUCGGAAAAUUGCCGCGUCGGCAUUUUGGCCGGAUUGACAUUUAAGUAAUUCAUUUUGCUUCGAUUUGGCACUUUAAGUGUCACUUUUCUAACUUUUGGCAUUUAAGUGUCCAUCCAUGCCAAGUUUUGGCACUCUAAGUGUCCGGCACUCAUUUUUUGACUGAACAUCAGUCGCGAAGGUCCAUAGGUGUAGAGAGCAAAGCUCAAGCCAUGUGUUCUUGUUUUCUUCAACUAGUUAAUUGAUAACCUUCUACCAUGUCUUUAUUAUUAUAAAAGAAAAUACUUUUAAUACCUUAGCUAAGAUUUCAAGCAAAGUUUAGAGUUCCGAGGCAUUGGCGUGUAUUAUAUGUAUCCUGUUUCUCGAUAUACUUCCAUAAGAUUCCACGAAAGAUUUCCUGGGUUUUCUCGUGCUUGGGUUUCAACGUUACCCGUGAAAAUAUUGUUCAACCACACUCUUGGUAGCAACGACAUGGAGAAGAUACAUUUUGAGGCGAAAGACAAGGAAUUCCGAUUUUUCUGGCCCGCCGACCGCUGUCUUUAACUUCUCGGUCAAGUGGUACAAUUUGCUAGAUUUCGUUGAUCAAAAACAAUUUUGAGUUGUUUAAGUGGACACAUCCACUUCUAAUGCUCAAUUUUUUGGGCAAAUAUCACAAAAAAUCUCAUACUAUUUGCAUUGUGGCACAAAUAUCGAAAGGUUUUUUUAAUAGAUAUUACAAAAAAAUUAUAAACUUGCCUAUUGUGGUACAAAUACCUCCGAUUUUUUUGUGUGUCACGAACAAAUCCAAAUUUAUACACAUGUGACAUAAUUAUUCUAUAUUUCAUUUCUAUUCAGAGUAUAUUUGUCACAAUUGACAAGUUUAAGAUUUCUACUAAUAAACAAAAAAUUGUGUCAUAGUUGGUAUAAUUUGAGUUUUUUGAGGUAUUAACCCUUAUUUUUUAUUUAUUUAUAAGCAAUGCUUUAUUUUAUAUUUUUAGCAUGGGUUUUUUAUUCAAUCAUGUGAUCGAGAUGCGUUUGUUUUAAUUUAUUAAUAUGACUGAAAAAAAUAUUUGAUCAGGGAUGCCGUGAGAAAGUGUGCGUAUCCACUCUAGCAUUAUUAAUCCUAGUUGAUAUCUAGCCUUAAUUAUGUAAUGAAAAUCGUCAACCAAGUGUGGGGUAGUGAGAGUAUCUUGUGUUAAAUGUAGAGUGGUUAGGAUUUGGUUUUAUACACCAGAUCCAGUGCCUCGUUUGAUAGUGUAAAUGAAAGUUCCACAUUAAACGUGCAUUUGAACACAGCCAAAAAUUAAAUGAUGAGUACACAUACAAGUAUCUUUACGCUGUAGCUAUAAACGAUUAAAGAAUUCGACAUAUGGGCCUGAGGUUUCACGCUCUUGACGUCAUCACUCUCGUGUGCUAAAUGUCCACCAAAUGAUUCAUUGACUUGAUACUACACACCUAACUAAAGCGGCAUAUCUUUCUCCAUUUCUACUAGAGCCAGACCUCCAUUAGAGGAUUGCAAAUAAGGAUAGAACCUGUUUGUAAAUUUAACUAAGUUGAAAUUUUUGUGAUGUCAAAUUAUAAUUGGAUCCUCUAAUUAGGGAUGGAGGAAAUAACAUGGCCCUUAACUAAAUGAUUUUUAUUUUUUGACAAAAAAAAGGCUAAACAAUUUUUGUUCAUGUGCGUGUUCAAAGUUCAAAGAAAAAGAAGAAGAUUUAAUUGGAUCAAUAUACCAAUGUUCACUAAUAAAUAAAAAAUUCAGAAGACGCCAUUCAGGUGGUGUCUAAAAGUGACUUUUUUUUCCUACUAUGAGGACCAUCUCCAUUUAAUGUAUAAAUUGUAAGAGACACCCAGCACCAUCUUCAUGUUCUUUAUUUAGACACCCAAUCAUUCACUCCAACCAUCCUCCUCCUCCACCACCACCACCACCACUACCACCACCAUCACCACGCACCACGGCCGCCGUUGCCAUCAUGCAACCCUCUCAACCUUCUCCUCUCAAUGAAAAGUACUUGCGAGACGACGUCAAGUCACUAGAAUGUGAAGACUUGCUCUCCUCUCUCCGUUCGGAAGAGGACUGGGUCCCCACCUCUCUCCGCUUGUACCAGGGCUUCUGGUUCCCCUCUUGGCUCUUGAACAGCGUCGUCGCUUGCCAAAAUCACUUCCAAGCUCACCCCUCCGACAUCC
This 119224-nucleotide long non-coding RNA is filed under the name Eucalyptus grandis. Its description in RNAcentral is "long non-coding RNA (EGRA_LNC001671)". The stretch from base 28761 to 28841 matches the Rfam family "MIR1846 microRNA precursor family", at positions 1 to 86 of the family's 110-position model. Lineage: Eukaryota; Viridiplantae; Streptophyta; Magnoliopsida; Myrtales; Myrtaceae. The record is from RNAcentral.